UUCACCUUCAUUAUUAUAUGACAAUUACCAUCAUUCUAUUGCUAUUACUUAGCUUUGGAACCCGUUAUUCUCUGACUUAGCUUUGGAACCGAUGAUGCAAUUACUUAGCUUCGGAACCCAUUAUGCAAUUACUACAGGCCAGGCAUCCACGGAGCGGUCACACACCACAUCUUACAUUAGGGACAUAUAUCGAAGGUACCUUGCACAGUAGUCAAUACAGAAUGAAAGCGGAGGAAACCAGUAUGGAACACCGACACAAGCAUACCUACCCAUGGGAUAAACAUACCAUAGUACCCACCACAUACCCAAGGGAGAAACAAACACACAUGCGCUAUAGCUCCCAUGCAACCACAUACUCUUCAAGUAGCACUACAAUUUCUUCAUUUGGCAUAGCUCAUUCUUUCAUUUAAGUAAACAUAGCUCAGCCUACCUCAACUCAAGGUAACGUCAACAAGUCUUUCGCUUGUUGGUUCGAUGCCCAGUAAUAGCGGGUACCUCGUUAAUUCAUAGGUAGGUGGUUGGUGCACUCUCAAAUGCUUUUAGGGACCAUCAAUAGUUAAGUAGACACUGCUUUCGAGUUGGGCAAUGCAGACUUGAGGCAGGGAGUAAUAGAAUGAGACCCCUUAGAGGCAGUAAAACUAGGCAAGUAAGGAGUCAGGUUCAGUAACAAUAGUCCUAAAAGCAGUGGAGCAGGCCUAUAAUACAGUUUAGUCUGACUAGUAGCUGGGGUUGGUGAAGAAGUAAUGUUUAGGGUUGAUUGCCUCUAUGCGCUAUUGCCGGUAAGUCGGCGUAUUUUGUAUUAUAAGUUAGAUUAUGAGAAGCACUGGUUUGAUUAUGAGGGGAUCCCCUAGGAUUUUGUUCUUUAUUGACUACUUGGUAUGGUAGCGGCUCUCCGUGGGCUAAUAAAGAACCUAAGUGGUUGGAUGCCCUGCCCCCAGCUCAAGUCUUAUUGUUAGUGGUUCUCUUCCUGGUGCGCUAGUGAAGGUCCUGUCCAGUUUGCCUGGUUUCUAUCGUUUUAUGCCUUAGUUCCAUUCCAUUAAGUAAUAGCUCUAUUCUGGUUUUCCCGGGUGCAAUUCUUUGUAUUAGUUGCAGGGAUGCGCUAGAGCGUAGCCAUAUUCUGAUUCCUCCGUUCGAAAGUCAAUAAAAGCAAGUAAAGAAACCCCGAGUCAUAGUGUGUUUGAAAACGAGGAGCGGAAGCCUCUAACUAACACAUAGGCAUUUCUUUAUGUAUUUCAGUAGCAACUAUAGGAAUUGGAGCUAGGAGACAAAGGCUAAGAGCCUGUAAAGUCAGUCGAAAAGCAAGUGAAGUCAGACUUAAGGGGCUGUCGGAUAAGCCGGAGUUCCUAGUUAAAGCAGUCUUGUCAGCAGUAGUUGUUAUAGGCCCGACUACUGUAAGCUAAUCCCAUAGUGAGUAACUAGGCGGUGGAAGCAAAUCUGAUAGUUGGAGUUAGGCGGGGAAGUGGAAGAAAGGCCUUCCAGAUAGGAUUCUCAAAGAUAGGAACGAGCCUAUCUACUGGUUUCCUUGCACAUGAAAAGGAUGAUUGUACAUCUUCGAGACACAAGAUAUUGAAAGAUUCUCCAUUGUUCUUGAUUUAUGGAAAUAACAUAUCAUAGAUAGAUCUUGUUGAAUAUCAUAGAUGGAUCUUGUUUAUUGCUUGGUGGCUGAUCAUAUCAUAGAUGGAUCUUGUUUAUUGCUUGGUGGCUGAUCAAUGAAUGCGUCUGUCUUUCUCUCAUGAGGGACUUGAGCCCAAUAGUGCUGUUUCGACGGCUAAGUAUCUAUUUGUGGGAAGACCUUAUGUCUCAGGCGCUACGGUGCGAGACGUGUUAUCCGGCAAUGCGCGGUCAGAUCAUUUCUUGGAAGCAAGCAAGGAUCGAGAUAUUCCGCUUUGAUUAGCGAGGCAUCAGUCGGUUUCAUGGUUUCUAUCACUUCCGGAAGUUCAAGAAGAUCUAUCAUCUUUGAUUAUUGGAAUCCUCCUUGGCCAGGCCAGCAACUGAAAAUGCCUGCAACACACUGAUUCGAGUCCUCGAGUUAGCUCAUCUGCUAGUGAGCCUUCUUCUUCUGCAAUAGAUCAGGAACCCCGCCUUUCUUCAGCCCAUGAACUAAGCCGGCCAUUAACAUCGUCCUAAUUUCGUUUGAUCGGUAUUUUCGCUUGUUUUUCAUCGUGACUGGAACGACGAUACAACCUAAACCCUUCUCUGCUACCAAAUCAUAGAUCUUCCAGAGAAGACCAAACCGAAUGAGCUCGCUCGGUUCUCGUCUGAUACUAAAUUCCUUUCAUAGCUGCUAGAUCUCUGAUGAAAUUCCUUUCAUAGCUGCUAGAUCUCUGAUUCAACGGAAUAUACAUUGGACUUUGAUAUGCUCCACCAACUGUAGUAUAUCUUACAGCUCAAAGAAAAAGUGUUAUUAGGGGGGCUUAGGUCGAUCUCCAAAAUAACCUAACUCAACUCGUGGCUGGCUAUAGUAUCUCUUAACAAAGAGUCGAACGAACUUCCUUAUCAUACUCCUAUUUAGGUGCACAUAAGGACUAAGAUUGGUUUGCAGCUUCAAGCAUCAAAUGUAAUAAAGACAGAUAUACUAACACCCACCCCAAGGUACGACUCAUGAGAACAAUGGUCACAACUAAAUCCAAAUAAUUCCAUUCAGCUGUGGGCAAGGCUCUUUUGGGGGAAGGAUCGAAGAUCGGAUAUAUCGGCUCUAUUUUCCUAUCGGACCUGUGAAAAGUACCUGCCUAACUGUGAAAACUCUAAAGCCCUUAUGCAUUAUUGUACGCCAAUACCAUUUUUCGAAAAGAACUCCCGAAGAAGGUCCACAUCUGCCUUUCACCGGUGUGAUGCAAUUCUUUGAGCCUCCCAAGAGUUAUAUCGGUGGCACUCGGGAUCUACUCUAUUACUUAUUGGAUUUAGUUACGAUAGGACGACUCAUCCUAAUUCUCCUUCCCGAGAAAAGGAAGCUUCGCUACGUUCCAGAUAGUAUACUCAGUUAAUCAUAUAAAGCAUUGCUUUAGGAAGAGUUUCCCCGAUGGAGGCCUUUCUUUAUGGAAUCAUUUCGUGGAUGGUGAUGUCAAAGAAAUAAGAAGUUCCCCACUUGCUAUUGAAUCUGGAAUCCCUUCUUCUAGCAAUAUCAUAAGAGAAUCAAGAUCGUAGCGUAGACAAGAUCGUAGCGUAGAAAAGAAUAGGAGACUGGAAUUGUCGAUAUGGUUAUGGUUCAAAAAGGAUGACACUAAGAGAUCCUCACUGAAAAUAGUGCUAUUCCAAGUUAGGACUAAUUUGUAGGUUAAUUGAUUUGUGCUAGAUUCAUCUGUCAGAGCGUCGGCAAGCUUAGUGCUCUUAUUGUGUCACAAAGACUUGAAGAAGCGCUAGGCGUACUCGGCUUUGAAUUCACUCGUGGAUCCGAUCUCCCUUUUCUGGAAAUUGAGUCCUGUCCGGGUGCGAGAGACAAAAGAUGAUAUUACUGUUUUCCUCACCGCCUUAUUCAGUGCCCAGCAGCUACCUAAUACUUGGUUUUACCUUAUUGAACAGAGGCGACCAGAAGAUAAGUAGUGUAGGGGUUUACAACCUUUCAAGAAUCUAUGGGUUUCUACAGCCUUUCCAGAAUUGUAGUCCAAGUCAAAUCGUUAAUGUGCAAGCAUCAAAGUGAAGUCAGUAUCUUUUCAUUCAGCGGGACAUCAAUCUUGGUUUAACAGCCCCAAGCAAUACUUUUGUAAAGUGCCAAUCGCCCCUGCUUGUUCCUAAGGUUGUUCGGUGAACUCAAAGAAUAGAAUCCAUCGAGCAUACCAUCGAGCAUACCAUCGAGCAUACCAUCGAGCAUACCAUCGAGCAUACUAUCGAGCAUAUGAUAUAAAUAGAGGAUUUGACUAAACCCCUUAAGUCUUGUUCUCUACUUCAAAGACGGAACUUAGCGCUUCUGGAAUUCUACCACUUAUUCUCCAAGCUUCAAAACUCACUAUCCCAUCCCCGCCACUGGAAACACACACUUUUCCCGUCCCUAGCACGCCCUGAGUCUUGUGCCGAAUCAAGUCAAACAUUCAAAUCUCUCGAAUAAAGAUUCUUUCGAGCGAUCAGGUAAACUCGCUAACGCACUCUUGAAGCUGUGCGGUACCCUUAAGAUGUUCUAUGCACCUUAGAGAAUAUAUAAUUGAUGAAAAGCACUCUCGACGACAUUGACUACCCGGGAGAGCUCGAAGGCAUUCUAUUCUGUUUAGUAACGCUACCCGCCCAAUAUGGAAUUUCGAAAAUCGAACUUAUGCCAAAAACAAACAUUAGCACUCAGGCAAAGCCCUGCCCUUGGUUUUUAUCGUCACUUGAGGAAUAAGAAUGGAAAAGAAGAUUAGUUGCAUAUGAUAGAAGAUAGUAAACACCCUUGCUCUUGGUUUUUAUCGUCACUUGAGGAAUAAGAAUGGAAAAGAAGAUUAGUUGCAUAUGAUAGGGGAACGUAAACAUGCUGCCCUGUUACCUUCUUCAGAAUUGAAUAUCGGGUACCACCUUAUCCUCUACUAGCUUAUUGACCCGAACCACCCUAGACUCAAAUACUACAUUCUCUCUUUUCGUUGCUUGCGUAUUGUGAGGAUAGUUCCAAUCUAAUAGAAUGGAAUAAUAGCAUGACUUUUCAAUAGCAUGACUUUUCAAUAUACGAGAUGAGACUCCCUUCUUUCUACCUUAACCUGGCUACUCAACUUGAUACUGCUAUCGCAAAACCCCAUUAAGAAGUCUGGGCCAGCGCUCAGAGCUACCGAAUUCACAACGCUAUAGGCUUGUUCUCUAUGCUUUCCCUAACGAAACUGCUUCCUGCUUUCAGAGUCCCAUAUUCUUGUCCUUGCCAAUACGGAAUGGAAUUAACAACUGGUGGGUGCAUUCAACUAAAACCAUGACUCCUAAAAGAAUUGAUCUAUAUCAACUAGGAAAGCAACUGACACUAAUAAGAAUGGCUCUACUUACUCUAGGGCUUGCUCUACCGACUAUCAGGCCUUACUACUCUAUUCUUAACCUAGGGGAACCCACUCUAGCUUUACUGAUUAUGGGCCUGCCCCUAUGGUCUCUGAUUCCUACUAUACUAGCAGACCUUCUAUUCUUUAGCCGGUGCUCUUAAGCCUAAGUUCCUGUACCAGUAUUCGAGAACCACUGCUUAUGAUCCCUUUGCUUAAAAACUCAAACUACCGUUUCUCAUUCUCAUCACAGCAACUAUGAAGAACGGAGCUGACUUCCAUACUUUUGCUUAUUAGAAUUAGGAGUGACACCAAUACACACUGGAAUUGAACAUCCAACUAGUAAAUCCACAAAGAAGUCGUGGUCCCCAACUCGAACAGAAGAAGGAAUCUAGAAAGUCAGAACCGAGCUAUUAAGCCACAGAAUGCAAAUAGUCAGACCAAGCCGAAUUAUGCGCAUACAUCACAAAGCACUACCCAGGAGCUCCAUGCACCAAGUACUCAAUACAUUAAUACUUGAACCAGGAACCAAGCCUGCCACUACUGAUUUCAAUACUUUAUCCUUAAAUGGGGAAUCAUACCACUGCCAGCAAGAAGAGAGCUACUCUGGAAAGAAUCCAAAAAGAAGUCAGAACUGCUGUACUAAUAAAGAGAAAUGCACUCGGGAAUCGGCCUACCAAGGAGAAGAACCUCGAUAGGAACUCCGCCUUUGUUUACUAUAACGAAACCUCUAUCCCUCUAUUACUAUACUUAUUUGAAACUUCACACCCCUUACUUGCUUUCUUGCACUGUUGACCUCUAAUCUGACUUGUUGGGUAGUCAAUCUUACUCCCCGGUAGCGAAAAGCCUUACUUGCUCCACUCCCUUCUAGUUAUAUUAGAAUCAGCUACUCAAACUGUAAGUCCACACAUCCUGUCUUUGAUUCUUAUACUACUAACUAUGGGCCUGUUUCCUUUGACUUUCCACUCUGAAAAUACUAACUAUCGGAAUCAAAACACCACCUGAUAGAUGAAACAAAUAACUAAGACUUCUAUUGUAUUCACUAAUAUUCCCUAGGAACCGUACAAGCCUGCCCUACAGUGGACUAACUCUGACUGAACUUCCUUUGAGCCUACCGGGGCUUACUUUCUUUCUUGAGCUACUGAGCACGGCAGCCUCCCCUUUAGUUCUUGUUGUCUAUCUGUGUCUUGGUGAUUUGAAGCUAGUAAAGGCAGAUCCAUUCUUUUCAGUAGUAAUUCAAUGUGAGAUAUCCGUUUUGUUGUCAGUAGCUUGGUUCUAUUCCUGUAUGCACUGGAUCGAUCAUAACCAUACCCUUAACUCUAUUGACUCUAGCGAAUCUAUUCAUCCGCUUUAAGUUCAAAGAGCAACUAUCUCACAUUUGUUUGCCGACCGGUCUUUCAUCGGACGAUAAUCAAAGCUGGUGAAAGAAGGCGUCCGCAUCUGCUAGCCUAUACAAGGUGCUGCAAUGCCCUUACUAAGCGAUGGAUGCUAUAAACACUGGUAGCGCCUCGGAAGCCACACUGGGACUUACAGCUAUAGCCAGGCACCUAUGUCUUCCAGGGGGAUAUUUCAUCCACUUCUUCCUUGAUCUGGUCGAUGGAUCUUCUCAAUUGGAGGAUUCCAAAUAUGGAGAAUUUAUUACAUCGCUUUUUGAGGAAACAAUUGCAAAUAGUUCUGUAGCUCACCCGAGGUCCACUUCGUUCACUUCUUAUCAUCCUAGUAGGUUUCUGUGCCAUUGGGCCAGCGAAACUUCCUCAGAUCUAGUGUGCUAGCUGACGACGCGUGUAACGCAUGCUCCUGUUCAGUGGCGACGGGAACCUUCCGGAUGGUUAGCCACACCUACCUACGUUAUUUAUAUAGAAAUGACUCGGGAGCCUUGAUCUUAACCCUUCCCCACUAGUUCGAUUUUCAUCAGAGCUGUUAUUAUCCAACUGACAUCUCUACUUACCCUAGGCGCUUGUCUAGUAAACUCUUCUCUUUACGAUUCUCUCUACUUCACCAGGAAGAAGUACUCUCCAAAUCGCAUAGAGUAUGAGAAUGCCGAUUCUGUCGAACCUUAUUUCUAUGCUAAUAAACUUGCUUACCGUAAUUGCUUAAGCGGAAUCUUUCGUGCUUUCAUCUCUCUCAGUGAUGGGUUGAGGACAAGAUAUUGAUAUCUUAAAACAGCGUAAAUCGGCUCCUUUUUCUCCUCUCUCUUUGAGUCAUUCCCUGUAGGAACCGUGUUCGAAAUGCAAUGCAGCCCAUGAAUAGGGCGGAGCUAACUUGCCAUGUACAGGUCCUGCAAUUGCCUGGGUAAGCUAAGCCCAUAGGAAUCUCUUGUCGAUGGAAAAGAAGGGUGAUGAAAGAAAUGAUGACACAAAACCACUUUUUCAUUAAUAAACUAAUUAAUAGAACACGAACCAUCUUGUGCUUGCUUUAGGAUCAUCUAAUUGCGUAUAGAACGAACCAAGAUGCUUACUGUGUCAUACGAGAAUAGUGAAUCCAUCGACCAAGUAGUUAUAACCGAGUCCACCAAGCUACGUAGUUAGUUGCGCAGUAGCGAGCGAAAACUGGGCGGGAGCGAGUGGUUGAAUAUUCUAUCCCCUAGGGAAAGGAGAGUGUAGCCACUCAUUCGAUUAGGGCAAGCAUAAGGAAUGCUUCUAACCUAACCCUACUAGCAUAGCCGGUUUCAUUCAGGCCAAUAACUCUUUGCCCAAGAAGGGACUCCCAGCACUAGAAAGAGGAGCAUCCAAUGAAGACCAGAUGGCAAAGCCAUAAGGACCGGAAAAUAGGGUGAUGGCUAUCCUUCCAGCAAGUGGAUUUCGAGACUCGUCUAUCAAGGAUUCCCCAUCUCUGAAUCGUGGUGCCCGAAACUGUGUUGAGAUUGCCUUUAGUGCUUUGAUCAGGCAGGGAAGAUUGGCGUUUACGUCUUCCCAACUGACUUAGAAAAGAACCGAUCCGAGUAUCGAAAGCACAAUGAGCCGAAAAGCACAUCCAUUAUGGCCAUCUCGUGUCGCUAAAGUAAAGGAUUAUACAUUACUCAAUAACUACUUCAUCUACAUCUCGGCGAUAUCCCACCACUUAUACAUACUUAAGUUGAGUGCUAACUCCUUUUCUCAGUGGAAGUUGACGUGUAAAAACAAAGGCAGACUGAUUCCAAAGAAAGCAACUGUGCUUCGCACGCUUCACUCGCUCAUUGGAAAAAGCGGGCACGCGCCGACAAGGCUGACAAUCACUCACGGAUGUCUUAUAUGAAAGUAUUCUAUCUCUUUUCAUAGAAAAAUGGAUUUCUCUAACCCCUGCCUGCGAGCCUAGGAGCGCUUAGCUUUGACACUGAUGGUAGCGCGUAGGAGACACCGAGGUUAUGAAAGAACAAAUGACCCAAUGUUGAUUUUCUAAAGAAACCUUAGGGAUUUAUACCUUUCUAAAUGAAUUGUCGACAUCAAAGGAUAUACUCGCCCGGUCUAGUAAGGCAUUACUCCAUAUGAUAUUAAGUUAAGGCAUUACUCCAUAUGAUAUGCUCCUACUACAGUACCCUCAGGAGCGGUAGAUCGUCGGUUGCUCUCAAAGGGUAUUCCAUUCCUACAGCCCCAAUUGUCAAGUAGACGCUCCUUCAAUCACUCUUUCGCUUAACAGUGGAAUUAGACACUGAGCAGCCGGCAGCAAGAAUCUAUUGUAGGGAAACCUUCGGAAGAGAAAAUUCCUUAGAAAACGAUUUGAGGCUGAAGGUGUGGAUUACCUUAGAAGAGCUGCUAAGCGCAACUACUAAUGCCUCGGUCGUAUUCGGCUUAGACUGACACCAUAGGGGAGCUCUUUAUCCUAGGCUGCGAAGCGCCCGAAGAGCGGAGCUGCUCUAGAAAGAGCCAAGCCAACCCACUUCCUUUCUUCGGAACUGCUCCCUUCUUUUUAGAAGGGGAACUCGGCCCGGCCCCAUUACCCUUUGAGGUAGCUUCGGGUCGUAGAGUAUACUAGUUAGGUCUAUAGAAUUACGGUAGCUUAGAACUUAUGUUUCGGUCGGAAGUGAAAGGAAAUGGGGAGAAUGGAAUUACUACUGACCUUCGCAGCGACAAUUGAGGGAACCUUAUAGCCUCAUUCUAUAGAGUUUUGGAUAGUAAUCGUUUAGAUGUUAGUCUAUUCUUGCUUUUCUAAGGUAGCCCAAUCGAAGGUCAGGUAGCUUAAAUACCUAUAUAGACAGUUCAUAGAAAGAAGAAGGUAGAUCUUACAGUAGAUUCAAUAAAGGGGGAUGCCAGGCUCUCCUAUAGUAAGAAAUUGCCAUAGAAAAGAAAGUUUACCUACUCUAAGGUCAAUAGAGAAAUAUAGUAGACCCGCUUCAGAAGAAAGAGCUUUUAGCGAGCGCCCCUAUUUGAUUAGUGAAUUUGAUUUGAAUGCAGAGCACAGAUAAGAUCUAAUAAAAGUUUUCCAGAAGCGUUCGCGAAUGCAUACCUGAAAAUGCUACGAGGACAGCUUACUCUCACGAAAAGUCAGACUACGAGGCUUCUUAGCUCACAGCUGACUACUUAUUGAAAGAUUUAGGAUAUAUUCGAUUCCAGUUUUUGACUUUCUUUGAGAAUAUUUAUAGAUAGAGCGUUUUGGAUUCCUAUAGAGUAAGAGGAAAGUGUGUUUACUUUUUGACAAGAUGAAACCUUGUUUGCUGGGGGAAUAGAGCAUCCUUGAGCUUUCAAAGGGUACUAGGAAUGCCCCGUGAAAGAAAGGAUCUUAUCAGCUAGACACUACCUGGGCCCGUGUAUUCGGAAACCAUCGGUCGCUAACUUGCUCAACGAAGCAUUGCCGGUUUAGAAUAACUAGUUGUACCGAGACUUGGUAGGGGGCGGGCAGAUGCCUAAAUCCGCUUUUCAGACCCGGGCAGCUAAGAUAAGAAGAGGGGGGCGUCGGUAUGUGGUACCGUUGACCUUAAGUGCUUAGUAGAUGGGAUGAGAAUACAAAGGAAGAAAGAUCAAGCCCAAUUAAUUAACCCUAUGUAGUAAAAGACGUUUAGUAAGGAAAUUCUUGGUACGGACGCAUCCAAUGCCUGAUGGAUGAACUUCAAGGGAUGAACUUCCCUUUCCCAAGUGCGAAUCAUAUGCUUUAAUCUUAAUGAUCUUGUUUCGCCGCCGUUUCGUCGUUAUAACUCCAAUCCGUGUCCGGUCGGGUCAUUUUCUUAUUUAAUACCUAAGUAUCCUUAAGACUACUAUUUCUCUCCAAAUAAGGGGCCUACUGAACUAUGUAAACAAUUAUAUAAUUAAGCCGGCUCUUGAAAACAUCACUUAUUAUGGUGGAUGAUGUUUUUGUCUUUGUUCGCUUACCUCCGAAAAGGAGAGGUGAGAGGCGGAUUUACACCAGCUGUUGACCUAAGACUUGAAACUGACUUAUACUAGGGCUGCUCUCGUGGUGCCGGAAGGUCGUAUACUCGUAUUCCAUCCUAAUAUCCAUCCUAUCCUCUUAGAAGAAAAUUCCCUUGUAAGUGAGGAUUUGCAUUUGGAAUUCGAAUAUUCGUUUCAGCGAAAACAAUAGAUGCUUCUUAUCGAAGCGCGAACGAAGACUCAAAAUACUCAGAGGAGAUUCCAUGCGUGGUGGAUUCCAUUCCGGAAUUAGCCUUUAGGAGCAUCCGAAUGCCCGCCCGUCCAUGCGAAAUAGAUGCUUCCUGUCCUGUAUCUCUACCUAUCUCGAAUUGGAAUAAGGGGAUGCUACAUCUAUUAAUCUUUUGAAGAGUCCUCCCUUCCUAGCUGCCUUUUCUUGCUAAAUAAGUUGAUAUUAUAGGAUUUGUCUCAAAGAGGCUUUGCUUUCUGAGUUCAUUCUCUUUCAUGUCAUAAUAAAUAUGGACAUUCCAAAUAAAGGGAGUGUAAUGUAAGUGAUGGUGCGCUCCCCGGUUAGCCGGACUCAGUUCAAGGCACGCUUGCCUGCUCUCCUCAUUUGUGAACAGAUGGGACAGGACUCUUUCUUUCGUCAAGAAUAGAUGAGUUUUAUACCCGAGUGAAUUGAUGCAUGCCUUUAUGUGGGAAACGUGUCGAUCUCUAAAUCUUCUAUCUAUAGCGUGUAUGGAUAAGCCUUCCGGGGUGCAACUAAGUGGUCUAACUCGAAUCCCCUUCCUUGAAUGGUGGGAAAGCUUUCCUAUAAGGCCUUUCUUCGGACUCUUUGACUUGCUUUGGACUUACCUGUACAAUGGUGCAAUUCUUAUUAAUAGUGAUUGGAUUCCGUUUUUGGUAUUUCUUCUCAGAGCAAAGUAAAGCAAAGUGAACUCUGUUAGCGCAACAGAGCAAUAAGAAUAAGUGUAGAGAACAAACAGAGCAAGGGAGAAUCAAAAGCAUGGCUUGGGGUAAAGAACGGAAUUGGAAACCGUAAAAGAACCUGCUUUGCUUGCGGGACAAUCUGUAUACCUUGAUUAUGGCGCAAGUGUACGAUAACCAGGGAUCAAGGAAGUAAGCAGCAAUUAGGUAUAGCUAAAUCGGUCUGAUUCCACCAUCUCUAAUAGAUCCAAUGAAAUCAAUGGUUGGUUCAAGUGCUAUUAUCAGUUUUCAUUGAAUUAUCAUAAUCUUCUUUUUCAUGCGAGGGAAGGGAAUAACUUAAUUACUCAAUGGUCCACUUCUGAGGGAAAGAAGGGAGGUAAGCGAAGGAAGUGGGAAAGAAUUCCACAAAUGGACCUUCUUCAUACUCAACUCAGGCUCAUCUCACUCUGGCUACUAAUCCGAACGAACUCUAUCUGAAGGCCCGACUAGACCUAUAAUAAGUGCCCGAACCGAGCCUAGUAACAGACUUUGGGCUUCCUCCUAGACUACUAUACUACACCUCUCCUCUGUAAACUAAUACUUUUCUUGCUCUGGACUACGAAACUACUAGUGGAAGGGCAAAAACAGGUUCACUCAGGAUUCACAAACAAGAUAGGUGGCGAGUUAACCCUAGAGCUUAAAUAAGGGCAGGCCAUUUUCUUUCUUCUUCUCCUAAGUAUCUGCUUGUAGGCUAGGCUUGCUUCCUUUAGAACAGGAACUAGCCAUUCUGCUGCCCCAAGAGAUUCAUUCCUACCCGAGUGUUAAUCAGUUAUCCUUCGUAUCUAGUAUAAGGCAAGUAUCGGUAUUUAUUUGACUCCGCCACAACAAGGCAAGAAAUCAAUAAAUCCAGAAGGGUGCUUUCCCGAGCAGGAACAGGAAAAGGAGUUAGUUUACCAUUCUCAGAAGUAGGAAUUACUGAAUUGACCUAAGGAGUCAAAGAAUUAGAUAAAGUCUUGAGAGCCCUGUUAUGAUUGGUUCAAGUCGUCUUAUUUCUGCUUUUUAUCCUUAUUUGUAGUAGUGGGAUUGCUCGUUUCUUAUUGAAUUAUUAGAAGCAGCAGUAACAGGCACAUAGUAAGUAGAUAAAUACUUUGUAUUCGGUUUGUUAGCAUAGCAUUGAAGACAGUAGUAACAGAACGAUAGACAGUAAAGUAAGCCUCGGUAGCAGCGGCUCGAUUCCCAGUCUCUGUUUUAAUUAGAAUAAGUGGUAGUUUGAUUCACUGUUUGAGGUUUCUUCUUUCCAGUAGUUAUUUCAAGUUUCAUAGGUCUAAGUGUGAUUCCCUUUUUUCAGUAGAAAUAUGCUAAGUUAGAGAUGCAUUCUGUAUAGUAGUAGCCACAUUCCCAUACUAACCAGCUCAAUUCCGAGUUUUGAGUUAGGGUAUCGCUAGCCCUAGUAUCAGCCUCAUGUGACUAUUUGCAUUCUUUCCUGUAGUACCCAUUCUUAUAGCCUAUAGUAAGUGAAGUAGCCACACUCUUGAUACUGGUAGUUUGAUUCCCGUUAGUUGCCCCAAGUGAGUACCCAUUCUUAUAGCCUAUAGUAAGUGAAGUAGCCAAUCACAUUAAAAACAUCUACAGUUGGAUUCCCGCUUCAAAGCAAGUACCUGAUAUAGCUCCUGCUGAUUGAGUUUCUUCCGAUAUAGUAGAUGACACGGUUCUGGUCGGCAAGGGGACAAGCUUAGUAGUUAGUAUCGCUAAAGGGCCGCUCUUCAUGUAGGCAAGGGAAGCAGUGCGAGGAAAGUUUACUUAAGUGCGGUAGGGAGUGAAACGGCAGGGCCGCUCCUCAUCCCCAGUUCCAACUAGUAGAGAGUAUAGAGAGAGAUCUAAAGAAUCAGACAGGCCAGGCAGGCCCUAUCGUUAAGGUUAGUAAGCGGUCAGGGGAGUUCCGUAUUGCAAUAUGGUUCUUGAUCGCCCAGUUCUAGCUUAAAGUCUAUUUUGUCUUAGCAAGGUGAAAGUAUAGGUCGGUGCCGAGCAAAGUAAGGCUUGGCUACUGCCCCUCUUAUCGGGAUUUACACUUUGAUUCACUGAGUUUGAAGCCGGAAACUACUCACUAAAGUUCUGUAUUUGGAGCUGUUGUCUUAGACACUAGAUUGAGUGCCGGUGCUCACUAACCGAAGUAUGAUAAUGACCUAGACCAUACUACUACUUGUAUAUUAACAGGAUGCACUACAUACCCGCUCUUAUUAGUCUUCUGAUUCACCCGUGUAACUGGCAAUUCUUCUUUGGAUUAUCCCCAAUAACUACUGGAUGGACUUGGAAACCCACACUUGCUCCACGCCUCUAGCUUGUAUACAAAUUCGAGUAAUAUUACCUGAGUUUAUCUAUACUCAAUAAACAAACUUGCUUCUUUUCGCCUGGAACUAAACCUUUCGACUACUGAUUCAUUCUCAUCGCCAACGCCAAAACCUUGAGACUCACACUCGACCAGGGAAAGAACUCAACGAGGAAGACUUGACUUGCUCACAAAGAAAGAAAUCGAUUUAGUGUAGAACCAGGGAAAGAACUCAACGAGGAAGACUUGACUUGCUAUAAAAUUCCAAAAGAAAUAUAUUGAGUGUAGUUUUUAUAGCAGAUGCGUUUGGCAAUAAGAAGCCACACAUAAUGUAUUUAAUAUGAGUUAUUUCGCCUGAUGUCUUCGGCGGUAGCGAGUUCACUCCGGCCUUUGACUCUUACUUCCUUUACUAGAAGUCUGUAUUUCCCCCGAGAUUCUUGCGCUUGUUACUGACCAUGUGCCUAUGAGUCUUACUUUACUUGGAUUCCGUCUUUCCUUACUCGAUCUCAGGCUGACUUUUCACUCUAUGACUUAUUACUUAGGGGAUCCAACUCGGAACUGGGCUUUAACUACUAUCUAUUUCAUUAUACUAUCCAUUAGAAUUGAGCCGAUACUGAUGAGAAUGAACCCGGGAACAGGGAAUGCGACUAGCGCUUCUAAUAAGGUAACUCAAAGCUGGUAAUCCAAUCUAUUAAGUCAGAAAUCAACAACUGCUAACAAGAAUGGAACAGUUCACGCAACUCUAAGAAAACGGAAAAAGGGGAAUGGAGCGACUCUAGCUAGAGGCCUGCCACUACUACUUCCAUUACUUUAACUAGAAACUCCGGCUUUACCUCCUGCCUAUCAGUAUGACUUGACUUUCUCUUAAACUCAGCUACUCCCGAUAAAGACCUUAGCUCUAAACUCAGGCUUACCCUGCUGUUUAUAAUACCUUAGCUCGGAACUCAUACUUAUACUGGUGCCUCUGAUAAUCCAACUACUAAUAGAAGGGAUGAACCAAAGGCAUACAAUAAUUCCAUUGGGUAUACUCGAUUUUCACUAGUGGGCAAACAGACAAAAAACAGUGCUUCCCAUCAUGAAACUCGGAACUAGGGCUUGCUCUACUUGCUGUAAACUAAACGACUUAUUUGCAACCUGACACUGCUUUAUUGCAGUAUACCAUCCCUUUCUUUAAGCCUAAGUUUCCUGUCUCCCGUUCUCUAACAUUACCCUGCUCCACGGAAACCCAACCUUAUAAAAACAAUAGCAGUUUUCCAACCCCAAGAAGGUAGUGGCAUAGAAACAGUGCUAAAGUCAGCAUCAAACGGUUAUGCAAGUAGAGAGUAAGCAGAUGCAUUAUUAGAAGCCUAAGAUGAAUUUGGUGAGUCAGCUGUUAUAUAAUUUAGUAAAGAAGAAUCAAGAUCAGAAGAAUAAGUGAUUGUUUUGUCCUAGUCUUAGAUAGAGGAAUCAAUGCCUUUGCCAGACGAAGCCAUUCAAAAGUCUGCAGCUGAAUGACUAGUUCCAGGUUAGUUUGGAGUUGCAGUUGGAAUUGCCUCCUUUCCUUUACUUACCGCAGUACCACAGAGGUUAAACAACGAGAAUUGUCUUAUUUACUACGAUGUAGAGAAUUGUCUUAUUUACGAUGUAGAGUAGUGGUUGCAGGCGCUUUCGCUCAAAGUCAGAAAGUAGUAUAAGUAUGCAGGACGUAGUAGCUUGGCCGGUUUACAGGAAAGUAGACUGCGUAAGGCGCUCUCAAUGUGGCCUGGAAAAGCAGGGUGAAGGUUCCUAAACCGAGACGGGUGUUAGCGAGUUUACAGUUGACUUUAUCUGCGCGUAAAGGAAUCAAUUGAUGUUUCACUUCGAGAUGGAGAGACUAAGCAAUCAGAUCUUAAUUCCAGAAAUUCUGUUACGCUAAGGCUUCAAUGAAAUCCCAUUCUGCAACGGAAGUUCGGGGUUGUCGAUUAAGAAAUCUCUUUUCUCAAUGAAAGUGUAGUUCCAGAUUCAAGAUCAGCAGCGGAAGGAUCCACGUAAGCCGAUACGAAAUAAGGACUUGCGCGUAAGCAAGAAGAGUAGCCAGGCGUUACUCCUUCAGGUGAAACUGGAAUCUGUGUUUGCAACGAGAUCCGUAGAUGAAGAGAGUCGACGAGAGAAGAAAGGCCACUACAAGGUUAGGCAAAAGAUAAGUAAGGGUUAAGAGCGGAAUAAAGUACUAUUUCUGGCAGUAGUGGAAUUCCAGUUUUCUCAGUUAUCGAGUUGGAAGCUAAAGCGUUAAGUAUUGCCAGGCCCAGAAACAGUUGAAGUUAUAGUUCACACAGAAGAAGGAAUUGUGGUUCCAGUGGAAUCUCGAGCUGAAGCAGUUUUGUUUCAAGAGAUUUAUUGUUAACUGCUGUAGUAGCUUGUCGUGUUUUUACUUUAGCUAAUGGAGUGGAGUUAAACAGUGUCAGUGAGUAUGCUUUGGCGCAAAGAAAGAAACAAAGAAAGAAACUAAGGAUGCUUGGGGCGAGAUCCUGGUCUUUACUGCUCUGUGGGCGGAGUUGAACAUGGGUAUUACGACGAGUAAGGCAUUAUUGACAGCUCUUUCACCGAGUAGAUAAGAUGGCAUUCAAGCGAGAUCUGGAUCCGUUCUAAAGUCAGCAAUAAGGUAUAGAACAACUCUUAUUAAUAUUACCCCAAAUCUAUAUGAUAAAGAAAGAGAAAAUGGGGUAUUUGGCCUCUAAAUCCGGUGGAACAGGAGAACAAUAAUUAGCUGUUUCCAGUAGAAAGAGAAUCCGCUAGAGAAGAUACUCGAUUUGAAGCAUAAGAUGCUGCAGGGGCUAAAGGAAAGUAGCAAACUACAAGAUCAGAAGCCUCAGACGAAUCUCCUUCUUAUAGAAUACUAGUAACCGGUCACCCUAAAAUCCGGGACCCUAUACCUUUUGGAUUGGAGAGUUCGGUGCUCUAGUUUCAUCGCUAGUUCCCAUCCUCUCUUAAUAGAAUGGAAGACAGAAUGCUUAGGCGCAGGUCAGGUUAGCUAGCGGAACCUAAAGUGGAGUUUCAUCGUAUGUAGAAAGAAGCUCUGCUGAGGUGCUCUAGCUCUAAGUAAGAAAGUCUAGUUCGCCGUUUGACAAGGCGCUCGAUAAUCAAUUCCUGUUUUUAUAGUGUUGGUUUGAGUUGAGUUCCCGUUUGAGUAUCCGCUAAAGUGUAAGUUCAAUCUCAUUCUUCGCAUAAAGGAACUCUGUGCUCGAAAGAUGAAAUGAAUUAGGAAGACAGGCCAGUCCCUAUAAGACUAAGUAGAUAGAAUAGAAGAAAUAAGGAAUCGUAAUAACUUCAUGAAGCGGAAGCCAUAGUAGGAGUAGUAACAAGAUCUGUUGCAAGCACAAAGUUCCCUGAGAGUAUUGUUCCAGAUGAAACAUAAGCUGGAGAAUCCGCAGUCCGCCUGUCAGCACCAACCGCUCCCGUCCUGGAAUCCGUUUCUGUUUGAGACGCAUGUUAGUAUGUAAUUCCAUUCUUCCAUUUUGUCCUAUGAUUCCUCUUAUUGCUAUGAUUCCUUAACUGUAAACUAUCAACUGUAAACCUAAACUUUCCCUGACCCCUACUCAUACUAACGCUACACAUUAUACGUGGGCUGGCUGCCGCGCAACUAACUACAAAGCUUGGCGGUCAUUAUCCUAAGCUUGUCUACUUUUUGAGUCCACCAAGAAUUCUUGACUUCAAAGUGGUUAAGCUACUAUAUAUCCUGUAUACGCUCUUUCGAUUCCCCGAAGAUUCUAAGAUAAGGCAUUUCAGGUCUAAGAAAAGAAACAGCAAGCUAAUUAGAGUUUCUCAUUUAUGUUUAUAUAGUAGGGUUCUCUCAAGGACACUGAUCUCUGGACAAUUCUAAUACGGAGGGCAGUUGGCUAUACCACACAAGAUGACAGGCAGUUAAUAUCCUAGAGUGCCUCUUCCGCUAACUCUCAAUAGACUUGAAUUUCCGUAAGAAUGCAGGGUUUAACCCUUCUACGAUUCGUGACUUUCUUUUGAUCACAUUGAGCCAGGCUGAGAGACGAGGAGUAGCUCCGAAAGAAAGAAUAGCCAGACUUUCGUGUACUUGGUGGUGUCCUUCUAUUUGCGUUUCGUGUCUAAAUCUAAGUAGAAGCAUGAGUAAGGUGCUAAGAGCCUUUGAAUCUUGGUGUGAAAAAGAAGGGUGCCCCCCUGCAUACGUAUAUGAUUGAUUGAUCUCCUCCCCGGCCCGUAGAUGUCAAAUACAAAAAGGGGGAUUUUCAGUGAAUAUAUAAGCAAAGAGGACAAGAGCCCGAUUGUUUGGGGCGACUACACGGCGGAGCGGAUUCUUUAAAUAUCGGCUGCUAGUCCAAAUCAAUAGCAGAGCACAAGCCUACCAUCAGACUAGAUUAUAUCCAAACCCCAGGGUUGUUCGGACUGGUACGAUCAAGACUUCGACUCCGACCUCCGAAGUAAGGUCUUACACUCCUAGAAUCAAUAAUCUAUAUUAGGUCUUCUAGGAUCCGCAGGUCGUGAAGGAGAUAAGCAGGACUCUUGGUGAAAGGAUUUUCGCUGACUCUUUUACCUUGAAAGUCAAAACUAUCCGGAAGAGUAUUCUUUUGAAUGCCUUGAGCCUUGAGGUAAGCAUUACUUACCACCAUCACAACUCAUGAUUCAUGUCUUUCGAAGAUAGGGGAACAUUGUGUUUUGUCUUUCCAUGAUUGAUUUAAGCGCUUUACAGAAUGGAUAAGGUUUGGAACUAGACAGAUUGGCAGUAAUGCGAAAACAUAAUCCCAAAGAGAAUAAAGAAUAGGGAGAAUUCAGAUUUGGUGGUACCUUCAUUGAUACUCAUCAUGCGAAUUGGAGAGCAUGCCCCUAUGUAUCUGUUCUUUAUGAGAAGUUCCUUCUAAAGAUGUCAACAUCUAUUUUGGAUUCAACAGCGGAAAAACAUCAAACAAUUCAUGCUUACUAUAGGUUCUAUUUGGCUUGUCGAAAUACCGUCAUCAUAAAUGAUGCCUUGCCUCGAUGGUAUACCUAUCGCAAUGCCUUCAUCCAAAUUGGAUAUGACCGGAGAAAAGGGAAUCUGCCAAUCGGUUAAAGCAAAGAUUCUGUUGGUGUUCCAUAAGCCCUAUUCCGUCCUAUUUUCUUAACGUUAUUAGUAGCGGCUCUUAAGAAGUACGCCCAAAAACAACAGGCGGCAACCNNNNNNNNNNNNNNNNNNNNNNNNNNNNNNNNNNNNNNNNNNNNNNNNNNNNNNNNNNNNNNNNNNNNNNNNNNNNNNNNNNNNNNNNNNNNNNNNNNNNNNNNNNNNNNNNNNNNNNNNNNNNNNNNNNNNNNNNNNNNNNNNNNNNNNNNNNNNNNNNNNNNNNNNNNNNNNNNNNNNNNNNNNNNNNNNNNNNNNNNNNNNNNNNNNNNNNNNNNNNNNNNNNNNNNNNNNNNNNNNNNNNNNNNNNNNNNNNNNNNNNNNNNNNNNNNNNNNNNNNNNNNNNNNNNNNNNNNNNNNNNNNNNNNNNNNNNNNNNNNNNNNNNNNNNNNNNNNNNNNNNNNNNNNNNNNNNNNNNNNNNNNNNNNNNNNNNNNNNNNNNNNNNNNNNNNNNNNNNNNNNNNNNNNNNNNNNNNNNNNNNNNNNNNNNNNNNNNNNNNNNNNNNNNNNNNNNNNNNNNNNNNNNNNNNNNNNNNNNNNNNNNNNNNNNNNNNNNNNNNNNNNNNNNNNNNNNNNNNNNNNNNNNNNNNNNNNNNNNNNNNNNNNNNNNNNNNNNNNNNNNNNNNNNNNNNNNNNNNNNNNNNNNNNNNNNNNNNNNNNNNNNNNNNNNNNNNNNNNNNNNNNNNNNNNNNNNNNNNNNNNNNNNNNNNNNNNNNNNNNNNNNNNNNNNNNNNNNNNNNNNNNNNNNNNNNNNNNNNNNNNNNNNNNNNNNNNNNNNNNNNNNNNNNNNNNNNNNNNNNNNNNNNNNNNNNNNNNNNNNNNNNNNNNNNNNNNNNNNNNNNNNNNNNNNNNNNNNNNNNNNNNNNNNNNNNNNNNNNNNNNNNNNNNNNNNNNNNNNNNNNNNNNNNNNNNNNNNNNNNNNNNNNNNNNNNNNNNNNNNNNNNNNNNNNNNNNNNNNNNNNNNNNNNNNNNNNNNNNNNNNNNNNNNNNNNNNNNNNNNNNNNNNNNNNNNNNNNNNNNNNNNNNNNNNNNNNNNNNNNNNNNNNNNNNNNNNNNNNNNNNNNNNNNNNNNNNNNNNNNNNNNNNNNNNNNNNNNNNNNNNNNNNNNNNNNNNNNNNNNNNNNNNNNNNNNNNNNNNNNNNNNNNNNNNNNNNNNNNNNNNNNNNNNNNNNNNNNNNNNNNNNNNNNNNNNNNNNNNNNNNNNNNNNNNNNNNNNNNNNNNNNNNNNNNNNNNNNNNNNNNNNNNNNNNNNNNNNNNNNNNNNNNNNNNNNNNNNNNNNNNNNNNNNNNNNNNNNNNNNNNNNNNNNNNNNNNNNNNNNNNNNNNNNNNNNNNNNNNNNNNNNNNNNNNNNNNNNNNNNNNNNNNNNNNNNNNNNNNNNNNNNNNNNNNNNNNNNNNNNNNNNNNNNNNNNNNNNNNNNNNNNNNNNNNNNNNNNNNNNNNNNNNNNNNNNNNNNNNNNNNNNNNNNNNNNNNNNNNNNNNNNNNNNNNNNNNNNNNNNNNNNNNNNNNNNNNNNNNNNNNNNNNNNNNNNNNNNNNNNNNNNNNNNNNNNNNNNNNNNNNNNNNNNNNNNNNNNNNNNNNNNNNNNNNNNNNNNNNNNNNNNNNNNNNNNNNNNNNNNNNNNNNNNNNNNNNNNNNNGAAGCUCUAUAACAACUGCGGAGAAGCUCUAUAACAACCAAAUAGGAAAGAUCUUGAAGGAAAGAAAGAAAGGAGAACUUUGGAUAGGAAAGGAAAGAUCUUGAAAAAAAGGAGAACUUUGGAUUAUUCCAUAUCAAAGGGCUGAUUCCACUUCCAACUUACAAGGACUGAUUCCACUUCCAACUUACGGAGGAUGAUAUCUUCGUAGACAAUAAGAGAUAGAUCUAGGGGUCAGGAGAUGAUCUUUGUAGACAAUAAGAGAUAGAUCUAUGGGUAAAGAGAUGAGAUUCUUUCUUAUUAGUGGAAAAUUGCCCUAGCUAGAUUCACUCCCUUAUUAUAGCAGCGCAGCCCCUUGGCUUUGUCCCAUAACAGCUGAUAGCAAGCAUUCCUGACUUUGGCUUUGUCCCUUACCAGCUGACAGCAAGCAUUCCUUACCUUGGCUUUGUCCCUUACCAGCUGACAGCAAGCAUUCCUGAAUGGAUCUAGACUCUUUGGCUACCGGCACCUCAACAAAGUCACUUUCCUUCCUUCCACUCUAAUAGUUCUAGCUUUCUUUAGGGGCCAUAAGAAGAAAGUGGAAUGUGCUAUUCUCAGUCAUCCCAUUCCCUUCCAGUUGGAACUAGUAAUGCCGCAUCAGGCUCUUCCUUCUUAUUGAGAGCAAAGGGGUAUACCUUCUGCGUGCUUAACCCAGCAAGAUCCGAGAUCUGAUCUACGUCCUGCUUACCCGCAUACCCUUGAAAAGACACUUUAUGCCCCAGGUGUGAAGGAACUUCUUGCACAUGGGGAAGGAAUUCGGAGGGAAUAAGGCAUCAAAGAUCUAUGGCAUCAGUCGAAGACUAGGUUGCAUCAUAGAAUAUAUAGGUUGCCAAUAAGAUGAAGGCAAUUCUCUUAAAUAGGGAAGGGGAGCUAUGUCUUUACUCAUAGGGAAGGGGAGCUAUGUCUUUACUCCACUAUAUACUUGGUGCUCGAAAACAAACAAACAUCACUUAUUUCAUUGAAAAAAGCAAAUAGAAUAGUUAAGGGAAUGGAAUCAAAAACAGAUAAUAGAGAAUACGAUAUGGAACAAUAAACAAGUACUGUAGCGCCUAGAAGCAUAAGCCACAUAUCUUGGAGUUCCGAGUUCACCCAGAACCAUAUCAGAAGCGGGAGACAGAGAAUCACUUCAGGGUUAAGAAAGGAGAGUUCGAGUAUAGGAUCUUAUCUCUAUCGGUAAAGUCGAAAGGAACCGACCCAUAGCAAGCGGAAAGUGGAGUUUCAGAAUCAUUAAUACAUCCUGUCUGGGGUAGGAACUUUAUAAGUUGUUGUAUCCGGAAUAAGGAGAUACUGAAUCUACUGGAUCUAUAGAAUCAUAUAGAUCAGGGAGCAAUAGUAAUAUGUCCAGAGUCGGUGUAAGGAGAAGAAGUUCAGCAGCUAGACAGAAUACAAAUAUCAGAAGAGAAAUAGGGCUAUAUUUAGGUAAGAAGAAUAGGAAUAGGAUUUCGCUAGGUAUUAUAGAAAAGGGUAAGUCACAAACCAUGCGCUCUCUACUUAUUGAAUCGAAUCGGCUGACUUUUGAACUUCUGAAGAUCCUAAUUCCAAUCCAACUCUUUCUGUAUCUGUAGUCCUGUUUUCUGGGGCCCCCGUGUGUCUUUCUCUAUGACGAGUAGUUAACAGGCGUUAAACGACAAGCUUCUAAAUUCAUGCUCUUGCUUCAAUGGAAUCUCUUUCUGGGGAAUUUGGAGUGGGCAUUAUUGCCCCAUGUCGGUUCCGCUCUUAAUCGUUCCCUGCCUCUGUUCAUCACGCUGGUUCAGUAGUUUCGAUCAACGAUGUCUCUUUCGUCGUCGUUAAUACGUGGAAUAGAGAGUGACUCGGCAGUGGUCUCGUCUGGUGCUUUCCCAUCGCAGCACUUCCUUGUUAGUCGAUUCAUGUGGAUGGUGAUCCAUUGGUCUUUCAAUCGACUGGAUCAAUCUUCUCAGGAUUCUUAUACCGACGAUGGCCUUUUUUCAGUACACCUUAUUGACUUCAGUAAUGGAAUCUAUCUCACCCGCCUCUCAUUUAGGAAUAGAAACUACCUUUCCUGUUAGCGCAGAGGAAAACAACACUCUAAAUUGAACUGAUGUGUAUUGCAGACAUGAAUUUAUUGAAUCCUAUAAUCUAAGGAAUUUCUCUAAGACACCUUGGGCUACGGGCAAUCACAGGACAUUAAGCUGCUGACUCCCAGUUUACUGCUGGCUCUCUCUCUUGGGGUGCUAACGGGUGAAGCCCUGUAACUCGCUUGUUUGUUUGUUCUCCUGACUGCAAUUACAAAUUGAGGGUUAUAUGAAGACAACUCUGGUUUUCACCCGAUACUUGAAAGUUCAAGAACUCCUGCCGCGGAAGGAGCCCCGGUGCUAGAGUCUGAGUUGUUGUAGAAAGAACAGCUCUUGGUCUUGCUUGGGAGGGAAGGAAGGCUUUUUUGGUUUUGGGCUAUUACUAGUAGAUCCCUUUCUCUUUGCACGAACAGGGAAAAGAUCAAAGCAAGGUAUUCCUUUUGAGAAUCUAGUUGAUGCGAGCCUAAUUCAUUAUGCCAUAUCCACUCGACUCGGGUAAGCCAAAAAAGAGGUGUCUCAAUAGCCCUUGGGUGAAUAAUAGAAUACGGGAAUGAUUCAUUGAACGGAACCUACCAGUUAGGCUUGGAGAACAGAGCUAGUCAACAGAUCUAGACGUGCGAUAUGGGACACGAACGCCAGGCCCUGUUGCCUGAAGGGAGGGACGAGGUCUUUCUUUUCGGUCUUUCUUUUAGAGACAAAGGGUUAGGCGGCUGAUUCAGAGGAGUAGGCUAUUGGCAUUCCAUUCCGGACAAGGCAGUUAGCGGACUUCAGGCUAUCACUCUCUUCCGGGCAUUAGCAAGCAAUCCAGACAUAAAUAUCUGCCGAGCCAGCCGGCAAUCCAGACAUAAAUAAGGAGAAUUGAUAUCUGCCGAGCCAGCCGGUAAGAAAGCUAACCGAAAUAAGGUAACAGAAGGAUUCUGCUAGUCUAUGAAUAGAGAAACAAUCAGUCUGUGAUAAGCAUAGCAUCAGAUAGCUGAAAGAAGUUGCUAGUUCUGUAAGCCUAUUACGAUCAGCAGUAGCCGAACGAACUGGAUGCUAAUCAGUCAGAUCAGAUAGGAAAAGCCUUUGGCAUCUAAGCUGGCUCACGGUGGAUAGCUAGGCAUGUAAGGUAUAUUCUUCUCUUGACUAUGCCAAUCCUAUCCUUUACCAACAAGCAGGCUACCGAUAUAGCUGUGGAUUGAUAUAGAGAGUAUACUGUGCCAAGCCUAGAAAGUCAUAAUUUCUGAAUGGGAACUUACAUACAAAAAGAAUGGAACAGUAGACAACCUUGGUGUAAAAGUGGAACAUGCGAGAAAUGACGUACCCCACUUAAGCUUGAAGAUCCUAAUCCUACUGCUCGAACAGUAACUCCACGAAACGACUUUCCAAGAACUGCUUCCACAGCGUAUUCUUUUGGGCUUCAGAUCUUGAGACUUCCAAAAUACAGAUAAAGAUUCAUAAUUAAUGGAAUAUUGGACUUGGGCGUGUUAGGAAGUUAAGCAAGAACAAGUAAUGGCGUUCCAUACACGUAAGCACCCGAACAAGCUUAUUUCUACGAACAAGAGCUACGGUCGACCACUACAAGGGGCUUCAGAGCAUAAGGGCACAUAAAGUAUACCUUUUAGCAUCGCGGGGAAACUCCUCUCUAUCAUGUGGGAAUCCUCAUUGAAACUUGGAAACGGUACUUCUGAUGCAUUUCACCCUAACAUAUGACCUGUUCCCUUGCGCAACGGGUAGAUCCUCGUGUAAUGAGUGGGCAGUAGAGAAAAUACAUCCCACAAUAUAUUCUGACUUAAUAAGAGCACUUGGGAUAAAGUGACGUAAAUCCACUAUUCCCUUUGCUUUUGACGAACUCUACUUAGAGCUAGAGCACCGAACCUCUCUCGUAGACAUCAAGCCAAUAACCGUACAAAACGGAACUUCCCGAUCCAGAUCCUAAUUAUGCUUCAAAGCCCGGAUGAAGAAGGGACGUUGCUUGGUGGACUUGCUUAUUACUGUUAUUAACUCCUAAUGUUAUUGUCCCCUUUCUCUUCUGACCCGUGCCCCGACCUCCACUUUCCGUUUAGAAAUGUCCACUCUUGCGCCAACAGCUUUCCCUCCACUUUCCGUUUAGAAACGUCCACUCUUGCGCCAACAGCUUUCCUUCCAGUUUCAGAUCAGUCUUCUUGAGCACCAGGUCCGGUAUGGAAAUAAGUCAAGUAUCGAACAGUCCAUUCCCUUUUUCAACAACAUUAUUUCCUUGCCUUGCCGGAAACUCCAAAUCGAAGUGUCCCGAGUAGUAGGUCCAGUCAAAACAUUAACAUUAAGGGUCUUGAAUUGCACUUUCGCCAACAAAGGCGGAUACAGAUUCAAUAAGGGAUGAAACGAAAACUCCACUUGAUGAUUCUUCACCGACAACAAAGGGAAAGCCCAGAACUGCACCAGAAGCUUACGUAGUUAUGUACUCGAAAGUGGAAGAAUGAUUUGUUGCUUCAGCGAUAAGGGACUGAGUGAGAAUACUAGUAAGUCCCCUGGGGUGCCUCUAACUCUACUCUUGGAAAGUAUUCAACUCUAUUCUGAAACUCUUACUUGCGAGUGGAAUUCUUUACUCCGAUAGUUUCAUUGUUUAUUUCGAGUGGAAUUCUCACUUUUCUAUAAGAGCACUAGGGGAGUCGUUCAAUUCUCACCUUAGAGUGGAGAGCACAUGGUUUGUUAUACCCAUCUCUAUUAUCCCUAGGCGGGGAACAAGGAAGUUAUUACAAUCUCUUUGACUUAUUAUUCUUAUUCUCUAUACGGGCGCAAAGGGAGCUUCCUUGCCUAUAAGAUAUUCUGUUCUUCACCCCUAGCUAUAGCUUCUUAUCUUUCAAGAGCUUCUUAAUACGGUUUAUUACUUACUUCUUUUCUUCUUAACACCGCUGAUCCAUUCUCGUAAACUACACUCGCUCGCACUGCUUAUUCUUAUGCUUGAGAUCUUUAUUACCUUGCUGGUUAUUUAGCCGAUUCCCUAGCUUCUGGUGUUGGCGAAAGUCCUGUUUGGGGGUUAUAAAAGUAGAGUUAAGGUCGGAUUAAAGUACUGGUUCUUAUGCUUGUGUUUAAGGCUGUAACUCCUUUCCUUGGACUUAAGUGGAUAAAGCUGUUCCUGUGAAAGUGGAAUCCGCCUCUGUUGCUUGUGUUACUAAGUAUUCAAUAGAAGAAGUGUAAGUAGGUUAAAGUGUUGCAGUAGAAGGAGCUCGAUUGGCACUCUCAUCUUAAGAUUCAAUAAAUGAUUUAUUUGACUUCAGACUCAACACCAACUCUCUUGACUGUGCCGGUUAGAAAUAGAUUUCCAUUGAAGCGGUUCAAUUCAAUGAUUAACUGAAACAAACUAGAGUGAAGCGAAGGAAAGAGGACAAGACAAGUCACUACUUUAAGCGGUAGGAGCGGAUGAGUUUAGCUAAAGGGAGCUUGGAGACAAGCACUUAUUAACGCAGCUUCGCGAGUGGAAUCCGUUUGUCCACUUUCAUCCUAUAUCAAUGGAAUUUCUAAGGCUAUUUCGGGAGCUGCACCAGCCAUUACUUGUUUUGUUCUGGCGCUGUUCAACAGUUGGGCGAGUAAGGCCAGUCAAUCCUGAAUUUAUGAAUCUCACUGACUUAAUGAAGUAAACAAACAGAGCAUUGCUUCCAAACUACUCCUAACAUGAAGGGGCUAACUCACUUAAGAAAAGGGCUUGUUCACGAAUAGCUUGUUCUCGAACGGGGCACUUUAUAGGUAGGGGGGAAGUCUGGAAUAUAAGACCCCCAGCCAGAUCUGCCUUAUCGAACAUCUAAUACUUACGCCAAAUAUUCUAUUGCAUGUGAGGGCUUGUUUUCAAUUGAAUAAGAAUCUCCUUUUGAGGAAGAGAAGGAGGGCUGGUAUUUCAUUAUCAGAGGACUAGUCGUUAGAGCUAGUAAUGAAGAUGGCAUGAAGAUCGGCAUAUUACUAUUACUCUUAUAGACGAGAGCAUCUAGAGCAAUGGAUCGAGUAACUCCGCUCCGGAUCAACUGCCUAACGCGCAUAAACGAAGCUCGCCCCCUGUACUGUAUGUAUUUCUGUUAGUCACUCCCUCCCGCUAAAGCUAAAGCAGAAGAUGCGGCUUAGCCAGCAGCACUCUUUGAUCGAACCUUCUGUUGUAAGAAGAAGGCCUUUGCCUGGUCAAGAGAAAGAAGCUAUAAGUGACUUAGAGGCCUCAGGUAAUAAUAGAGUCCAGUCCGUAGGAAGGUAAUGCAGCUAAGCCGAGACUAGCUUGCUUCUGAGGCAUUGCAUACUUUUCAAACCAUUAUUAUAUGCUAUUAUAUGACGAUAUGAUCUUUUCUCUUGUUCAGAAGUGACGUUUGCUGCUAUCUACGACAAGAGUUAAGGAAUUGAUAGGGAAUCCGGUCUUAGUUUGAAAGAAGAAAGAACAGCAGCUCCAUUUUAGAUUCAAUCUGGCAAUAACUCUAGGUUCUUCACCAGUUUGGAUUGAGCUUUCACUCUUUCAAGGUAGAGCGAGAGAGAAGGAUGACUUCGACGAGCGAGAGAGAAGGAUGACUUCGACCGGGCCUGCCACUCACUCCACCGGAACCAGUAUGCUUCAUAAUACUGACCCAAUCUCGAUUUGGAAGUCGAGACAUCACAACUCCUGUGGCCUGCGAACUCUCUUGCAAUCCUACUUUUACUCUACGGCUGAUAUGGUAGGGUAGAAAUGGUUUGACAUCAAAGUCUGGAUGUAGUUUGGUGAAACCCGGCAGAUGAAGAAGCCCUAACGAAAGCAGGGAUCAUCUUUGAGAAGUAAGCUAUCUCUUGCCCUCUUUACCGAUUUGCAUCCUUACCUUACGAAAAAUGGAUGACUUAUAUGGAGCGAUGGAAGAGUAGAGGACCUCCUUGAGAUGGGGAGAUGCUUUUACCAAUGAAAGGAAUUAGCUCCUGGAAGGCCAUAGCAAGAGAGAUAGCGUUGGUUUCCGACUUAGUGAGAGAAGUAGGUAGUAUCAAGCAACAGGCAACCGAGGGUUGUUGAAGAACCCGAGUGUAUCAAUGGAAUGAUUGAGCGUUACGGGUACUCGGGAGUUAAGGACAGGCUUGACUAAAGUCCCCUCACUGGUAAAGAUAUUAGUAAGUGCCUUUCUACCAACCCUUUGGAAAAAGAAGCAAGCCCUCAUUCAAUUGAAAGACUUCCACCCUGAACAAAGAAAGACAUAAAGAGCAGAGCUCUCAGGACGCAAGGCUUUGUAGGUAAGGCGAUCCCCUCAAGUAUAACAGAGCACCUGCGAGCUACUGGACAGGAGCGAUCCAUAAGAAUAGCCUCGAAUAGCCCUAACCUCAUCUCGCCUUCCACCGCACCAGCAAGAGGAAACCGAAUGAGAGCAGACAGAAGACUAAUGCCAUCCGAGCAGAACCAGAAACUUGGACGCCGCCCAACAAGCACACCGGUUACUGAUGAAAGACCGUCUUAAAAGACUAGGAGCUGAUUCUAACAAAGAGAAAGACAAAAGUAGCUUGGCCCCCUUUUAGAUUCUUCACCGACGAAACUGUCAACCGAACUCAAACUUUCCUUUAGCGUAGUGCAAUCCAUUCCUCAUAUUAAUUGGACUCUCUAACAGAGCAUCUAAAUAGAAGUUCUUCUUAUUACCAGAGUAUCUAUAUCCACAACAUCCUUAUCUUAUAUUAUUGCUGACAUUGCUUACUGCUGGAACAACACUUUCUGAAUCGCUCGUUGCCAACACACAGAUGAAACUCUCCUUGAUGGCCCGAUAAGUCCCCGAUACUGAAGCAUCAAAAAGAAAGGUGCUGAAAGCCUUCUUAGAUUUGGAGAAGUGCCGAUUUUCAAGAACGUGAAUCUUAUGAUAUGUAUGGGGAAUCUCUUAUGAUAAUCAUCCACGCCUUCCACUUAUUUUGAUGCCGGAAAGUUGGAUAGGUUGGCCCCUACGUAAGGACUACUAUAUUACUCCCCCUAUUUCUCUAUGAAAUACAAGAUUGGAUUGGAUUUGUACAGUGUGUAGGAGGUACAUUCUUUCUAUUGCUAUCCUUUCACUCCUCUCGACUCUACUUGAGAAGUGUUUUUCACUUAUAUGUUCUGUAUGAAUUAUAGAUAUCUUACAUAAGAGACGGAUUCUUCUUUUUGACUAAAGCACAGUAAGAAGAAACAUGAAAGAAAAAGAGAGAGACGGGAGCAUAAUAGAACUUUGUUCUUGCUUGACCAUUACCUUCCAUACAUAUAUUUUGACCAAUAAAUAGGAGGAGGUGUAUAUAGUUAGACAGAUAGAUGAGUAAAUACGUAUGAAUACUCAAAAUACUAUUAACGCCCGGCCUGAUCCAUCUCGAUUCAUUUGUAUGAUCAUAUCUAUCCGAUACAUUAUUUACGUAUCAGGAACAUGAUUGGGACUGGUAACACGAGAUGAGAGAAGUAUUUUCCUCCGAUCUACCAACUGAGCCGACCAUUUACCGUGCAUAAUCCUAGUAUAGUACUCUAAUCUAUGUCAAUUAAUGGGACUAAACAAACAAAGUAGUAAAAGGGACUAAACAAACAAAGUAGUAAUAAAUGACACUAGUAAGUGUAAGGAUAAUGAUAUGGACUGUGAAUGAUUCAAUAAUAGAGAUUCUUUGCCCAUAUAUGUUCAUUUGUACAGGUUCUAUCCAAAUUGGGAUAAGAUCAUGAUUGAAGUUCGGAUCCUUUUGUGAAAGAGUAGAGUGAAUGAGAAAGAUAGUGCAGUUUGAACUAAACCACUGAUGCAAAAUAUGGAGUAUAAUAACUUUGGAAGUCAGCUUUAUUGGGAAUAGAGUAGGCUUUAUUGGGAAUAGAGUGACUUGAAACCCUAACAUUUUGAAAGUCGAUGACAGACUAACUGCUGGAAGGAAAGGGUAGUUUCAUUUAGAUUCACUAUUUAUUUGAUAAGAGAAUGGCUUCCAAUUCGGAACUGAAACUGGAGUUCUUGUGCGAGUGUUGUCAAGCGACGACUCCUCUUUUCUUGGUUGCCAUAACAAUAGAGUAUUUUCAAACAAGGGAAGAAAUAGAAUCAGCAGCACCGAGAUCAGAUGCAGUUUCCAGGGGUAAAGUUCCUGCUCUCCGUCUCUGCUUGAGUUUCCGAACACAGGACUUGUUUCUAACUAGAGAAGAAAGGAACGAAAACAGGCGAACGAACAAAGAAGGCUUUCCCCUAGGUCGUUAUGUCUAUUCUAUGGAACGGAGCUACUCGUAGGAAAGAAAGACGUAGAGAGCCUAUGAGUAUAUGAAUGGAUUAGGAGGAUUGGGAUAUCUAAGAAAUGCGGAAAUCAAUCCUGAAGAGUCAAUAUCUGUUUCACGCAAACACCGAACUCCGACUCUUUAGAAGAAUUGUUGAGGCAUGCCAUAUACCAGCUGCAUUGCAUUAUGGACCGGCAUCCAGUCCAGUACCUGACCUUAAUCAUCUACAUAAGAGCAUAUCGGCGCCUAAACCCUAAACUAUACCAAUCGGACCCAACAUCCAUCAUAUUCGAUCCCUGCACCAAACAAACCAUAUCUUAUUGACUUUGCAAUCGUCCCCAACACAUUUCUACUUAUAUCUACCACCUAUCUAUCUAUAUAUCUAAUAGAGAAACAGGUACUACCUACCUAUAUAUCUAAUAGAGAAACAGGUCUCAACCUUCUUGUUUACUCGAUCGACUAACUGGUCUCAUCUCAACCUUCUUGUUUACUCGAUCGACCUAUAGCCAUAGGCACCUUAAAUGGAAAAUGGCAUUAUGGGACCUUAACAUAGAAAAUAGCAUUAUUUACCCAAACCCUAUACUAUCAAAAGGGGGAGGCACCCCAAGAGACUUGCUUAUUCCAUUCCAUUCCCUUACCUGCCAAGUCUGAUUGUCAAGAGUCGUACGAGUGUCUGAGGGCAAGGAAUAGUAUUCAAAAAGGAAAAGAAUGUACCCAUUGGCAUGAUAACCAAUCGCAUACCCAGAAGUCUGAUGAUGCCCGGACCCUUGCAAGAGAGAUUGAUGCGAAUGAGAUUGAAAACCUGAUUGGGCGAUAUCCUCUAAGAAAGAAUCAUUGCGACUCAUUUAUAGUGUUGUUUACAAAGAAGAUUGAAACUAUAAGAGAUACAACGGGAAGCAGCUAAAACCUUAAGGAUCCUGAUAGUUGUAAUAUUAAAGCAGUAUAGUUGUGUGUAUAAAGCUGNNNNNNNNNNNNNNNNNNNNNNNNNNNNNNNNNNNNNNNNNNNNNNNNNNNNNNNNNNNNNNNNNNNNNNNNNNNNNNNNNNNNNNNNNNNNNNNNNNNNNNNNNNNNNNNNNNNNNNNNNNNNNNNNNNNNNNNNNNNNNNNNNNNNNNNNNNNNNNNNNNNNNNNNNNNNNNNNNNNNNNNNNNNNNNNNNNNNNNNNNNNNNNNNNNNNNNNNNNNNNNNNNNNNNNNNNNNNNNNNNNNNNNNNNNNNNNNNNNNNNNNNCGAGAAAGAGAUAUCCAUAAUGGAAGCCCCAGAUAACAUAUGUGAAGACCCAGAGUGCAUCAAACAAAGAAAGGAAUAGGCGAACUUGGUUUGCGGCUUGCUUGGCAAAAAUAUAUAUAGUAGAGGGGUGAAGGAGCUCGGCGGGAAUAAGCUUAGUGCCGGUAGUGCAAUACUACUUUCAAUUACAGAAUCUGAUGAUGAAGAAUAAAAGACUCUAAAAGAAACUGACUCAUAUAGAAUGCAUGUAAGCAAACUGCUUCCUAAAAGCGACUUACUUAUAUAGAAAUGAGGUAACCAAAGAGCUUAUUAAAAGCAAUGCUGUGUUGGCGCAAUAUUGCAUAUGUUAUUUAGAAAAGCAUAGAGAACUGUGAGUUACUGUAGUGAGGUUACAGUUACUAUUGCGCAAGUAUAGUGCUUUUGGUGCCUCGUGCCUCUGUCCUUAGAUUCUAUGGUGAGGGCAGCCUCAAUUCGUUCUUCUUGUUCUUUCGCUCUCUUAUGAAUUAUAUACUAGUGGUUCUUAAUACUCCUAUCAACAAGCAAGGUAAGCGCGUGAGCUUAUUGUUGUUUAGAGUUAGGUUUACUCAGUUCCAUAAGAAGUAGCACUCAAUUAGAUUCUUAUUCCAGUGUUGGGUUGGUGACUUCUUUCUAUACUGUGACAGUGCUAGCUAAAUUCAAAGCAAUGGAACAAGCAAACAAGCAUCGUUCCUAAGUGCUAACGCUUAUCUCUGGGGGUCGGGAUAGCUUCACACUGGCCCAACUGUCCCUAUAGCUAGGUUAAUGCUUGACUUUGUAGCCUGUUUUUCGACCCCUAGAAACCCCUAACGAUAGAAGACUGGAAUUCACAUUACUUGUUCAACCCACUAACGGCACUUUGGGCGAGAUCCACUAGACAAGACAGCGCUACCAACCCAACCUGACUUGAUACUUAAGCGAGCAGAGCUUCUGGAUACGAGAUUAUUACUACAGCAAACUUUCCACUCCACUACUUUGAGCUACACCCUCACAGAAUAAGUAAUAAGUGACACCUCAUAAGUAAUAAGUGCAAGAUUCCAUGAGUAUAUUGAAACUACUUCUCUUAUUUGACUUGAAUCACUCACUUUCCCCUCAUCUCCUUGCUUUCUCUCAAGAAUAGAAUCCGAACCCCCGAUUCGAUUGCUUGUUUGAGUUCUACCACAAUAGCUGCUUUCAAGGAAUGCAAUCCUUAGAUGGUAUGGCAUAGCGAAAAGUUUACACCUUCAUUAUUCUAGGUAAGAAAAUCCCCUUUAGCCUACUCUACUUUUACAUAGCAAACUAGUUGGUGUACUCCCCCUCGACGCGCUGACCCGAUGUAAGUCAAUCCUUUUGUCUCACAGAUCCAUCUUCUUUCUUUCUUAGAGCAUUAUUGAAACCAUUUGAACCUAGUCGCGUGGAAGGAGCCAGAUUACAGAUACUUUCUAUUCUCUCGACGUCUUGACCCAUACAUAGUCUGCUAAUCGAUCAACGUCUUUGAUCCUUACAAGCUUGGAUAGGACAAUAUCUCUCUGUUGUUUGUUACAUAACACUGAAUUUGUUCGUUCUUAUUACUAUGAUUCUUUCUAUUCUUAUUUCUUACUCAUUUUGCUUUAUUAUUUAUGCUGGUUUAACCUCUUCUUAUUAAUUUGUAUAUGAAUACUAGAUGAAUACUAGAUGAAUACACUGUGCCCCCGACUCUGAAAUAAGCCCUCGAGGCAAGGCGCAAAGGAAGAGAUGCUCUUCUUUGGUCUUGAACUAGCUCUCCCCGCUCGAGAGUUCAUGUUGGCGAUUCACUUAAUGAAUAGGUCCUUUGACGAUUCCCUAGCAGUGCCUGUUUGGUACCGAGCUCUUUUACGUCUUUAUUCCUUCACGCGCUAAAAUCCAAUGGGCACGAUCUGCUAAAAAGCCUUGUUUAGUUGGGUCUACAGUUUCAGUGGGUACUCACCUGCAACAUAAGUUGGGCAAAACAAACCUAGGUUCAUUCCACUUUCCACUGGACGAAGGAAAGAAAGAGAUAGAAUACAACGGGUUUUCAGACGUAUAGAGAAUUACACGAGAAUCUAGCCUUGGUCCUCUCUUUCUUUGAUAGGGCACAUAAACCAAUAUCUAAUGUGAAAAGGUUAUUGCUUAUCCCGGAAUAAAUGACAUUGAGACAGAUCCAAGUUACUGCUCAAAAGAAAAAGCGGUAGUAGCCGGGCACCGGUAGCCCCAGCCCGUAUAUAACAGUAUCAGAAAGCUAGCACUCUUUGAUUGCGGGGAAUUUCCUCGAGUCGGGUUCGAUGCCACAAUUAUCAGAUGUGUUCAAUAGUGGUUUUUCAAUUCUUAUAAUUCACUUAGAUAGUGCUUUUGACAUUAUUCUAAUUCACUCUUUCAAAGGUAAUGAAAAGGUGUGUUUCGAAAUUCUUAUAAUUCCAUCUUUCAAAGGUAAUGAAAAGGUGUGUUUCGAAAUUCUUAUAAUUCCAUCUUUCAAAGGUAAGGUAAGAAAAUCCAAUGGUUUUGAUUCAGUAUAUUGAAAUGUUACCCACGCCCGGUUAUCCACUUUCAUUAAAACCAACAUGCCAAGCUUCCUUCUUCGCUCAAGUCUCAGUGCCAAAGUAAGGAAAAGCAAAGACGCCAAGGCUCAAGACCAAAUAAGCCCUACUUUUUCCUAACCUUCGGAGAGAAAGAAAGUAUUCGUUAUCACGCCUUUUCGUAGUAAGCCAAGAGUGAGUAAGUGCUUCAGCAGACUUGUCUUGGAAAGUACCAGGAACAAGUGCUUUAUAGAGUCAAUAAGGAUGUUCUAUAAUUCUUUCGCAAUGAAGCAGCGCCUCUUCAUUGUCUCUCGUUACAGGGUUGGAUGCAUAUUUGACUCUAUGGUUAGGUUCCUUGGUCUAGCCCGCAGAUCGCUUGUCGGGCGCUUUCGGGGGCUACAUCUUCACUUGCGAUCUUCCUUUUUCUCUUUUCCAAGUUCAAAAGAACAAGUAUCUUGUGUUAUAGCCAACGAUUUACCCCCUAUAGAGAGGUUAUACUUCCUAUUUCUCUAUUAGGCUGCUACUCUUAAAUGCAUGUCAAGGAAUGAAACUGUAUGAUAUACGAUCGCAGAGCUCCUUGAGUCGACUAUAAGACUGUAGCAGAGCCUCCUUGAGUCAACUAUAAGACUGUAGCAGAGCCUCCUUGAGUCAACUGUCCGUUUGAUAUACGAUCGCGGAGCUCCUUUAGUCUUAGCUGCCUCUUUUACUGCGAUUUGAAUACUUACUAAUUAGAACAUAGCUUUUGCAUGAAGUAGCUCUCACUCGAUGAAACAUAAAGGGCAGCGGAACAGUGAAAGAACUAUAGGGUUCUAUGGCUUUCUAUCCUGGAUCCGGGGAGCGACUCCCAUAUGUAUGUUCCUUUCGACCUUAAAGCCGAUUGGGACAUGGCUCCUUGCUCGCAUUUCUUUUCUAGUCGGGGUCUUUGUUCGACCUGCACGCCCGCUUUCCUAAAUAGCAUGAAAGGUUCUUCAAUGGUUUGGUCAAGAGGGGGAAUUUCCCAAGGAGAAAGGGUCCUUAUCUCAGGAGACUGAUCGGCGGAGUAAUUUGAUCAUCUCUGUACCGACUUCUACAUCACAAUGACUUUCUAAAGCUUAUGCCCUCUAUUUUCUUGAUUCUUUUCUUUCUUAAACAGCCUUAUAUUCUUUUUCUAGAAGUAAAGCGGACUAGCCAAAGCUUCUGGAAUCACCAACUCUAGCUCGUCCUUUUGGUCCUUUUCUGAUCCUAAACAAGAACGGGCCUACUUUGAGCUCAGCUCCAGGCACCGAUGCCGAUACAAGACACAACCGCUGCAGUUCGACUAAGAGCAUGGUUCCUCCUCCUAACUAAAUAGAUUGGAAGUUAUUAGCUUCAUAUCCCGGUGUUACAAACUUCUUAUUAAUGUCUUUCACGCUCUAAUGGAAGUUUUGUUAGUUUGAGCCAUUGUUGCGAAUGAGAUAGCUUGAACCUAUGUCUCCUAGAUAAUUUACAAUUCUGAAGCUCGUGGAUCCCUCUUUCGUUAUUCCCCCUUGGAUUCUUAGAUUUCUCGUAUACCUUUUUCUCCCUCUGAAAUCUGCACAAUUUCCGCCUUUUGCAUUUCUGGAUGAGAAUCCCACAUCUUUGAAACUAGCCCCACCGUCCCAUCCCCUUGAAUCGGGCGUAAAAGAUUCUAUUGAUGGUGGAAUCGUUCACUCCUCGGUAGAGCCAAGCCUGAGAAAAUCGAAUUAAUAAAGAAGGCGUUAGAAAGGAAGGACGAGGACUCUUGCUUGUCCUGCCAUGCCAUUCAUUCCUACAUAGGGCCUUUGCUUUCAUUGAUUCCUUCUCCCAUCUAUGCGACCACUUCCUUCUCCCAUCUAUGCGACCACAAGUAUCAAUCCAUCUCCAAUUCACGGGAUACCUAUGAGCCGUAGAGCCUACUACCCCAACGCCUUUGCACUUGGAUUUGUAGCUCCGCACUGCAUUUAUCUAUGCAAUGCCACUUUCGCAUUACCUUUUUCCUACUGCUACUCUUCUUAUACCGGCGAAGUUCUUUUGAGCCCCUGGCGAUCGAUUCUAUGAUAUUCCCCCACUUAUGAACGACGCAAAACCAAACCCUUUUUGAUGCCGUAGCUGCAGCUGCCUGCCACCUGCCGAUACUCUUUUCUUGUGACUCGCCUGCCCUCUAUCUCUUUUCCAUGAAUGAAUGACAUUGGGACAGAUCCCUCAAAAGAAAGCUGUAAGGUUGGUUUAAGGAAUAGAACAUCAAAUUGCGGCGUUAAGUACAAUAGUAAGCUCAGCACUGAUACUUACUUACUUAUUAGUGUUAGUAGAGAGCCUUUCAUUAAAGUAUAAGGAGACACAAAGAGAGGUCUUUCAAGGCGGUAUAAUCAUUUUGAUAGGUCUUCAUCAAGUCGGUAGAAUCAUUUGAAUCGUUGUAAGGGAAUGCCUUAGUCAAUCAACUCACUGCCAUUGACCAGGGGAGGGGGUGGGUGGCGAACAAGACUUGCUCGGCAACAGCUGAAAUAGAGGAAUAAGCACAUAGGUCUUGAAGAAGCGGGUCUAUCGAUGAUAGCUUUUUCCAUGUAACGUUGACUUUACCCAGGAUGCGCUUAUCGCAGAACGCCCUAUUGCAGAGCCCAUUAACUUACUCAAAAGAUCAGUAUAGGAAGUUGUUUAGGAAUAUGUCAAAAGGGACGUAUAGGAAGCAGUUUAGUAAUAUAGGAAGCAGUUUAGUAAUAUUCAAUUGUCAAGACCGCUGAGCCCUCCACUGUUAAAGAAAUUCGAUUAGUGCAGUAGGUAACCCAGCCCCUAAGGGUAGUACGGGCCGGCCUUAUACCAAGCAUUUCACUUCACCUAUGCCUAAACAAUGCAAGUAAUCGAAAACAAUGCAAGUAAUCGAAGCGUACCAUGAAAAGCAGAUCGAGAUAGACGAUUCAUAUAAUUGCUUGAGUCACUGAUUCUCAUUGCUUGAGUCACUGAUUCUCUCAGUUUGAACUAAUUACUCAUCUCAAAAGUAAUGUAGAGUUACUCAUCCAAAAAGUAAUGUAGAGAUAUCAUAGGGUAAAAGCUGCACUGCCUUGCGGCCCGCUUUUCAACAAGAAAAAGAACAUUCGACUGAGCUAUCGAGUAAGUAAAGUCGCAGCCUUUAGAGCUGGGUGCCGGGGCUAAGAUGAACCUCCACUCAACCCUCAACCUAGACAUAUAAUUCCUAACUCUUUAGUGGAUGAUUUGAUUGGAAUUACUAGCUCCUUAAUGGAUUUCAUUGAUUCUUUUUUAAGAGCUACCGACCCCAAGAAAAGAGUAUGUUACAUUUCCAACUGGCGGUCUACGUGAUUGAAGAAAGAGCCAUUAGCCCUUGCCUUCAACCAAAGCGGAUUUUUCGAAUAAAGGAAACACAAUGAUAUAAGCCUGCCCUGCAUAAAUCGUCCUGGCACCAUAAACGUCCUUAGCGCUCGCCCUAACUCCAGCCCGUCUUCCAUUCCCCUCCUUUUUUCAGCCUCGCUUAUGUUUCGCUUCAUUGUAAUAAUGAGAAGUCCAUUGUUGGCUCCUGCGCCAUAGCACCACACGCAUAGACGCAUAAGGCCUUUUUUCAUUAUAGAUUCAAGCUGACAACGCUUUCUCUUACUUAGGGAAGCAGAAGCUGCGGGUCGUCGUGUUCGUAAACGCAUCCAAAAUGGUGAAAGUUUCAUCCGAGGCAGAAGCUAACGAAAGACAGCGAGCGAAACGAGGGCGGGUGAAGGAACCGGGGAGAGUCAAUGAAUCCUACCUAUAACUUAAGAGCGGCAAAGAACACUUUGAUUCUAUAUGCCAUUAGUUGAAGCUGUCGUAUACAGUAAAAAGAGAAAAACCUUGCGCCAGCCUUAAGUAUGUAAUUAUGUAAUGCUAAUGAUUCGUAUACUAGGCGUGGUCUGAGUAUAUUCUAUCGACGGAAAGCGUCUAUCGCAGUGCAAAUCAUGUGAGUACCUUACCACCAACCAGAAAAAGUUCCUGCUCGUAAGGCUGGAUUCAAGCCAUGAUUCCAAAUCCGGGGUAGUGGGUCUCCGCCCGUGUGGAGUGUUUGGGAUAGCUGGGUCUAUAUAUGGGUAGAUAUACUAAGAUCUAUAAAGAACAAAUGGGAAAUGAAAACCGACGAAAUACGAUUACGGGCUAAGGAUAGGACCAGUCCGCUGGUCGAUAGGCCAAUAGGAACAAAAUAGGUAUGGCGCCCUAUCUUUCAAGCUUUCAAGGAAGUCGUCUUAUCAAGUUACCCAAUAGAAGGAAGGCUGAAAAACCGGAUCUAUGACUUCACCCUCCCUUGAAGCGCUUCUGGGCUGUUCACUGGAAGCUAGACCUAACAACUAGACGACCACCUGAUCGUAGACCAUCCACCAAAGCCUUUGUUUUUGAUUCUAUUUCUUAUGCAGGGCGUGCUAGCGGGAAGUCCGGUUAUGAACACCCUCCAUCAACCAUCGUAUCCAUUUUCUAUUAGGUGGGUCGGGUCAUAUUAGAUUAUAGUAAGUACAUUUAUUUGCUCCUUGUUAAAACUCAUAAUCGAAUCUCCUUCUUCUAGGCAACCAGGCUUACUCGUAAGAAAGGUAGAGAAUAGAGUGGACUGGGCUUGUUAAAAGAAGUAUGAGUUUACAGUGAAAUCAGUAGUAGUUGCCCUUACAUUAAGUCGGCCUAGCCAGUAGUAUACGAGAGGGGAGCAUUAGAUAGUAGCAAGAGGGAGUUCAGUCUGCUACUGACACUCAACAGGGAGCUGGCUUUCAGCACCUCACUUUUUCACUGUAACUGGGCAUUCAUUCCACUUUAACUUGACCCGGACUAAGGGUUCAGGAAGGAUCUUAUUAGCAGAAUUCAAUGAAUUUCACCCUGCUUGCGUCAUCUGAAAGAAAAGAAGGGGUAUGGGUCUUUGAGGCUGAGGGCUGUCCAAUUAUAGAGUUUACUCAUAUUGGAAUUAGAGAGUUUACUCAUAUUGGGAAGCUAGGAAUAUAGGAAUAAGAUAUAGUAAUAAGGGAAGCUAGGAAUAUAGGAAUAAGGGAAGCUAUGAAAGGCAACUACUAGACUCGCUAACCACUUCUAUUUCCUCUCCUGGUAGUACUGUUAGAGUUAGAGUUUCAGACCAGUUAGUAGAUACCUUAUUCUUAUUCUAGGUAUUGUUGACAGAGCAAGAGGUGAAGUAGUCGUCAGCAGCAAACGAUAAGGGAGUUGUUGCCGGGUAGCAAGUAUACGAGUAGUUGGCUCUUUGAACACAAGUCCUGAAUUCACCUAUAUUAGAGAUGAGUGAAACUAGUAUAUGUACCUUCUUUGGCGCAAGUAGUAGAGUAGUUGGCUCUUUCCAAUUAAUUGAACCCUGCUGGCUCUGCUGGGCGAGUGGAAUCUUUUAUCCUUUCUAAAGAUAGAAGAAAUAAAGAAAGAAAUCCAGUGGUCAUGUUUUUCACUGUGAAACCAACCCUGGAGUAGUUGCUAAUGACAAAUUCUCCGAAGUAACAAUAUUAGAAACCAUUGCUUGUCUCCGGGUCUAAAGUCUCAGUAACACCUGAUUUAGAGUAUUAGGCUUUCCCCCCUGAACCAUCUUUUGAGUCCUUUCCUGGAGACUUAACUGCUGAUUCAGAACAAACACCUUACUGACGCAACUAAGUACUAAACUUCUUGGCCCUAUCCACUUUCCGGAUCCCAGUAUCUGUCUGAUAUUGUCGCCCUUUCUUUUCCACUGUUGAUUCUCUCGGCACCAACACACGAACCCGGCUCCUGCUGCCCUGGCUUUCUUUCUCACUUUCCAGAUAGCUCACCCCUUAUUCAGUGCUUUAAGGCAACAAGCAACUACUCAUGUUGCGCGUUAGCGAGUUAAGGGCUCACUACUUGGAGUCUGAGUCUACCUGGUGUCAUUCUGGUUAGCAGUGAUGGAAUUCUUAAAGUAAGUAUCAGCUCCCCGCUGGCGACUUUCAUUCUUUCACUCCUUAGUUUGAUUCUGAUCUAUUCUGAUCUAGUACCCAAUAGCCAGGGAAUCAGUGGUAUAGUUAACAGACUUCAGGGAAUCAGUGGGAGUGAUUUCAGCCUGUGACUACUUAGUUUGAUCCGUUCACCUAUAUAAAGAGAAUAUAGAAUUUAGUAAGGGCCAAGGCCAAGGCCAAGCAACGGCGCGCCAAGACACUACUAACGUGUCGCGGCAGCGAGUUGAAAGCUGCGCGGCAGCAGCAGCAUAGAUAUGUUAUAACCAAUUAUGACCAAGUCAUGUGUUCGCGUUACGCGGCAGGCGUUCUCCCCACAAUUCUCUCUUUUCUUCUAUGCUUAACACAAGCACCUGAACCGACCUAUAAUAAGUGUUCACCCCGACCCGACCUAUCUUUCCAUUGGCACAACUAAUGCUAUCAGCCAAGUCGCGUAUACAAAUAGAGAGAGGAGCCUCAUCUACUUAUUGCUCCUAUCUUAUUACUUCUAUGCUAUCUCUUAUGAAACAGGACUAGACUACUACUCCACUGGCAAAACAGGACCCCUACGCAGCUAGGCACAAGUUGAUCUAAAGUAAACAAAUCAUUCAUCUACUUCUCCUCUGGCAACUGACACUCGGUCUUCAACUAGCACCGAACCUAUCUCUACCCUUAACAUUAUUGUUUCUAGUUCCAACCAAGGCUAUGGAGGUUUCAACUUCCACUCGGUAUUCCACACUUCGAUUUUCAGAACUGUCAACACCUUACUUUAGAACUGAGCUUGAUUGUUCCCCUGUUGUUACUGUUGCUGAUGGGGAUCUGUCUUCUGUAGUUUGAUUUGAUGGGAAAUCCUUCAUUGGAAACUCAGAAACUUGCCAACGAAGUCAUUUCUGCCUACCAUCUUUAUGGUUCCUUCCCUGAACUAAUUGAACUAGUUGACUUCCCACUACUCUGGUAUUGUAUAAGAAUAGUGGCCCAGCGACUACUAGAUGCGGCAGAUGGGUCAUAUAACUACUGAGUGCAAUUCACCAAGCAACUACAACAAGGCCCGAGCUACUGCUUUUCUUUCCAUGACUACUUAUACGGAUGCUUAGAUUUAGUCUCUCGCUCUUGUCUGUGAGUCUUCCUUGCCUUGCCUAGAUCCCAAGCUAACUCUUAUGGUCUUAUAGCUCUGCCGGGUAUCCUGACUUUAUUAUCUCAUUCCCUGCGGUGUUUCUCCAAUUCCCAUGCACGCUCUAGCUUAAGACCCGGCAGUGACCAUUCCUAUAGGAGUCAUUUCAUUCUUUUACUAAUGAGUCAACUUCUGCAUUCUCAGUGCAAUUCCUUAUUCUUAGUUAUUCCUCUGAUAAGUAAUAGUUGUUUUGUCUUGCUAGGUGCCUAGCCUAGGGUAUAUGAGUGAGUAGAACAGAAUCAGUAUUAGUCCUUAGUUCAAUUCGUAUAAGUAGUAAGUGGGAUUCUUUAACAAACAAGUAAGGAUCAAAGAUGGGAAUAGCAGACCCAAACCUAACUCUCUAAAGGCGGAUUGGGAGUCGAACUACAAAGUUCUUUUUAUCGGACUCAACUCACACUCAAGGCAAUAAGGUUUUAGGCUGCUUAGUUCAUUUAUUCAAUGAAUGUCCUUUAUUCGUACUAUACUAUUUGUCUUAGAGCUUGUAUCCAAGGACAGGGAUCCUUACUUAACUAGAGACUAAUGGCCCAAUGAGAGCCCAGGUCACAGAAUUUCGUUUCUGAACAGAGGAACCUAGUGUUCGAUCGGUUACUACUCUACUACUACUCUCUUCGGGCUUACUACUCAAUAGUUGUAGGCUUACUUCUAACAUGGACUAAUAACUUAUAACUCAUAACUAGUAACAGACUGAAACAACUAUACCCUAGCCUCGCCUAACAAGUAAGUAAGUCAACCUGCCUAGUACAAGUAAGUAAACAAAGAACUUACUAUAAGGGCCUCUCAACUGGACCACUACUUGUCAACUUCAGACUCCCUCGGGAGCUCAACUAAGUAAGUAUAUAGUAGAAAAGGCGCACACAGGACAGAUAUAGUAGUUCCGCUAUUGCUCUUGAAACUAAAGUACUGCUUCCAAACCUGCUCUUCAAACAACUUCUUUAGCGGCAGUCCGGGUUGGGAGUAGCAACACCUACUUCUAUUGAACUAAAUGAAACAAGUGAGUUACAGCCUGUGUUGUGUUCGUAUGCCUCUGCCUCUGCUGCCUAUGCCUUUAGUUAGUAAUUUGUAUGGGGUUCGUCUGCCUCGCCUCUCAAUCUUAUCUAUCUUAUCUUGUUAAAACAAGGGAAAGGGUAAACGAGGUCAUUCAUAUGAGUCCCCUUCAGUUCGAGGUCUGUUAUGAAAGUCUAGUUAUUGCCCCUUUAAGUAGUGCUUCUUCACAAACUACCCGAGCCGCCAAGACACGGAUAGACAAGUUACUACUCAUAGCUUCCCUUUCAGACUACACUAGGGAUAGGGAAGAAACAGAAUCAGGCCAGGGCAGCUAGGGCCAAGUCACUCAGAUAUUAAUUCUCCGAUGUCAACAAAUACUUCCUCUCCUCAGCUACAAGGCCUUAGCAACCUAUCACUUAUUACAAAUAUUCUGCAUUACAAGUUAUUGGAAGGUUAUGACCAAUCCUAGGAAAGAAAUAAGUCACAAUUAUUCAAAAUAAGGGAGCUGACUGAUGGAGAGUCAAAUUGAUAUGAAUGAGUUGCUUUGAUGUUGACUACCAGAAAUUAGUAAAAUAGUUGCCCGAGGUAUUAUAGAAGAUAGUAGCCAAGAUAGUUGCCAGAGGUAGAGGUGUUGCGGGAAGGGGAGGCGUGUAAUAGAAAAAGUCACUAACCCCACAACCCAGUAGGGCUCUUUCUCGAUAGUAGGAAAACCCCGUAGGGCUCUUUCUCGAUAGUAGGAAUUUGCCUCUACAGUAGGAAAGUAACUUCACAGUGUGUUUAAAGCAAUAAAGUUCUAAUUUCACUUUCCGGUAAGAAACAUAAGAUUUAGCUAGGUCUGAUAGCUCAGCAGAUAUAUAACUGAUAGCUCAGCAGAUAUAUAAGUAUUCCGUCGACUAUUAGACUCUAUUCUAGUUCUCUCUCUCGCAUUACUUGAAACAAAGAAUUCCACUCCAAGGGAGGAAACGGAGCCAAGCUACUCAGAGACAAGACUCGGCAAUAAAUGUAUUAUUAAUGAAGUUAUGAGCAAGUCCUUUAUUCUAUUCUGGGCGGUAGGAGCCGAGUUCUGGCGGUAGUGAGUUCCAAGCGUCAGCUACGAAAUAACUUGUUUCAUCCGGUAUUAUCCUUAAGAAAGUUCUAUUGAUUUUCUUAUACAGGGUGUGUACAGUGUCAGUAUAGGAUCAAUUCCAGUCGUUUUUCUUUUGACUAUGGUGAUUCCAACAGUUUUAAGCCCACUCUACAACUCUCUUCUUUUCUUUAGUUCACUACCGGUCAACUCUCUUCUUUCUUAAAGGAAGGAAUGCUAGGUGGUUCGGCAAGAAAAAGCCCAGUGUUAUCUAGCUCUAUCAUACAAUACAUCGCUCUUUACCGCUCGAACAAGAACAGGGCAUUCUCAUUCUUCAGCUCGAACUAUACUAGCAAAACCGGGAAUCAUACUAACUAAUAUCAGAAUAAACCCACAGCCAAUAAGAGGAACGCGGCCUUUGAAUCACUGAUCGCCGGGGUUGCAACAAGCAAAUAGUACCUCCCUAAUAAGAAGGAUCCUGCUCUACUGCCUAACAGCCUUACUAUCUUCACUUUUCGCCUUACUUGAAAGCCUCUGAGCUUCUAUGCCUCUACUCCUUUCCUUAGUUGCAUCCUAUCUAUCCUAUCUAUCAGUCCGCCCCUUGACUCUUUAACCACUGAUUCGGAUCUUUAUUUGAGUGUUUCGAACCACAACAUCCCGGUUUGUUAGCCUGCAACUCAGCUCUCCUAUUCUUAUACCUUGGAGUUAGCUACUGAUCUAAGUCUCGCUUUUGCUAGUUUGUUUGUUAAUCUGCUUGUCGAGUUUCAUUCCUACUAAACAGCCAUAGUACAAGUCAUUCUCCACAGACCCAUAUGAUAGACAAAGACAUCCUCCGUAUCACCGACCCUACAAUGGAAAAACCCUUAUCUCGGUUACCCAAUUGCAUCCGUUAUUGCAGGAUGGAUUCUUUCAUUCCUUAUUCCGUUUCAGUGUCUCUAGUAUGAGAGUAUGGGGCGCACCUACUCGUUCUUGGGCUGCGGAGCUCGAUUCCUACUUCUUAAAACUCAUUCUUUAACAGCAGAGCUUAACUCUUACUUUGCAUCUCUUAAAACGGAAGCUGCUCUCUGCCAUUCUUACUUGCUAGUUUGUGAUUCCCUUGUGUACAUGCCGCUGUUCCUCAUACACCUAUAGCACAUGCGCUACUGCAUUUAAGGUAAGUAGCCUUAUGAUUCUUUAUCGAAAGGGAGAGGCAUAUCAGGACCUUAGUUCACCAAUAAUAAGAGGAAUUAUGUUAACUUCUAAUAAUGAUGUUUACUUGACACCGGCACUAACAAUGAGGAAUGCGCUACUACCCUAUUAGAUCGAGAAACACUACUGGAAGGGAUCUAUUGACAAACAGACUCGAACUACCGCUUUUAAGGCAGCCCUUCCCCCUAUUAGUCUGUAGAGCUCCUGCCCUUGAUUGUUUCCCUCUGGACACUGAUCCUUGAACUAAACCAGUGCUAACAGGGUUCUCACUGCUGUCUCUUAGCCUUGUUUUGAAACUAACUUCCCCCACGCACUCUGACUCUUUGCUUUGAUUCCAAUGCUCUUUGCUUUAAUGCUCGAACUACGGACCCGUAUUCCCUAUCUAAUGAUCCAGAUCUUUUAUCUUAUUAAUAAGUAAUUGGACUAAUAGUAGCAAGACGAUAACUCAAAACUAUGGCAGUGACUGCAGCUUAUAGGGCUGUUACUGCAUGGAAGUUGGUGGUCGUUAGUGAGCGGUAGCUCUAUUCUAGGGGAGUAGUUAAGUGAAGCCUGUUUGCCAUUACAUUAGUUCCAUCCUAAUAGUUAGUAACUCGAUUCUUGUUAUCGAAGAAAGCGGAAUGAAAAUAAGUGUAUUGAGAGUCAAAGAUGGGAAGAGCGGGCUAGUAGGAGGUAGUCACUACGGAAUGAAGUGCAAGAGGUUAGCGAUCAAUCUAGUAGUUAUUAGUUCCGUUCGGUAGCUCGUAGUUUAGUCGAUAGCUCGUAAUUGAGUUCUCAUAUUAUUAGUUAGUUAGGGCCUUGUUAUAUGCAAGUGAAGCCUGUAUUCAUUGUGGAAGAGCUUAGUUUCCCCGGUACCCCGACUGGGAAUGGGAAGCUUUUGAUUCUCACUUUGGAGUCGAAGUCCUAUCAGUGCAAUAUCUGUUCCCUUCUUAGAUACCUAUAAAUACGACAUUCUCCCAUUACUGGCACAGUUUCUUACUUGGUGGUUGACACCUUAACAAAACUAGUGCUCCCGAGACUUAACCUAUUGGCGAACAAUGGUUCCUUUCCUGCCUCCCGAGCCUGUCUUCUAUUCUUUACACGCUAGGUAUCAAACGGACAUUGUGCCCAAGGGCUUUAGGAUCCUCUGCCACAUGUAUCAGCCUACCGUUAUUAACUAGCAAACUUAUAUUACUGCCUUAGAGUCUUAUUACUCGCAACACAGGCUUAGGCGAGUGAGGCAAUCCAUAUUCUUGUAUUAGCUCUUAGGUGACUGUAGGACAUUCCGACUUCUUAGCCCAAUUCUCAGAAAUGAGUUUAUUUACUCAGGGGGCAUUAUUGGAAUCUGAUUUCUAUUACUUUUACUCUGAUUAGCAGUGGUGAAAUCCUUAUAUGAGUAAGUUCAAUCUAUGUGGGCAGUUACUGAUUCUUUCUAUUGGUCUUAUCGCUCUUGUAGCAGAGACCAGCAUCUUGUAGCGUAUGGUAUCUUGUAUUAUUGACUUGUAGUAUUAUUCUCGUUAGUUGAUUUCCUAGCUAUGAGGAACAGUAUUAGAGGUUGUAUUAUUUGUAGAAUGAGAUAGAGCAAAGUAAGAUCUAGGUUCAGUAAAGUGAGACUAACGGCCUAGGUAUAGAUAGUCGGGAAAGGCGGGACGGGGCUAGCUAGCUAACUAGUGGAAUGAAGAAUCAAAGGCAGUAGAUCCAGUUUUCAAGCAAGCAAACCCAAGGUCACAUACCUGUCGAAUCAAACUCAAAUGCAUAAUAAGUGGAAUAGUUUUCAUCUCCAAUAGGGGGGCAGGCAUUAAUAUUCAAAACUCUACAGCUGGGACAUCAUACACAGCUAGAUCCUAUUUGAGUUUAGGAGAUCGAAAGGGCAAAGAGAGCCAACCGGUCAUGGUCAUCAUGGAGAAAAAACCACUACUUUUUCGUUCAAUUGGCCUAUAACAAUCUUCUUAUCACUAAGGGCUCGAACCAUAAGAGACCACUCUGGGUUCAGUUAAAGUCUCUCUUUGGUCACAGCCUACUCGUUUUCGCAAGAUCCACAGGAGAAAGGGGGGUUUAGUUGAUUGGAUCUCGAUGACCUCUCCGAAAAAGGGCAGCUUAAGGAAGAGGCAAAAAGGAGGGCUUCUUCACAAGGCACCGGGACCUAAACUUUUCAAUUGAUGUGGCUGAGAUUAGCCUGAAACAACCUCCAGGUCCGCAAUCCUUUUUAUCUUAGGUUAGACUAAGGGAUGCUGAGGCUCAGGUAUCACAGGCCGUCAUCCAGAAAGUCAUUACUACCCUAAACCCCUUUUACCGUUCAAAAGAAACAGAGUGAGCAGAGAAGUGAUUGCUAAUCCACACAGAAAGGCUUGUUAUUACGAAUCAUGUGCCAAAUGCAAUCAGGCAUUCCAUGAGAAAGAACCAAUUCUCUGAGAAAAAGAACCUUGCUUGCCUUACUAGCUCUCUUGUUAUGAGCAUGUACCACAGGUGGAUUCAGUCCCUUCCUUAUAGCCUUGCAGUCCAAUCUUAUCUACAAUCCUUUUUCUUUAUUCUGGGCAUCAAUCCCAUGUGAGCAAAAAGGGCCAAGUCAUCACCAAAAAGGUAACGGAAACCCGACAAAUGAUAGUCAUGAGGGCCAAGCAACGGGCCAAGCUACUCAUACCGACAAGACUGACCCCGCUAAGUAGGAGUACAACUGCGACUUAUAGUACUGUUGCUACUGAUCCAGAUCCUUUACAAGUUUGGGCACUUUACCUAGUCAUACUUCUUUGGGCACUUUACCUAGUCAUACUUCUUUCUUUGGGCACCUUACCUAGUCAUAUUGGAAUUAAUGUUCUUAUUAUAUGUGAACAGAAUAAGGAAUUGAAGAGACAAGCUACGUAUAGACUCAAAACUCCGUAAUAGAAUCAUGGAUUCCACAAAAGGAAUAGAAGAAUUGGGGAAAAAGCGAACUAAGUAAGAUAAUAUGGGUUCAACCAAAGUAUGUUUCGGGGAACCUCGCAUCAAAGAAAGAAUGGAAUUGACAUGGAAUAAACUAUCUUAUAAGAGAAUAGAAUCGAAUUGGCACUGAGAAAACUAGCUUCUGUUCUUUUAAUGUAUUGAGACUAUCCAUGUUAUAUUGAUACAAGCGAGACCUAUGCUAUUUAGACUAAUAGUACUAGAAACAUAUACUACCAACCGACUCUAUCGGAAUCAAACUCAGAAGUAGGGAUCCUCUUACGCACCUUGUACUUGCCCCUUAUAUGAGAAAACGGAGACCCGCGCUACCUCACCCAUGUGCCUGCGCUACUUACACCUACUAAGCAAGGUACUCAUUCUUCAAGUAACAUCAUAUAUUCUGUGAGCGAUCAUUCAACCACUCAUUCUUCGGUCGACACAACGUUCAUUGGGACAGACAACGUUUAUGUGGUCCAUCACCCAUUAAUAGAGGUUACCUAGGUAAUGAAUUGGUCGGUUGAACCACCUUAGUCGACACCACAUUGAUUCUUCGGUCGACACAACGUUCAUUGGUCGGACUCCCCGGUCAAAUCACUCAGCCUUGUCGUAGCACCAUGAAUUCAGUGAGCUACCUUGCACCCACUCGUUCAGUAAGCGACCAGCAACUCCGUCAACGUGGGUCAUCGCGCCUAAGUCGACAUAACCAACGUGCAUUGGGACAGCGCAUUGGGACAACAUUCAUUGGUUGGUAAACUGAACCACACCGACAUAGAGAACGACAUAGAUAAUUAUAAGCUCUAUUAGGUUUAUUCAAGCUAUAAUAUAGAGAGAACCAUGACUCACUGUCAAUUAGCAUAUAAUAUAGAGAGAACCAUGACUCACUGUCAAUUAGUAGACCAAUCGUGAAAGAAUUGAAUAGCAUUGAGCGUGACACCUAAUAUAGACAGACGUUGCUUGUUCAAUAGUAAUAAAGACGUUUUUCAAUAGCAUUGAGCGUGACACCUAAUAUAUAACUAAGUCAGAAAUCCAACUCUAUUACUGGAAGAUACUCUGAAUAAUAACUUGCGGAUAAUGUGACUUUAAGAUACUCUACUCUGAAUAAUAACUUGCACAUAUAAUGACUGCUUGAGUAGAUGCUAUAUAGAACCAAGGCAAGGCCGGAGGGUGUAUUGAAUCAAAUCUGUUUCGUUGCUUGGUGGACUUGGGACAUAAGAAAGGUGAACUCUGGAACGGAUUCAAUGAAACUAACUCAUAACUCCUAACUCAGGUGCCGGUAUUGGUAUUUCACUCCUAACUAGUCAUUUAUGAUUCUCUCUCUUUCGUUGGUAACACUUCUGAUCCUGCUUAUUGAAUUGAAACACCUGUACUUGUGACUUUCGUAUGCGAGGUGGAUUCUUUGAUUUCGCUGUUGGUUGCCCGUUAGCUUAUUGUUGUGUUCGGGGCUUCUUGAAAAGAUUGUUGCCAUCUAUCAUAAAAGAAAGUAAACUAACUGCAAUUCUUCAGAAGCAGACUAAGGCACAUGAGAGAAUUAAGUGCAAACGAUGAAGAACUAACUUACAGAGCGAAAUCCUCUUAUUCUAUUACUAAGAACCUUGAAACUGCUGGUGCUACUGCUUAUGCUGACUGGCUCGAUACAGCUGCUUCGGAUCUUUAAAUGGCUUCUUCUAUUAGGCCUAAACCUGGCAAUACUUAACGCUUCAGUCAACAACUAAUUCAUUUCACAUUUCACUUCACUGAGGUUCUAUCUAUAUGAGAUUCUAUAUGAUGAUGAAGCCCCUGAACUUGACUUUCCAGAGAUUAGAGAUUGGCUUGUUGGGUAUGAAAGGGGAGCCUAUUGUAACUCCGAACCUAUCCUCUAUCCUUGGUUACUUCUUUCUAUCAUAUAGAGCGAAUUAUACUGCCUAUACUAAUAAGGAUCUUUCCACUCCAGAACUACUUGCUGCUGAAGCUAUUUCUUCUGCUUCAUCUGUUGCUCGUUAGCGCUAAAGAAGGACAUAAUUCAGGUUCCGGGCAAGGGCAAUCAGGCGUAUUUCCAAGUCAAGGCAAGAGGGCAGGGCGGAUUUAGCAUCGUGUUUCACCCACCAAGCCACUACAAAGUCUCCUGUGUUCGUCAACUUGAAGUCAAACAUUGUCAAUCAGCAGGAAAAGAUGUCCUGUUUUCGGGAGCCGAGUUCUAGCGGUAGCAGCGGAAUAACGGGCUUUGAAGCAAAUGAGGUCAAGAGUACCAGAAGCCGAAUGUUAAUCUCUACCUACUGCUGAAGCUAAUGGUGGUUCUAGUUUCAUCAUAUAUAGAAGCCGAAUGCUAAUCUCAUGCUGAGGUAAAGUAUCAAGUCAAGGGGUAGGGCGGACUCUCUAUAUUACAGUUUAAGCGCGUCGUCAAUAAGUUUCGACUUUCUCUUUUUCGUAUUAAUAAGUAGUUACGAUAAAAAGAAGCUAUCAGGAUCAUUAGCCAUAGAGGAAAGAGUUUUCAGAGCAGGUCAAGAAAAAGGCUAAGAAGCGAGAUCUUGCAGCCGGGAAAGUGUUUUCAACAAGAUCUGAAGCUUUAGUAUAGUUGCCUGCGUACUAAGCAAUGCUAGUUUAGAAAGCCUGAGUUCUUAACGGGUAGAUCGAAAGCCUUAGUUCUGAAUAGCAGCUGGGCGCCAGAGAGAAUAAAUGAUGGAGUCUGAUCUUAAGUCUUUUGACUUACUUCCUGCUACACCAUAAUAGCUAAAUGAUUAAAGCAACAGCGAAAGCUGCAAGGCAAGAAAGAGGGGUAUAAAGCAAGUAAGGUAAGAGCAGAGGUCAGCUGUCAAUUCCGUUUAGUUAGCCGUUAAGCUCGUUGUUGUCAAUGUUGCAGUGCUCUGAAAUUCGAUUCUCAAGGUUCACUCUACUUUCAAUUGAAGACCCAUGAGAAAUAGAUGCAAAGCUGUAUCUUUACUGGGAUCCAUACCAUGUGCUGUAAAGUCAUAAUGGAAUUGAACUGACAAAGAAACGAAAACAUACCUGACUGACGACGAUACUGCUUGAGCAUCAACCAAAAGGCUUGGGGCAGUGAGACUUACAAUACAUACAGCACUAGCCCCCGAUACUCACUUAAUGAAAUGGAAAAUCAUCUAACAAUCGGGAGCGGUAAAGUAUCAGUGUAAGCAGCAAGUGUGGGUGUUGAACAAAACAAGUAAGCUAAGGCGAGACAUAAAUCUGGGUUGAUAUCUUUAACUGACAAGUACUUGAAAGAUGGGUUUAUAGCCUACUAUCUUUAUCUUAAUGACUUUGAAGCAAGGUUAAGUAGAGAGAGAGUCGCUUCUUGCCCUUAAACGAACUACUCUUAUUACCUUGAUUCCCUUUCACCUGGUGUGAAAGCGCUCGAAAGAUGAAGUUUCAAGUUAGCGGGAAAGAAAUCAGUAUUAAGAAAACUCUUUAUAAGCGGGAAACACAAGCUUACGCACGCACCCCGUUUCCGUUACUUGGUCUUGCUUAGUGAGUGGUGCAUUAGCUAAUUCCAGAAGAGAAGUAAACAAAGUGAGCCGGGCAAGUCAAAUAAGUUGAGUAGCCAGUUGCUCCAGAAAAGAAGUAGAAAGUCCUGUUGAAGGUUAUAGGACAAUAGAAGUAGGCCUGUAUCUCGUCAUCAAGUUUCAAGUAAAGUAUCUGAAGUUUCAAGUAAAGUAUCUGGGCUGGUUUUUUCACCCUUAUUGUUAGUUGUAUUGUAGACCGCCUCUUCUACAAGUCCUUGAAGCACUAACACCAAUAACACAAUUCUACUUUCCGCAGGCAGCAGGAGAUAAUGCAGAAACUUGAGUUGGCGCGGGAUCAGAUGCUCUUACAGCCUUUGAAGCAGAAGCCAGAUCUGUUCAAGUUUCAUCGUUUUCAGAAGAAGAGGUUUGGUUAAGCCGUGAAAUGAUUCAAUUCAGGGAAGCAGUGUUUGUAUUUACUCGGUUCUAGACCAGAUGUUCGAGAGUCAAAUGAAAAUGAAUGAGUUGCACUCAGUCGUUAGCGCAACUGAACAAGUAGACAACACUAACACUUUCAAUCAUAUUCCGGAGGUACCAGCGAGCUACUGCGGGACGGCAAACUCACUAUCCUAGCGUAGUAGGGCAUUUCAAAAGAGAAUCAUCUUAUAUAGUCGACUUAACUCGAACGGAAUCUGCUCUCAUAGACCACUUUCCGCACCCGAGCAAAAGACUUGAGGAACCGCCCAGGCUCACCCCUCUCCUGUGACAAAGUUCUAUACAAUGCCAGUGAACGCUAGAUUAGAUUCCAUUCAGUUUGUUCAGUUAAAUGAGUAAGAACUAGCAAGGGAACUAGCACCCUCACUUCACUUUUGAAUAGAAACAUCAUUACAUCGCACAGCUGCAGAUCCAACUUAUUAUCUUGAAACUCAUCUGAAAACGAAAACUACAUUUGCUUUUCCAACAAGUGAAGAAGCAUAAGAUCCUUCGCCAGCGGAUUAUGAUUCUCCAGUUGAUGCUUUUGCCUCUUCUUCUAUUGUAGAUGACACUCGAACAGAAUAGAAUUGACGGGCCUUCUCAAGCAUACAAAGAGAUUCUUGGAGACAACACUCACACUCAACUCUACUUCAAUACAAGCACCAAAAGAGUAUACUCAGAUUCCUUACUUAUAGGCGCGGAAGAAGAAUUCUAGAAGCCACCAAGUCUAAGUGCAUUAGCCAGCGGGGGUGCUAAAGGAGUUUACAAAGGUUCGGAAAGCAAAAGGCAAUAAUGAAGUACUUGGCACCUUAGUGGAAGAGUUCGAUUACGAAAUUCUCAUAUAUGCGGCACUCCUCAUUCAAUAAUAAACGAGCAAGGGUGCAACUCCUCAUUCAAUAAUAAACGAGCAAGGGUGCAACUCCUCAUUCAAUAAUAAACGAGCAAGGGUGCAACUCCUCAUUCAAUAAUAAACGAGCAAGGGUGCAAAGGGAAAGCCAGGGUAAACUUCCAUUGUUGGAAGAAAUUCCCAAUCUUGCCUACCGACAAUGCUCUGAGAAUACUUGUAGGGGAAAGCCCAUCAUACAUCUAUACUGAAGUAGACCAAGUAAAGUCAACCCAGAUUUAGAGUCGUAUAAUCCAUCCUAUUCGUUGCGAGUAAACGUUAUCCCACAUUCCCAUAGAAAUGAAUUCUUCUCUUUCUUCCCCGAAACCUUGAACCUCAUCUCCCUCUUGACCAUGAGUUCUUCAUAUUGAAGUUCCGUUGGUUCCUUAGCUUGCUCGUAUUUAGAGUCAAUUAGUUUGUUUUGCGAAAUGUUACUUUGAGGCAUAGUGUACCUUUGAGGAUCGAGUGCCUUUUCUGGUUGCUCCGAGUUCGAUUCGAAAGUCAACUGCAAGCGGGAAGGAGACUAAUAUGAUGCUGCUGACCUGACAAGCGCCUUAACGGCAACAAACACCCCUGAUGAAAUAAUAACCCGCUUAUACUCUAUACUAAACUCUAUCUGCGCCCUUGCCCAAUACUGAAUAUCAAAGUAAGCAAUAACUUAAUCUCCAAGUAAGCAAUAAAAUAAUAAGUAGAAGCUCUGUGGCCUUGGAUGCGGUGCCUCAAUUCCCAUCUUUAUGCUGUACUGCAGAACGUAUCAACAAUCGAACAAGAAAGAAAGGCAAGCAAGGGCGGGGCAAGUAAGGCAAAGAACUAGCUUUCGCGCACCUGUACUGGAUUCUGCCCCAUGAACUAACUUUAAGUCAGAACCGAACCGCUUAACCGCUUUUCUCUGAUUACCAAGAUAAGAUCUAUACUAAACUAUCUUAUCUAAUUAUUAUUCUUAUCCGGAUUAUGAAAAUUGAUGCUUUCGUCGAGCGUAGGAGUUAAUGGUUGAAAGUCAGACAAGUAACUGCUUAGCAACUCGAUUUUCGGAUACCGGCUUGUUGGUGAUAUCGGCUUGGCUUCCCCUUUCUUUUGCUUAAAAACGAAAUACUUCCCUUUGGCCUAUCUAAGACAAACCCUCUGGAGCUUCUUCUCGGAUUGUUAACCCGAUUGAUAGAUCUAGAAUUACUAUUUCUAUAUGAGACCACUAUCACCCCUAUCUUUCUUUCGACUCUUCAAAAGUGAGAGUUGCCGGCAAGAGGCAAAAGAUAUUAGACAUCAAAUGCAUUUUCACUGCGGGUAUGGUCUAAAUAGGGAAUUCCACUAAAUAUGAGUUUCCCAUGGCUUAAACGGCGAAAAGAGGCCUUACUCGGCACAGUCUACUCGGCUUUGUAAGCUUCUUCUCCUUGUAAUUGAUUUCUGCCUUUCAUUAGAAGCUAGAAGACUCUGAGUUUCGGGUAUAUUAGGCAAGAUAUAGUUCUCGGCAGCAGCACGCACUUAUGGAAAUGCAGCUCUAACCUACUGGACUUUCUUUCGCAGGUCUUCCUUCUUAACAGGUUGGCUAACUUCCAUCUCAUCUUUUUAUGGAUACCAUUGCUCACGAUCUUUCCAAUUCUUUCUAUUCUAUUAGGUGGAAGCCAGUCAUAGCGAGACUCAUCUGGCACUGCGAUUGAGAACUUCUGCUCGUGACAUCUAAGUUAACCACUGAUUUGAUCUUUCGACAUCUAAGUUAACCACUGAUUUGAUCUUUCGACAUCUAAGUUAACCACUGAUUUGAUCUUUCCGGGAUAAUAAAGUAAGGACUUGAAGAGGAAGACAAAGGCUAGACCUGGAAAUAAGGAUUCCUUUUAGAAAGGGGACUACUUUUCACUGGGGAAUCCUUCUCUAUAUCAUACUGAACCUAUACUUCACUUUUGGGCGUCAGGAGCUUACACUAGAAUUGCCCCCAUCCAACCCAUCAUCUAAUCUCUAAGAAAGCAUCGUUUCCAUUCGAAUCCAGACCCCCUUCCUCCAAGUGAGUUCGACAGGCAAUAAGCGUUAAGGCGCACCUCUUCUAUCGCAUACUUGUUAUCUUGCCCCAAUCCCUUUAGCCAUCAAGUAAGCCACAAACCCUUUCUUUCCUCUUUAACUACAUAACUCUUGAACUCCUCUCUUACCGCACGCAUAUAGUAAACGAACAAGUAAGAAAGUCAGAAGUAAGCCCAAAACUCAGAAUUAUACAAGAAAGUUGGCAAGUAGGAAAGUGAGAAUUCCACUGCUAAGUAAGCAAAAGGGAAGCCCUAAGUGAGAAGUAAGCCCAAAACGAAAAACCUCAUGGAAAGGAUAAGGGAGCAACUGGUGCGUUGGGAACAGUUCCAUACCUUGGAGAAGCAGUAGAGACCAUUUACUCUAGGGGUGCAACAGCAGAAAGACUGUGAGAACACCCCAUCAAUGGGAACAUAUAGGAAAGGAUACAGCAGUAAAACAUAUAGGAAAGGAUACAGCAGUAAAUCAUAUGAAAAGGCUGCUGGACGAAGAGGUAACAUAUGAUGCCGCCUCGCCCCUUAAAGCUUCUAUUAGUAGCUUCAGGGUGGCUAACAGUAUAAGUCUAUCAUAUACGAAGGAGGGUGGGAGAUUGCAGCCCGCGGAUUGGCUAACCAAACCCGUAAGCGUGGAUUCCUCUGAGGUAGCAGCUACAAAAGUCAGUGAAGAUGUUAUCUUUAAGAGAAAUUGAGGCACUGUGAGCUCCAUGGUGCUUUACUUCUCUGGGAGUGAAAAGUGUAUACGUACCGAGGAAGUUUGGGCCAACGAGGAGCCCUAACAGUAUUAGUUGGAAGAGCCAGAGUGGAAUUAAGAUCUAGUUGCCAGCUGCUUGGCUGUUGUCAGUGGCCAUAGUUAUAGUAGCCUGAGUUAGAUGAGAUGGAAAGGUAGAACACUGGUUAGGAGUUUCAUUCAAUGGUCAGAAUAAGGGAGCUGUCACUAAUACUCAGACAACGAAUAAUAAUAACUAAUACUAAGCAUUGGUCUAAUACUAAUACUAAUAAGAAAAAACGAAUACUAAGCAAAGGUCUAUUGCUGCGUCAUAUGAUCUGGUUGACUUUCCUUGCACAAACAAGGACAUAUCCUUCUGAGGUGAAAGGCUAUUGAUUGGGAUUAGGAAAGCCUUGUUCAAAAGUCUGAGGAAAGAAAGUCCCACUGCAUCCGGUACAAAUAGGUUGCUAUUUAGCCAAACACGAAAUUAGGAUCAUAAAUCAUCAUAUAUCUAAUAAGGACACCCGCAAUCCAUUAAACAUUGAUGUUUCUGCCCCCCAUUGAUUUCUCAAUUAGCAUUGAUAAGGGCCCCGUAAUUGAUUUCUCUUUGAUAAGGGUUUUUCGAUUUCACAAGUGAGAAGGAGUUUUCGAUUUCAAGUAUAGUUCAGUGUCCUUGUGUCUUUGGGUUAAGGGGUAGCCUUGCCUCGCCUGCAAAGGGUCGAGCCUUCACUGCUUGUAUUCUAUUCUUUUCCUCCCAGUGCUAUUACAUACGGAAUAAGAUGUGGGUCGGAAGCUUGAUUCGAGCUCUUCCCCAUUCCUUUCCCCCAAAAAGAGUUAACCAUGGCUCGGUGGUAAAGCAGAAGAAAUCGAUGGGUUGAUUGGUUGGAUGCAUUCUGCCUUUCUCGGUCACACCCAUGCAUAGAACUUCAAGCCUUAGCAGUUCCGGCGGAUCAUCAUUGUUCGCACUCCAGGGAUCCCUAUGAUAUUUAGACAUUAUUCUAUUCCAUAUGAAGAUUUCUCUAUUACCUAUUAUAUAUGUAGACAUUAUUCUAUAUUCUAUAUUUAGACAUUGUAGACAUUAUUCUAUAUUCUAUAUUUAGACAUUAUUCCAUUUAUACAGAAUCCCCAUACGAGCGUGGAAUCCCCAUACGAGCGUGGAACCGGAACUUCCCCAUCUCAUCUGCUGGCAUGAAAUAGAAAUCCGUGGCAAAGCCCGUAAAUCACAAGGAAAUCAAUCUUAGACGCUUGACGUCGGUAGAGAGAGAUGAUUGGCUUCUUACUUGUUUGACCUCUCUUGGGAAAUCAAUCUUCUUACUUGUUUGACCUCUCUUGCUUGGCUUCUGGUUGUUUGUCUCCGGGUCUGAACCCUUACCUUGUCUUGCCCACUCGCCCCCUUCCUUCCCGGCACCAAGCAUUCCUAGAUAUUGCUCCAGUGGUUGACUACUCGCAUUGGUGGUUUACUAUCCUGCUCGCCUAACGAAAUCAAAUCAUCAAUACUAGCUUGGCCCCAACUAUUUCCGUUUAUCCUACAGCAGCUGGCGAGCCACUCUUGAGACGGAGCUUACUCGGCUAGCAACGGGCACUGGCGACGGAGAACAUAACUUCUGACUUUGGUUGUGGACCGGAACGAAUUACUUGCUCUUUCUGCUUUCCUCACCGUUGAGAACCGCAUAACUCAUUCUCAGUCACAACUUCGAAUCCACUUCAAUCAACCCAUUUGAAUAAGAGCGGAUCAAACUAUGCACACCAAAUCCAAUCAAGGAGGGGCAGUGGGUGAUUCUUCCUACCAAGGUCAACCAACACUCAAUCUCAACUCGUAGACUAGUAAACGAAAGCGAAGGGUACGCAAGGCAUUCGAUCUUCAAGCGAAAGGGAAGGGAGGUUCCAUUUGAUUCCGUUGGUAAAGGGACAGGUCAACAAAGUCCGCAGCUCUCGAAGUGAGAAUACACCUCCGCCAUAGGAUGACCCGAAAACGGGACCAAAUAGCUAUAGUAUCGCUACGUGGGGGAUCAGUGCUUUUUUACACCAGCAGUGACUCUAUAUCCAAAAUCAAUCGAUUACCAUGCAUUGCAUUCUUUUUUACACCAGCAGUAACUCUAUAUCCAAAAUCAAUCGAUUAAUUCAUUCCUUCCCGGUCCCCGGUUGUUUUCUCUUUUGUUUCUAUGCAUAGGGGGUCUCCAGUCUAGGAAUCCGGUUUGUUGCAGUUGAGUGACUCGGGUGUUGAUCAGAAGAGUUGCUCAGAGAGGAUCAACGUAGUUAAGAUUGAUGAAUUCGUUUUGACCCGACCGACGAGGUUAACCGUGGGAUCCUUUGCUUUCUGCUGUUUCGUUUGGAACAUUGUGGAUUUGACCUGACCCCUUGAGUACUUUGUAUCAAGAUUCGCAGCUCUUGCUUUUCUCUCUAGUUCAACGUUCACUCCUCCAUGGAAACUUCGAUCUCGGUGGUUCAAUUGAGUUUCAAUCCAUUCGGUGAGUUAUACCCUGUAGUAGCUCCUUCGCCUCUAUCGAAGGUACCUGUAUUCAUAGUAGCAACAGUAGGAGUGAGUUCAAAAAGAGACUAUACUUGCCUAGUAACAGACUUAGGGGGCCAAGCAACAGUGCGUACUAGAGCAAGAAAUAGGGUAUUAGUUUUUUGACUUCCCUUGCCCGAUCAAAGUAAUGACCUGAAUGGACUGAUGGUUAUUGUCCCGCUAUAGCUGGUGGAGUAAGGUAUAUCGGACUACUCCUGAGUUUAUGGUGUAGCCAGUAAGAGAAGAAGCAUACGUUGUGUUGCACUUUCUGAAUCUUAAUAAGAUGCCCGGAGCAGGUAAAGAAGCAGUUUUCAGAGCAGGAUAAGGGGAGAGAGCAGGAUCAAGUUCAGGAUCAGACUCCGGGGAGUAAUAGCCGGUUUAGGAUCAUAAGCUAUAAGAUAUGGUUACGUGGGCUAUCCGAACUCUCUUAACAGAGACCUGAGCCCUGAUUGAUAGUACUUAUUGGUGAAGCCGUGAACCUAGAUUUAGAGUCAAACUACCCAUGUUCUUAGACUCUUACGGCAUUUAUGACAUUUAGGUACCAACUCGAGCUCCCGAAAACUGUCAUUUCACUUGCGUAGAGGUGGGAAUUGGUUCUUCUUAUCCUGUUUAUUAUCUAUAUUCUAUAUUAAGCUUCCUCUCCAGCUGCUGCUUUAACCUCUUCUUCUUUAAUUCGAAGUUUCUAUACUAAAUCAACGAGUCAACCAGGAAUCCUUCUUUAUUGCUCACUUGAAAGAUACUUUACAGCUAUGUGGGCAUGAGAUUAGAGAGUCGACUCCACUUUCAUUUACUUUACAAGCACAAUAACUCUCCUUGAUUACGAAUAUGUAAGGGCCCUACCUUUUCUCUUUCGGGUUAUCCGUAAUACUCCUUUUCAGUCCUCCUACUUGGCUUCUUAGGCUUCUGACUUUUACCUUUUCUUGUUCUGCUGUCUCUCUGGCUGAGUGAGCUUCUCUGCUCUGUGUUGUUCUCAGUGAACUAGGAAGAAAAUAGACAUCAUUGGAUCCCCGCUAUAGACCAAAUGGAACUUAGUUAAUCCCCCACUGGGUUGGAUUCUCUGCAUUGAUAGCUUUAGUCUACCCUCCCUUCCCCACUCGCCCGCCCUUCCGCGUACUACUAUUAGAAUACAACCACUGCUAGUAAGAAUGCAAUUAGCGCCUCUCAUACCAGAACUUGGAACCAGGACUUUGACUCAUAAUAUCAGAAUAGGACUAGCGCUUCUAGCUCUGUAGCUCCUGUCUUCCAUUUUCUAUACACUAGAUAUCAAACUUACAUUCCUUGACGAAAGUCUUUAGUUCGGCAGCUUCGUUCUGUUGAUCCUGUCUGCAAUUCUUUGGCCCUUAUAAUAAUUGCUAGCGCGCCUACUCACAAGACUGCUUUUCCUGUCUUUGGUUCUGAAACUACUAACUAUAGGUCCCACUGCUUCAUCUAAUCCUGAUACUUUGUGGAGGUGUUUCGGCUUCCCUUCCUGGCUUUUAGCCUACCGCUCCGGUAUCUCGUUUUUUAGUUCGCCGCUCCUUUGUAUGCCCCGUUGCUUGCUAGCCCGCCCCUCCUGCAAUUCCGUGUUUCUGUCCUUUCUCUGUCUCUUACAUAUGCUUAUUAGUUUGACCUACUCGUUAGUUACUUGGUGAGUGGAGCUAUUAUGAAUCAAGAAUUGGACCGGCGCUUCUCUUUCCUGUAACUACUAUACACACCUAUAAGCCUGUCUGCACUAACUCCUAUUCUGACUACCCUGCUGAUCAGUCACCGAGCAAGAUAACCUAUCUUCUUUUGUGACUCCGCUCCCAAUGCCUAUGCUCCGUUUGAAGUCUGUUUCCCUUUACUUUGACUUUCGCUCUUCCUCUAUCAACUGUUAGAAUCAAACGAAUACUUAAUAAGCAUAAAAUACAAGAAUGGAGCUACUGGACUUCAAUCUUUCUCUAUUGAUCCCGGGUGUUUAAUGUUAGCCUGCCAUGCCUUUUUCUUACCUGUAUUCUUGUGCUACUGAUUUAGAUCUUUGCUUUAAUGCUAUAGUAGUAACUUGCCUCUUGAACUCCGAUACAUCUACUAGUACAAAUACAUACCUCUUUCUCUUACCUCAUAAAGUGUAAAUUACCCGGCUGAGAAUCGAGACCUCUGUAAACUCAUUCCAUUCCAUUCUUCAUCGGAUUUCGGUAUACCUCUCCUACGGCUCAGCUAACUCAGGCUAAUAAGUAAGUUUCUGGACACCUCGUAUCAAAGCUACCGAAAAAGGACUUAGGCCAAGCAACAUAGUCAGCGGCAGGAGCGGUGAAACUCUGGAACUCUAGGCGGAUUCAGCAGUAGCCAUUCACUCGAUCGACAAAAGGAAAUGCCCGAUGGACUCCUUCUUCUCUUUUUUCUUAGUCAAGUCAACAGUCUCAUCUCCAACUGAAUGAUCGGGCGUACUACGACUAAGAGAAUACGGGAAUGGUCCAAGAUCCGGAUACACUAAACCCUCUCCGACUGCAGACGAAGAUCGAGUUCGAAUAGAAAGUAUCCAAGGCAGGAAGACAUCAACAGAGUAAGCAAUCGAAGACUUCGAAGCUCUAAGAUAGAAGCUGCUUUCCAAGAAUCACCAGUCCCACGCUAUACGACGACAACUGAACCAUAGAAGGAGGCGGACGUAAUGGACCAGACAGACCAGAUGAAAGGCAAGCGGAGUCAUUCGACCCUAAAGGGGGCCUCGAAUGCUUACAAGACUCGCCUGAAUUGGACUACCAUAAACUAGCCCGACAUACUACUUUACGCAAUUUGAUACAUCGAAAGCGCACCAACCACAUAAGGUUCCACACCAAGAUCAAAUGAGGGACCACUAGUGGCAUUUCUCAUAUACGUUGGUUGGACCACUGCCGGAGAGAAAGGCUGACCCUAUCCAAAACCCUUAGCACAAUAAUAGGUGGGGGGUAUGGCGAUCCAACUACUACCCGCGGAACAGAGAUCCUUUCCAGUCAAGCUAUCCUCACUCAACAAGGGGAAUGAUUAGAAUCCAGCGGGGGUUAGUAAAAGACUAGGCCAAUGGUGCUCCACCAGCAACCUCUUACCCUCGUUCAACGAAGAAAGUGCAAUCCGUCCUUUCUUAGGGUUAGCUCUUACACAUUCUCCUUAUCAACAUCCAGGAUAUGAUUUGGACAAAAGAAUCACCAGUCCCCCACCAUAAAAGAAAAACCAAAUAAUGGAAAGAAACCUAAAAGAAGAUGUCCUACAACCGCAUACACAUACCCUCGAUACAAAGCAAGAAAGAAAGCAAACUCAGUCCUCGCCUCAGGUGAGCCAACCUUUCAAGCAAGAAUCUACUUAAACCACAAAGAAGAUAAUCAUUAUAUGAGAAAGAGCUUCAAAGAUAAGUGUAAGAAAUCCGGAUUUCGCUUUUUGAAUACAACUACAUUUCCUACGAGACGGAUUUAGGACUGACGGAGAGUUUGUUACUAGUUGUCAAGCCCUACAUGAAUUAGCACAAGGAUUAGUGCUUUCUCCCGGUUGAGUAGAUUUAUUCGCUUGCCUCGAAGACUGGCAUUAGGCCCCUUACUUAUGAUAGGAUUGAUUCGAAGCAAAGCCUUCUCUGGGAGAUGCUAGAAGAAAAGACUAGAAGCGCCCGGGGGGGCAAUUACACAGGCUAGCAGACAACCUAUAGCUAUUCCCUUGCAACAACCAAAAAUAAGUAAGCCUUCCUUCCAACAAUAGUAGGGUUUGGAAUGCAUACGGAAUGGAAAGCUAGAACGAAAGGGCAAGCAUCAGACAUAGGGACUACGGGAUAUACGUAAUAGCGGGACUAAGAGAUUCUCAAAACUAGUAAAGAAAAGGCCCCUUCGUAGACUAAGAAAGUGGGCAAUGGGGAUAGACCUUAAGCCUUCGCUUUUUCGGAAUACGGGAGGUAGUAAUGGGCGGAAUAAGUGGGCUGGCUGGGUGGAGAUAUAGGGAAAUCUAAGUAAGCGAUCUCAGACAUCUACAGAGGAAAUCCAAAUUCUUCCUGGAGAAAGAUUACAACACAAAUGACUAAAAAAGGGGCAAAGCCAGAAAUCCAAUCUAUUCUUUGCAAGAAAUCCAAUCUAUUCUUGACUUUUCUUAAGUAGGAAAAAGAGAGAAAUCAAGCAAGGAAUCCAAUUCGAGCCUUUGUUACACGCCAGGAACGGAGCACUCGCUAAAGGAUAUUCCCUUCCUUGCAGCACUUCAAAAAGGAGUUUCACAGACUCAAACAAAAGGAACUCGCUUACAGGACCGGCAUAGGGCGUUAGUGCUACGGAUUACUUACUAGAUGGAAUAGGCUUGUCUGACCUCUCCUUCCUUUCAUCUUUGGCAUCUCUCUUCUCUUAUGAUACCUUACCACUUUAGGGACUACCGGAAUCGAAUAAGACUGGUAGGAAGACUUCAAGGGCUUGGAAUGAUUACUUUAACCUAAAGCCGUUACAACCUUCCAUUCACUCACGGAACAAUAAUAAAGCCGUUACAACCACACUUCCAUUCACUCACGGAACAAGAAAAACACUUGAAGCCGCGGUAAACAGAUUUAUGUCAUCUGCACCUUCCAUCAGGAGGAUCAAACUCAUCUUUUCUAUUCCUUCGCAGAAAACAGACCCCAGGAAUGCUUGCUGUUAGCUGGUAAGGGAAAAAGGUUUGGGGACGAAGGGAAUCCGACUAUGGCACUCAAACGACUAAGACGAAUUCCGUCGAUUUGGACACUAUUCCUACUGCUACUGCGAGAGCUACUGCAGUAAGGAAGGAAUGCAUUCGCUUUCCACCAACCUUGUUUGGGGGGUUUUGACCUUGAUUACACGACUUCUGCUUCUCUCCCUCUUUUUCCUGUCCUAGAAAUCCGGUAAAGAAGUAAAGUAAACAAGCAGUGAGACAUCUCCUUAUAUUAUUUAUUAAUCAUUAAGUAGCACUUUAUUGAAAGCCGAGCAGAGCAGAGACUCGCUUUUUUCUUUGUACCGAAAUGAAUCAUAGGGAUACAUUAUUCGCGGAUUAUUCUUCCUUAUGAUUCGAGGCGAGGCUCAUAUGUCGAAGAGGCAAGGAAGAGGAUCCAAUGACGUGAUUACAGGGGCUGAUUCCGCGUGAUACUUAUAGCCAUGUGUUAGAAAAGGUGUCUAAGAGACUUAGUUCUUUGAAGUCUAGCUCUUUCUCUUUGGCAGGUCGAAUUACCUUCAGCCCAGUCUGUUUUAACAGCAUUGCCUACUUCUCCUCUAUUGAUCUGCACGGCAGGGAGUUGGGGCAAGAACAAGUGAAAGGUGCUUCUGAAGCUAAUGUGGUAAAGUCGAAAGUCAGGGGUAUUCGUUCCAAGUCGCAGGUAUUAGAGAUAGAGAUUGGUAACAACCCUAGAGUGAAAGGCUUAACCGAGUAGUAGGAAUCUCUGUCCUGUGCCCUUAAUUAAUGCCAUAAAGAAGGGAACAACCAUCAAGAAGGAACCAUAUAAAGAUGUUAGGAAGAAAUGCAUUCGUUGGACAGUUUCCGAGUAUCAAUGGAAUUAUGGCUAUCAGAGGAGUUUCCCCUGCCUUAUCAGACUCUAAAUAAGGGUUGAUGCAACUCGACUUGAUUGAGGCUUUACCGACCCGCUACUUAUGAGUUCCCCCACUUGAAGUUAAUCUGGAAAUUGGAUCUAUGGGGAGCACCCGUAUAAGUCAUAUUCCCUGCCUCAGAGACUUCUCUUUAUCUUUAUCCAUCCUGUCUACUGCUUGAGUAGACUUAUCAUUUGCUAUUGGAUACGGAACUUGCACUGCAGAUUCUCUAACUACUGCAUUCUGUUGAAACUGCUUCCUCGCCGGAUAUUGCUUAUGAACCCGGUUUUGAUCCUGGUUUUGAUCCUGACUUGCAAACUAGACUUUCUUAUGCUCCGAUACCUCUGUAAACUGCCAAGCUAGUGACCGAUUCCAAUCUUUCGAUAAGUCAAAUGAGUAACAAGUUCUUCUAUACCAUAAGUAGAUGUAGGCUCGGGUGCUUGUGUUGGUGGUGCUGUUCUAAAGUCUGCUCGGGCUGAAACAAGGUAUGACCCAUUUUCUGCAUCUAGUAUAAGGCAAGUAAUUGAACUACAAACUCGGAACCAGGAUUAGAUGAAGCAGUGGGACCUAUAGUUAGACCAGACCCGAGCCCCAACAAGCCGGAACUAAACUCAUUCGUAUAUGAGAAUAGGCAGAUUCAAAGAUGGGUACUACUAUUUGUAGCCGUAUUCGGAUAAGUAUUGGCAUGAGUAUAAUAAGAACAAGUCUCCGUUAAACAAGUAUUUGUUUGAGUAGCUGUAUCGGUAGUGAGAUAUAAGUAGUCAACUCAUCAACUAGAUAUAAGUAGUCAACUCGGAUUGAAGGAAGUAGUGGUAUACUAAAACAAACAAGUCAGAAAAAAAGGCAGUAAUUAAAAGACUACAAGAGGGGUAGGCUCGGUUGGUGGUUUAAGUCACCAAGCAACUACUAAUGACCAAGCCACGGAUAGACAAGUAGGCAAGCAGACAAGAAACUACUAAACAAGCAAGGGCGACAGGGCAAGGGGAUCAAUUCUGGAACUACCUCCUCUCAUUCUCAUUGUUACUGCUUUCAUUCCCACUACCACUAGGUUAAGUCUGUAACACCUAAGCUUCAGCCCGAGCAUACCCAGCAUCUGGUUUGCUAGCCGUGGUUUGAUUCCGAUACUGCUUAGGUCAAUUCUGAGUUAUACUGGGUUGAUUCUGUGGUUAGAUACCUUAGCUACCAAUAGUGACAUCCUAGCACUUGUUUCGGUGGGAAUGUAGCUGCUUUAAGACUUCUACUGACUAGCUGCCCCCUGGCUCUUAUUCUUGGACUCCCGGGUUUUUUGAUAGCAAAUAGAGAAAGUGGUUAACUCGACCUCCGCUCUGUAAACUCAUUCUGUAAUUACUACUUAUGAGCUUGCUGGCUUUUCUCUGAUCCUAAACCCCUGGCUCUGGCUCUGCUUCCUCGCCUCAAUCCACUCCCUUCCCUUACGCUGGACUACUACUAGUUGGGGCUCGGAAUAGCUUACCACAAACACAUAGCCAGUAUCAGGCGCAUCUACCGGAGUCAACUAAUACAGAUGCAACUGCGACAACAAAUACAGAUGCAACAGGCAAGGAAGCACUAACGGGAGCAAGAGGAGAAUAAAGAAGCAAGAUCUAUCUGGAAAGGAGACAGCACCAACCAACCCUCUAUCCUCUACCGUCAAGCUACUACUAAUCAAGCUACGACUAAGUCCUUUGUUGGAGGCUUUGAUACCGAAGCUUGAGAAGGAAUAAGGAACUAAAGGAAGGCCAAGUGGGAAGGGCCAAGCUACUCACUACCCUUGAAAGGCUGGAAACCAAACAACUCACUACUUGUUCUAAAGUGUAGUAGGCCUAUUCGACGGCUAUGAAGGUAGAAAACCACAGAAUCCAAUUCGUCACUGACAGAAACACACGCACCCGAAACUUCCUAUAGGGGCCUAUCCGUAGUCAACUCAUUCCAUUCCAUUCUUCUUUAUUACGCCAACCCAUAUGCCCUGUUUAUAGGCUUUCAAUGCAUUAGAAGCUCUCUUAGGCGUAUGACAUGAGAAUUAGUACAUCAAACAUCAGAAGUGCUUAAAUAGUUCAUUUCUUCUUAAUCAAAUAGACCCUUUGCCUUUACUUACCUUCAAGCUGUCUUCCACCCUUUAUUUAAUAACGGAUUUCUUUGACUACUGAGUUCAAUUACCUCAUUGGUAGCCGUUGCUACUGAUUCCACUUUACCACUCCACUCCUUACCUUACCCUUACUUUCGAACAGGAACAGGUGAUUCUCUUUCUUAUCUAUCCCUAAAUUAGUAACAAUUAUAUACUUCCAUUUGUAACAUUGUUACUUAGUUUUAGUCAUAUCAGUCCCAAGUUCUUCUAUACCUCUGGCACCCGAGUGAGUAGUUUCAUGAAAUACCUUAUCCGGCUUGUCUUAUGGCUCUGUACUCUUUACUACUCGUUUACUUGUUUGGGAUGAAACAGGACUCCUACUUGUCCACUUCAGACUCACAGUUUUCGGCCCUCUCUUAUCUUUCCUUCCAACCUAGCCGAGUUCUCUUUCCCCGCGAAACCAGUCCUACCUUACCCAGCCUAAUGGAAAUACUAAGUCAUUAGUUACGACUACUUGACAUGCUGAGAAUUAAUACCUUAGUUUAGGUAGGCACGGGAACCCUCUUUUCCUUGGUCAACUAAUACAGUUAGGGUCUCCAUUCUUCUCAUUAGAGGUAUCCGGUUCGAAGCAAGUAAAGAGCAACACAGUAGAUCGGCAGUUCCAGCAUGUAAGGAUUGGUCACAGAAUUCAAAUAAGUAGUUAGAGCUUUAGAGCUAGCAAGUCUGGAUCCGAAUCAUUGGUUAAAGAAAGAGAAAAGUACCCGUUUUUGUUUGAGAAUGAAAGCUAGGAGAUAUAGUCAGGUACCAGCAAUGAAAGGAUCGGUGUGUUAAGGGGACUGACUUGAGAACAGCUGAUGAAUUCUCUGAUCUACUUCCUUCACACUCUCCUUGAUUCACUCUUUUAGCCGAGAAAACAGAGGCGCUAUAUGCGCUUCAACAGAAGUGGGUAACCAAUUGUCCCAUGAAGACAGGACUCAGCCCUUACCUCUAUAGCAAGCACCCUUGCCCCGCAAAUAAUGAAUAUCUUAUUUACUUGAAGUGAAGCUAGCUAACCUGACUAGUCCUUGCUUUAAGAAGAGAAAGAAGGCUUAUCGGAGUACGAGCGAAAGAAUGGCAAGAAGGCAACUCGUGUUCAGCUUUCGUGAGUGGUGUGAGUUCCACUUGUUGAAUUGAGUUAGGAAACCUCCUUAUUAAAGGUUAAAGGACAGAGAUAGGGUUAAAGGACAGAGAGAGGCAGAGUUUAGUAUAAAUGAGUACAAAGCAAGCAAUAAAUCCAAUAAGUUGUUGAGUUCGUGCUAACUAACGUGUUAUGAUUUGGAGUUUUGGGUAGCCAUUAGAUUCGUGAGUUCCUGAAGCCGUUGUUUAGUGAGUUAAGGAGUAGAGUUCCGUUCGCCCUUGUACGUUCGAGUGUGCGGGGUGCCCUUAUUUAGCUUAGGUGCAAGGUUACUACUAUCUAUGGAUAGCUAGAUGAUAUUGCUGGUUGACUUCUGGUUUACUUGACUUUCACUGGCCCACAACUCUAUUGGCCCAACUCUCUUCUAUUGGCCCAACUAUCUUUACUGCUAGGUUAAUGCGAUAGCGGUAUCGUCUAAAGUUGAGUAGAAAGUAACGUUAAAGUAUAGUAUAGAUUACGGUGCCUCCGCCUCAUAGUAAGCAGUCAGCAGUGAGUUUAGGGGUGCGCCUAUGAUAUGAGCUUUGGCUUUGGAGGAAAUGAAGCAACUACGGAAUCUUAUCCACUAAAAAAGUAAACAGAACAAGCAAGGGAACUAGCAAACAAGCGAACAAGCCUAGAAGUCAGCUGUGUUAGGUUCAUCCUAGAGAAGAUAGUAAGUAGUAAGUUUCAGUUAGGUUCCGCCCCUACCCUAUAUAAGUUGUUGUGCGUGAGUUAGCUUUAAGAAGAGAGAAGGGAAUUGAGCUAUCCCAGACUCCACUCGGUAUUCCACUAUCCCAGCAGAGCCAGCAGCUUGUUGAAAGAAGUAUUUGUUUCGGUCGGCAAGGAAGCAGUUAGAAUCUGUUCUCUUGCUUAUAAAAGAGAGAAUGAAAGUGAGCCAUAGAAUCCUGUAUGUCUGCUUGGCCCCUACUUAAUCCUAUCUAUUCUUAUUAAGGAUUGAGCUGUUCUUAUUAAGGAUGGAUUGAGCUGCUCUUAUUAAGGAUUUAGUUGAGAAAGAGAAAAGCUAAUCGGUGAGGGCAAGCGAGUAGUUUCUUUCUUUACCAGUAGUUUCGAGUUGCUAGUCCCGUAGUUGGCGAUAGGAGAGUUCUUGUGCUCGUUGCUUGGCCCUUUUCUUCGAAUAAGAUAGCUCCACAGUAAAGAUCACUUGCCUCAAUCAGCAAUCAAUCUGCUUUUUCCUUUGUAUGCCUUCCUUCGGCAAAAGGAAUUAACGAUUCUCCCCCUCUGGAAGGGUAAGGUUCCAAUUGAUAGCUAUUCUGGCAUUCCUAACACUAACAGAAGCAUUUACUAGCCUGAGAGGUCUGGAUGACAGGAAAGAAAUAAAAAGACGUUACCAAAAUAGGGUUCAUUAGCCUCCAGCCGAGGGAGAAUUCUGGCUUGUUCCUCCAAGUCGUAUAUAUAUAUCUAUAUAAUAUAGAGUUCGUCCAUUCGGGAAGGGGAUGGCUGCCCACAUACAUGAAUAGAAUCAGAGAUCUUAUAGACUCCGGAUUGAUACUAUAGGACAUGGGAACCCAGAGAAAGAAGGAUUUUGACUCUAGAGGACAUAGGAAACCAGAGGUUAGAGAACGAGCAAAGGCAAAAUAUAGUAAGCAACCACAUUCUUGUUUAGGGAUGUCUUGCCUCUCUUCAAUGGUUGCGGGAAAGAGAGAAGGGUUCAGGGAAUCUGAAGGUAUAGCUUAGAACACCGACUGCGCUAAAGGAAGAAUACCGGAGUGGCCCGUCCAAGAACCGAUGAUUUGCGCUUUACCUAUAUGGAAUUGAGUAUAGUGGUAGUCGAAAGGAGACGCACUACUUACUGCCGAACACUGGUUCCUGUAAGUCUGGGUCUAGGGCAUCUGGUCCCACUAUAGUUUGCUUCAGGCGGUAGCGCAUCUCCGUCUUAAGGGAGGCGGCAACAAUAUAACCUUUCUUUUUGGCUGUGGACUUUGAUAGCAUAAGACCACGUGGAAGGGUAAUGCCAUAAAGUUCCCCUGGAGACCACGGAAAAGGAAGCGCCUAGUGGCUAAGUAGUUCAGGUCUGGGCCAAGUAUGGAUAUAGCAGGCAUCGAAAAGGCAUUGGCUCACACAGUCCAAAACAAGCUCCUGUACCGGCACUACCAUUAGAGUUCGAAGGUUUAUACCUAUACUGGGGCAAUCUCAUGAAUUGGGUGGGAAUUCCUCUUAUUCAAUCCAUUGUGCCUAGGCGUGUGUGGAGAAGUAAAUGUAUGCCCGCGCAUUCAUAUGUUCGGGUGUGCAUGCCCGCAAGGUUCGGCUGUUUUGAGACGUACGCUCGGCCUAUUUCUUGGUGGAUCAACCAGUGGCUGCUAGAAUAGGUCUUAGUGCUCCAUCAAAGCAGGAAUGAUCUGUCAGUUGGGUAUAACAUGGAAAGCAUUAAUAAGGCAAUCAACAUUGUGAGUGGAUUAGUCAGUUCCUCUGUAUGAAGCCAUGAGAGCAUGCCAAGGAUAGAUUAACGAUGAAACCACAAAAAGGCAAUACUUCCUCUGCUAUGGGGCGAAAGAGAAGAUAAGAAUCGACUUGCACAAAAAAACCUCUGCUGACCCUUACGAAACUAUUCUUUACAAGCUCUUCACCUUCCAUUAAGAGAGUUCUAGUAUACCACCAAGCAUAGAGGUCUAUUAUCACGUUCUUAUUGAUGGCUCUUUAUUGAAUCGUAAGCUCCCUUUGCUUUCACAUGACAUUUGAUGGUUAUUAUCUAUGCACCUUCUACUUUAGCCAGAUGACUUUUCACUUUCAUUCACUUUCUGCAGCUAGUCAAGCAAGCACUAUUGCAAACUCCAACUAUCAAAACCGUUUAUGUCAAGGUUAAUGAAUGAUUCCAGGAUGGGGGAAUAACCAUAUUCUUUGUUGGCUCGCGAUCAAUGGCUCUAUGGACGUAUUCGUAUUCUAUUGUUCGAAUUUCAUGCACGCAUGCGACCUAGAAACCCACCCCCCUCUUUCCUAGACCCAUGUCCUAUUCUCCACAAGCUGGACUCCCAGCCGAGCAAGAUCCACAAUGUUCGAAAGUUGCUUUGAAGGAAGGCUAUACCACCAAGCCAAGCUCUCCCUGAGGAAAAAUAGACUCCUCUUGAGACGCUAUAGCUAUUGCUGCAGAGCCUAGUUGAACCGAUGAAACCGAAAUCCGUUAUCGUAGUUGGACCAGCGUCACUGGUAUAGUAGGCUACCUACAUAUGCCCAGAAACAGGGAGUCGGGUGCUAUUCCAUAGUUAGCCAGAUCUAGUGUAUUACAUGAUGUGCUACGCCUUACCUAUUCUUUUAUUAGUAGGUGAACUAGAAUCGUACCGGGGUCGCACAGAACGAGAAACAGUCAAGUUAGCCUAAAAGCAAGGUGCUGAAAGCCUAAGACCUAUUUUAGCAAGUAAGGAUCAUAGGUAAACUACAGACCGAAAGGACCAACUCUUAGGCUAACAGCAAAGAGAGGUAGGCGCAAACAGGAGAUAUAGCCUGAAAGCGGGAAGCGCUAGCGCUAGUGGGUUAAGGCCCAAAGAGAGGUAGGUUGAGAAGCAGGCUCGGUUCUGUAAAUGAAGCCUGAUUUCUGUGUUUUAGUAUUAGAAGCUGUAGACUAUAAGUCCAAGAACUCAACAUAGGCAACAGUUUUAGAGCGAGUAAAGCUAAGAUCAGGAUCUGUAAGCUAUAGCCUGAAAGCGGUAGUGCCAGUCUCAUAUGUAGAGCAGGGUUCGAGGUAAUACAGUAGAGCAAGAUCAGUAUCAGUCGGGUAAGAGUGAGUUGAGAGUUCUCGUAUGAAGGGUCGUGUUUCAAUCCGGUAGUAAGUAGCACCAUUCUUUCCAGUUUACAGAGCCGUGUUUCAAUCCGGUAGUAAGUAGCACCAUUCUUUCCGUUAGUAGUAACAUUCCUUUUAUGGGGAGUUCGCGGUUCUUUAACUAACAAGUAAGUAUGCUAGGGCAAAUCCAUAUGUUAUAGAUCGGGGGGCAGUAAGCCUAGAGACAGUAAAGCAAGGAUCCUUAGACAGUAUAGAGUAGAGCAAGGUUCGAGGACAGUGUUUGAUUCGCCAGGUAGUAGUUCAUCCUUAAAAGCACUAGUGGAGUUUGAGUUUCUAGUUAAGUUAUUUAGUAACUGUUCGAUGUUUGCUCCUAUCGGCUCAAUUAUAAUAGUACACUAGGACUAGGGUUUUGGAAGAAUUAGUAGAAUUUCUAACUUAAGAGGCUAUGUUUGAGUACACAAUCCAGUAAGCAAGCCUUGUUGACAUCAGUAUUGGUAUGAAAGCAAAGGAGCGGCAGCCCGGGCAAUAAAGAGAGAACUAAAGAGUAAAGUAUCGUUAGGCACUGUUGAGAGCCCAGUUACGAGUUAAAGUAUUUCCAGUAUUAGCUCAAUUCUGAUUAAUAGUGAUUUGAUUCUGAGAAAGGAGGUUAUAGCUUUAUUAUGAAAUACAGGCACCUGAGUUAGGAGUUGCGAGUUAUGUUCCAUACGGGUACCGACAAGUUACUAUUAGACAAGCAGGAAAGCAGACAAGUAGGCAAGUAACUCAGGUAUUUAUUCUAAGAUCCUAUCAUGUAGGCUGGCUGGGUGUUAGAGAUGAUAAAGUCAGUUUCCCCACUAUUCCAAAGCAAAGUCAGUAAAGUAGAUUUAUGUUCUUGUGUCGAUUAGGGGUGAGUUUUGCCUCGUUAAGGGGUCGGGUCGGGUCAUUCCAAUUGACUAGCUAAUAGUUACACAUCAUACAUGUCUUGGCGCGCCGUUGCUUGUCUAUCCGUUGCUUGGCCCCCGCUUCAAAGCAAGAUUCCUCACUUAUAUACUUUGUGGCUCUCAAGAUAUACUUUGGCUCUCCAGAUUCAAUCAAUUCUUUCACUUCUGCUUACGAAGUUCGAAAUCACUGUUUUCGUAUCAGCGCCCUUUUACCAGUCUAAAUCUUCUCUUAAGUAAAUCUCUAAUUGAAUGAAGUAUGGAUGCGGGUGCCUAAGGAAGCCCAUUAAAUACGUUGUUAGAGGCGUUGGCAGGAGCUGUGAAAAAGCAAGUAGUUCAUCUCAUUAUGACUAAACUGCAGGCUUUGUGUUUAUGAAUUGGUUUACUUGAAGCAAGAGUUCUCCGCCUUACUUAUGAAAUUAAGACUCAUGAAGGCAAAGAAAUGCAGUAGACCCGCCUCACUGAUAACUCAAUGGUAUUUUGUGAUUAGACUAACCUAAAGAUACAGAGAAAGAGCUAGAAAGGGGAAUGUUCUUCUUCAAGUAUUGUUUCGGGUGUUGGCAGUUAUAAAGAGAAAUACGGAAUUGAGUAUGGCCAAAAGGAACCGAUUGCCCUCGACUCCCUUGCUUAAGUCUUAAGUACCAAUAUAAGAAGCAGGGACGGUGGAGCAAGGGUCGAUGUAAUUGAGCUACUAGAUGAUUUCCCCAACUCGUAUACUGGGUGCUUUAAGGCUGUUACUCACUAGUUUCUUUCUGUAACUCCCGACUUUGAGUGCAAUAACUUACCAUAAGGACUAGCUUACUCUCCUCAAGCGUAUACUACUUCCAACUGAUAUCCGGUCUGAAACUCGUCACCAAAACCCGGUCAAAAAGGUAGCAAAGGUGAGCUCCUGCCGCGGAACGUUAGUAGUUCCUUGGCCCUAAUGGAGCUCCCCAAUCUCAUUCAAAAGUCAUGGAAACCCGUGAAACAGCGCUGGCGCUUUCCCGCUCGCUACCGUUUCACUCAACUCCUACCGAGUUGCAUUCUCACUCCUCGUCCCCAAUGUUUCAAUCUGUGACUCCCGAGUUUGAUCAGUCAUCCUAUAAUAUGAUAUAUAAGGAUUUAGGAGUGGGCCAAGCCUACAAAGGUUCUCUAAUUACUACUUGCUUAACACAAGCACGGAAUCCUAUGCUCUGUAAACCAAGACUCUCCUCUUACUACUACUACUGAUGCAACAGGACCAUUGCAACAGGACCAUCCCACUACGCCUAGAAGUACCUACAACUACAGGUAUUCAACCAUAACUUUACCACGACCACUAGACUACCGGGAUGAAGACUAACACUCGAGCAGGAUCGGUAUUAAACUAGCCAAGCGUUUACUACAGUGGAAAGAGAAGACGAACACAACAUAGGACUUGCUCAGAACUCUGGGUACCACGGCACAGGACUCGGAGUUGCGGAUCUACCUGUGGCUUCUUCGGAUGCUUACUUUAUUGUUGAAUACCGAGUGGAAUCUUACAGCUGUGAUUAAUUGUUACUAAUGUGACUCAUUUCGAAGGAAGAAAUAAAGGUAGUAAGAAGGAGUCGAAGGAAGAAAUACAAGUAGUAAGAAGGAGAGGCUAGAGUUACUAUAGGUAGAUGAGCCAUUACUUUCUUAGUUUACAGAGGUAUAGCUCUUUCCAGAAGUAUUAGUUGACCAAGUCCUGUGUUCGUGAGCUGACCAAUUGCGGAAUGAAACUCGGGAGUCCAAGUCGGAUACUGGUGCUGCUCGGACUGCUGCUAGAUAUACUGAUUCCCUUACUUGCCCCUACCUUCCAUGCUUCUUAUAUAGCUACUUAAGACUGAAAGAGUGGGUAACAAGACUGUGAAGCUAGGUAGUUGUAGUAUGGUACUGAUGGUACUGAUGCUAGGGAUUGGUAUUACUAGUAUGGGGCUGCAGCUAGGUAGCUAAGGUAUCAGAGCUAUUAGUUAAGUACUGAAGUAAAGAAUUGCACUCUAACCUAUGAGGAAUUUCAGAAUGAACCGAGGUAGUCCAAGAAUGGAAAACUAGGUAGUCUGGGAAUUGAACCACUGCAGCUAAGGUCUCUAACCACUGAGGGCUCGCUACCGCGUCACAUUAGCAGUGCCUUGGUGGCUUCAACCGGACACCAACAAGACUGAUGCUUGGCCCUUUCUUUCACUAAGGUACUUGUUCUUGUUGGGUUCCCUAACACCGAAUCAAACAGGACAUGCAACUGUAUACUUUCCUUGAACUUAACCUUAUUCUACUCCUUCGGCACAAGAAAGAUGAAAUGUUGUAUUCCCUACUGCGCGAGUAAUACGAAAUAUAUGAGUUCAAAGUAAUACGAGAUAUAUGAGUUCCAAAUAGAAGGAAAGGAAAGGUAAAGCCUAGCCUUAUAUAAAUGCACACCUACUUAAACUUAUACUUUUACACGGGAUUCAACUAGAGCAGCUGAUUCUCCUACAGAGCACCCCGUAACUCUAACCUCUUUCGAAGACUUUAAUUGACUUGCUUCGAGGAUAAAAGUAAAACCAUUCAUUUGACUUUCACUUGCUUGUAGUGCCGAGUCCACCGAGUCCACCUGGAAUCCAUCUUGUCUUGCUUAGCACCCGAUCUAAACCUAAACUAUCACUGCUGCGGAUCCUGCAUCUCUAACUACACUUCAAUUUCCAAACUAUCCUAAAACUACACUUUCAACUGCUCCAUCUUCUAACCCUAAUACUUCCUAGGAUCCUGUUAUGAAGAAAUAGGCUUUCAGCACCUUUCUGAAUCGACAACUCAUGAGACUAUAGCAACUCUCCCCACUAAGGCUGGGCAACCACAUCUAUUACAUUACACCCCUAACCAACUAACUACUACCCGAGCCCAGUAAAAGCAAGAAAGUCAGGAGCACUACCCUUACCCAAGUCCUGGAAUAGCUUCCCGAGCCUACCCAGCUGGCUACAUCUCCUUUUAUUGCUCAUCUACUUAUUGCUCCUAUUAACUGCAUUCUUCUCCUAUGCCUAUUGCUCCCCGGGCUCCUGCCGCUAGUGCUACUUAAUAUAAGGGCUGACCGAGUAGAAUCUCCUCUCCCAUAGAAUACCUCUGGCGCAUCCAUCUACAUCUCCUCUGUCUGAUCCUAACAGUUCUCCUUCCCGUUCUUGCAACUACUAGUAACAUAACAAAGGUAAAGCCUAUUACUAUUACAGAAGCACUAACAGCAGAAGCACUAACAGAGUCAAAAGAGACAGUUCCGGGGCAGAGACAGAAUAUCUUCUUUCCUUCUUAUGCCCUUGUUUUGGUGAACUUUACUAGACUAGCCCAUUACUCGGAGUAGGUUCUCUUUCUGCUUUACCGAUUCUCUCUCGUCACCAACAAAGACAUCUUUCUUUCCGAACAGGCAAUUCGCACCUAGACUUAACUCGAACCCGAGAGCGGAUAGUGGAACUCGCACGGAGAUUGCUGCUGCCAACUAAGGUAAAGCCAGACAACUUGUCCAUAAGGGCAAGGAACUACUUCAGAAUGGAAUUGGAAAGAAGAAAUCAGAAUAGAAUGGAAUGAGUUUACAGAGGAAGCCUAAACCUCAAAAGAAGGGCCAACAGCCCAAACUAGUAGUAGUCCCGACCCGACCUCCAGUGUUAACACAACGCCUACCUCGACUCAUGAACUUCCCUCUCUCCACCUGUUCUUGCCUGCCGCUAGUGUUCGUCAACUAUACCUCUAUCUGUUCUGUUCUCUUCUCUGGCUUAGCGAGUUGAAUCAGUUAUCCUAUCAUCCGUUCACCUAUAUAAAGAGAAUAUAGAAUUUAGUAGACAUUUAGGAGGGGCCAAGCCAACAAAGGAUAUGGAAAACCUCUUUGCUUAACACAAGCACCCUAGCCAUGUAUAGGAAUUCCACAAGCCUACCUUUGUAACAGAGGAAUAAGCCUACCCCACAAAGUCAGUAAACUAAGUCAGUAAACCAACCAACCCUUUGCUACCAUGAUACUUAACUGCAUCCCUUUCCACCACUGCUGAAGUAAGGAAGUAAGGAAGUAGUUGACUAUUGACUGACACCUACUAAUUGAAUAGCCCGGUAGUGCAGUCCAGCGUGAAGUCCAUUCUUGUCCCUCGCCUAGGUAAGAUGUGGCAGAAAUGAUAGUAAGGGCCCUUUGUUUGCCUCUGCCUCUCUAUCCUCUGGACUAGCUUGCUUCUCUCCCCUCUGUCAACUCAUUCCAUUCCAUUCCUCUGUAGUGACCUGACCUGGAUUGAUUUGAUAUACCCGAUACCUCCUAAGGCAACUCUUUGAUAUACCCGAUACCUCCUAAGGCAACUCUUUAUGUAUAUGUUUACCACCCGUCCCUCGUAUUGGAAUGACUAGAGCAUCAACACAGGAAACGACUCACUACAAGCUGUAUGAUAUCUUCUCUUUAUAACUGAUGAAACAGCCCCUCUGGCAUUAAAGUAAACAAAUCAUUAAUUUCUUCUUUCGAGUGCAUAAUAAGAAAAGAGAAUUGAAGGAAUUGAUCAACGCGCAGAAUAUUGAUACUCGGCCCAUGUACUUCUUAUGUCAAAUAAGGGGUUUCCUCGGUGCCUGUUCCACUCUUUCUUCUCAGAAUGCAAAGAUCCCCCCGGCUUAUGGUCUUUCUUCCUCACCUGUAGACUCCACUAUAACAGCAGAGUUGCGGUAAAGUAGUGACUUGUGUAGUUUACAGUCUUGUUUCGGGUGUUGGCGAUUAGUAUACUAUUUCCGUUUCCAGUGUACUAGAGUGUUGAGUAAGUCAGUAGUAAGUCCUAAGUGUUGAGUAAGUCAGUAGUAAGCCCUAAGUAAACUAGUUAUUAGUAAGCCCUAAGCCCUAAGUUAGUAGCUAGUAAGCCCUUUAGUGGAAUUCUUUGUUUCAAGGGGAGUUGCCUCAGUAUUAGCAAGGGAGUUAAGGGAGAAGGAGCAAACAGAAUAUAGAGAAUCUGCUGUGCGCCUAAGGAACACGCGGACAAGCAUACGGCUAUGAGGGUAUCAACCUCAAGAAUCAAACCUUUUAGUACUAGUCGCCUUAAAGGAGCCACCAAGCUUAUACUAGUUAUGGGAUAGAUCUAUCGCAUAUAUAAUAUCUUACUUCUUUGGGGGCGAGUCAACGUUUUCCUAUAUCAAGAGAAAGCCUCUGUCCUUUGUUCACCGGUUAGUCUCAUAUUCAGAAUGAACCUCUUCAAAAAGAAGAGAAUAAAGUACUUGUUUUGAGGCGAGGUCAGCAAGUCAGAUAGAGUUAGUUCCGGUCUGUAAGGGAAGCAGUUAGGUCAGACUCAUAAGCUGUUUCAUCUGUUCUCAUAUAUGAAAAGAAAGAAUGAAAGUUGUUCUUUGGAUUCAAGCUUGCCCUGUAAAGGAGUGACAGAGUUAUGUAACAGAAUUAUACUGGUGAGUAAGGGAAUGCACUACAUCAUACCAGCUGGAUCUAUCCCUAUAACUAUUCUAUAUCCUUAUGCACCUGGGCAAUUAUAGGAAGUAACACGUAUUGAGAGAAAGAGCAACCAAGCAUACAAGCCAAAAUGGGCAAAUAGAGGUUUACAGCCCCAACACCAAGUAGUGGUCCUGUAUUAAUGGUAUUGUAGAUACGGGUAACAAACCUAAAGAAAGAGCAAACAAGCAACUUGCCCACCUUUCUUAAAGAAUUUCAAUAUCAACUCGCUACUACUGUAUUAGUUAUCAACUACUGUAUUAGUUAUCAACUACUGUAUUAGUUAUCAAAGGUGCUGCGAACUCGUAUAUAAGGAGAGAAGCCCAGACAGUAAAGUAAGUCAGAUUCAAAAGAAGGGGAAGCAGUGCUUGUUAAACAAUCCUAUAUGAAAGUGAUAUAGAUUUGAUUAUACUUGGUGUGUAGAGCUUGUGUAUAGCUUCAAUGAAAGUUUUUUAUCCGUUAUUUUCUGAACUUGUAAAUUACAUCUUAAGAGAAGGUAGAAAACUAUCAAGUCAGAAGAAAACCGGGAAGGUAUAAAAACCCUAGUAUUGGAAUCAAACUAGAGGCUCUAUUUGUUUGAUAGGCAAUAAGCACCCUACCACAUAAGGGCUCAGGCUUCUGUGAAAUUGACCAAGUAUGUAAAAUAGCCCCCACUACCCUAGUCAAUUUAAGUAAACAAAACGACCCCUUAACUACUAAGUCAACAACCCUACCACUAAUAGAUUUACCAGACUCCACUCGAGAUGAAACAGCCAAGCGUAUACUAACGACCAAAAGCCGGGUUCAAACCGUAAAGCUGUUCCUAGGCAAUAGAAUUCUCAUUUGAUAGUUGCGGUCGGUCAAUCAGGAUCUUCGGUUACAGAAUUAGCAGGAGCUAGAGAAGGGGCGAGCGGGCCUAGGCCAGUGAAAGUUCUAAAGUCCGUAGCAGGGAAGGGAGUUGUUGAUUCGGCUAAAGCUCAAGUUGUUUCAUGAAGGGAAGCAGUGUAUUUACAACCUGCAAGGGAAUAAUCCGCUAGUUUAGAGCCAGCCCCUAUGUUGUGGGAAAGAAAUCCUGUUUUGUUUGAGAAAUGAAGAUAUGGGAGCCGAGGUAAAGUUGACAGUGUAGUUGAAAGGCUUGUUAGUGCAGAGGGUAUACUACUGAGGUCAAUUCUGAACUUCACUGAUGAGCCAGAGGUAUCGAAUAACGGAGAUCCUGCUGUUACUAAAAUGCAGCUUAUCCUUAGUGCUAUAACAAGACUCAAGCUAGUGCUGACAAACUCCAUUCUAAUUGAACUAUAACUAAAAUAUACCACAAUAUACCAAUGGAACUGUUACUAAUUUCAUAGCCAGAGGACAGGUAUUAGAGGUGCUCGCACCCCAAGAGUAGAGUAGGAGCACCUUGGGCUAGGGAACCCUACGGAUUAUAGGAAGAAAUUCAUUCGUUGGCAAGUUGAUUAGUUGAAAUGAUAGUAAUUUCCCAUUAAGUAGAAGAUAAGUAGAAGGGAGGUAGCUAGCGUGUCUCCUUUCUUUAUAAACUAGAAUAUCUCUUUCGAUACCCUGCCCUCGUAUUUUAUAACUGAUUUAACAAGCCCUGCAGCUGGCAACAAUUCUAUACUUCCCGAACUCUGAUACUCGACUUAAAGAAUAGAAUGGAAGUGAAGAAUUCCAUUGUUAACCUCUCAUAUAGAUAUUGAUAAUAUUACUCACAUAUAGAUACUAAAGCUCGAAAGCACUGAUUGUCCAAGCCCACGAAGCUCUCUCUCAUUACGGGUGUCUCUGUAGCUCAAUGUAGUAUAGUUUCAUAUGAGUGUAAUCUCAGUUCUUUACCGAACAAGCAAUAAGGAUCUUACUAGAGAAAAAGAAUAUAAGAGAAUGUUAGUGCAUACCGGACUGCAUUUCUUACUUGAAACUUUAUACCUGGACUUAGCUUUAGCUUCAACUCGGGAUGGUGCGUUGAGUUGAGUUCGGAUAGCCCAGGAAUCAUUCUUUAACAAGCAGACUCCUUUGGUGCUCUAGCUCUAAGUCUAGGAAAGUUGCUAAAGUCAUCCUUAGUUUCAAACUUAUUAUUUAGGGCUUUGGUGUCGUAGCGUAGUAGCGACCAGUUCCAGUAAGAAUAGAGUUCCAGUAUUGCCAUGCCAGGUCCAGGAACAAGAUCUGAAGCCGGGGAAGUGAGUCUUGAUCCAACAAGCCGACAAGGAACUACUGGAGCAAUAAACCCUGCUAGAGCAAGAAACUGCUUCUCUUGUAAACUUUAUUUGAGCUCUUUGCCAGAGAAGAAGUAUGGGAGAUAAGCUUCAUUCAGGUAUCAAAGAAAAAGAAAGAGUUACCGAUUGCAUCAACCCUUAUCGACACCCCUAGUUGCAUCUGAACCCUUAUCGACACCCCGAGUUGCAUCUGUAUAAAUAAGAAAAAGAAGAUUCCUUUCGUCACCCACCAAGUCAGUCAACCUACAACAAACAAGCAAGUAAGUAAACUACCCCAGCCGAGUAACUUCAUGAAACAAGUAAGUAAACUAAGUAAGUAAACCUACCCGACCCCUUAACUAGGCAAUAGGAACGAACCCCGACCCUACUUAUUUAGUUUGAGCACCUGAUCCGACCCGCCAAGACACUACUAAUGUGUCGCGGCAGAGCCGCUGUCAAUUCGGGCAUUCAAUAAAGAACCUAACAAGCAAGUCAAUAGAAUUCCACAACUAACCUAACAAGCAAUAAAGUAAGGAGCACUACCAUCAAGAGCCGAGUUUCAUUCUGACUUUUCUGUAACCCUACCUCAGCUGUUCCAUUCCGAGUCUAAUUAUGCUACACAAGGGGUGGAAUUCUUCCAUUCCUUAUUAGCGCACUAGUUCAUUCUGUACUUCCUUACUUCUAGCUUAGCUUCAAAGCCGACUUAAUAGAAGGGCAACCACUACGGAUGAAACUAGACCACUACCUAGCCUAGAUCUACUCUUUGGACCACUACUUGUUUGGGCAAUCACUUCACUUGAUACUUUACCUCACCCUGGAACAGGCAAUUCUCUACUAUACCCGACCCUAAAAGAUGGAUCGUAGUGAUGCGGUAAAUAAGAGACCCAUGCUCCUAUGGCUCUGACUCCUAUACGAAUCCACCUCUGUCAACUGGCAACUCAACUUACCUUGAUGACCUGACCCGAUUGCUGCAGACUACUUUCUCACUGGACUUCGCCUUCCUCGGAUCUAGCCUCUGAUCUUACCCGUGCAAGAAAUGCAUUUAGUGCCUAUAUCUUUAUGGUUCGACUAUAUGUCAUUAUAUAUAAAGAGAGUCCAAGUUUUCCUAGGCUUUCCUUUACUUAGUCAGUACUGAGUCAAUGGAACUCAAAUCUCUCUUUGUUUCUGCUUUGUUUCUCUAUUCUUACGGUGUUAAGUCGACUCGAGACUCCUUCCCUGAAAUGAACCCAUAUUUCGGGUGAUUGGUGCGAUUUCGCUCGGUGAGACGUCGGACAAUUGGUGCAUUUUGUCGUGUGAUUGGUGCAUUUUCUCUCGGGUGAUCGGUGCAUUUUCUUGAAGUCAAGAUAGAAUUCAAGUGGUUAAGAAAGAGUACUGUGUUCCAGGAAAGCCAGCUAUACUUCGGUGAAAGUCAACUAAGGCUUUCAGCACCUUGCGAUUCAGCUACCUUUUUGUGGUUACUUGGCCGCUGACGCUACACACUAUACGUUAAUUGUCUAGUCGUUGCUUGGCUGUACUACUGGGCAAAGGAAUUGCUCAUAACUCCUAAGCUGCCUGCCGCGCUACUUACUUACUUAGUUGCUUGCCGGGCUUUCACACCGCAACACAAGACUUGGUCCAGAGGUUCACCUUGAGACUAGAAUUGAAGAAUCUCCUUUCGAAUGAAUGUCUUCGGCUUACGGAGCUGCUAAAGAUUCUCGAAUUGCGGAUGAUACUGAAGCUACUCCGACUCCUGAUACGGACACUUAUUCUUUCUUAUAUUGCUCUUUCUGUAUCUUUAGGCUGGCUAAUCCAUCUGUUAUUUAUGAUAUAUCGAAGACUUUCCCUCUUAUGUUUAAGAUUCCACAUUUGAGUCCUGUAUUUUGUCCUGUUUUUGGUAUUCAUGGCUAAAGGAGCUAAGUUGACUAGGAAUCAUUCUUUCGCACGUGGGCUAAUAUAUAGCGGAUUUCCUUUCUAGCUUCUUAUCGUUCUCCAGGAAUUGAAACUAGAAACUCCCUUAGCGCGGAUUCAUCCUCUGAUGAAGUUACUGCAACAAACACGAGAACCUCUCCUGUCUCUACAACUUAGGGCAUCAAAGCCCCUGACAAGACUCUCAGGCAGGGAACCUCCCACUUGCUUGCUUCCUUACCCCGCUUCAAUUGGACGACUUGUACCACUCGGGAAAGCCAAUAACUCCUAUUGCUACUAAUAGAGCCAGUAGAAAGUGGUAGUCCUGUUCGAGUAAGUAUAAGACUCAGAUUAUUCCAGUUUAGGUCCGGGAAGAAUAAAGUCAAAAGUCCCCUGGCGUAGAAGAAGUUUACAGUCCAAGUGUACGAUAACCAGAUGGCAGGAUAGACAAAAUCAGCAGUGUGAGCUCCUAAUCUAAUGCUAAGCUUCGGGGCAAGAAGAGAAGAGAACAGGCCAAGAAACUACUAAUAGGUACUCGAAAUAGUAGAUAAUAUAAUCCGGAUCUUAUCCUUCUCAAGCUUCUAAGCCAACAACUAUCAAUAUGGGUUUACAGCCCAGCCCUAUCGUUAUCGUUCAAGAGAAUCAGAUGGAGCAGGCUACGAUAUAGAAUCAGAGGCCAAAGCAGAAGAUGGGGAAUCCGCAAGUGAAAAGGCAAGGGAGAAAGCUAGUUCAAUAACCACUUAAAGUAGAGGUCGAGGAAGCAAGGGGAGAAGCAUCAAGGGAAGCGUAGUUACUUGGCUGAUAUCAAAGUUGUUGGUUGUCCACUUGAACUUAUAUAAAAGCUCCUUGCCUACUUGGUCCCGGGGUUGAUGAAACUUCACUGGUUAUCUUUCCACUCCCCUUAUAUACAAGUGAACUGUGUACUGUGCCACUUAUAUAUCUGCACCUGUUCUUUUCACUUCAACUACCAUGAUAGAUCUAGUGGGCCAUAAUACAUAGGCUAGCACAUUCCCUUACUGAGUGGAUGUUAACUACAGGUCUGCUCUAACUGCUUACUUACCUCGACUUGAAGUUCUGAACCACUGUUUGCUGAUUACUUUUGCACCUCUGAUUCUGAAAACAAUGAAAGUAAAGCCUUAGAAACAAGCACAAUUACCUCUCUAAACCGACCCGAACCCAACCUUUUAUUUCGCACUCUCACUUGACUUUCUUUUCCACUUGCAGCUGACGAAACAAGCAAAUCAUAUCCUUAUCUUUCACUGUGAACUACUUUCCCUUUAGCCGAGUUAACAAAUACUUCUCUUUUGAGAUCCGAGUCCACUAAUACUGACGUUGCUUAUUUGCUUCUUGUUCUUGUUCCGUAGCUUGUUUAAACUUCUUUUUGGAUUUAUGAUAUGUAAGAUAUUCACCCCCCAGAUUACUGCUGGCUCAAGGCACCUCGAAAGGAAGCUAACAUUAUUACCUCAAAAGUAAGCUAAGGCACCAAAGGCUUUGUUGAGUUAAGUGAGUGUAGAGUCAGAAGGGCAGUUGUGUUACUAUGUUCUAUAUGUAGUAUAAAGCUCUCUUCUUACUCCAUUUCUAUUCAUUUCCAUUCUAUUCCUUAGAAUAAGCCGUUGUGCACUGUCGGGGUACGCCUAUAAUAUGAGUUUUGGAAGCUUCCAGUCAGCAGUAAGCAAUAAGACGUUAGCAGACGCGCAUUAGGGGUUUUCUAUUGGAAUUGGGUAGCGCGCAGUAUAGUAUGUUACACAGGUCCUACUGAAGUAGCUUGUUCGCAAGCCAUUACGCGUUUACUUAUUGUGUUUGGGUGCGUUAGCGAGCGCAGCACAAGGUGAAUAAAAGUAAUGCCAAUUUCAAGAGUACGACCCGCCCAGUUUAGGAGAUCUGGGUUUUUGGAUUCUCUCUCCCUCCUCGAAUUCCUAUAGCUACCUAAGAGAUCCGAUACCUCUGCUGUACUUCUUUGACUUGGAAAGAGUGACGUGAAUAGAGUUGAGCUUUCUCUAUGUCGUAGGUCUCUAAAUCUACUGUUAUACUUACCUUUCGAACGGAUCGAUACCGAGUGGCACUGAAUUAGCGCUUUAUCUUGAUACUAGAAAAUGCAGUCUUCGAGGCGCCCUCACGGAUUGGGCUUAGAUAGCCUUAACCUAGUUGUUGCGGCCCUAUCCGCAAUACUUAGGUCUCUCGUCUCUCUCCUCUUCCCUUCGUUUUGGGUUUGGCAGGUCUCUCGAUGAUAGCCAUGUUUUCGACAGCAAGCUCCAAUUCUCCUUGAUCAAGACUCCGUCUAGGUUCUCACACCAGUCCUCUUAUCAAAGAAGAGCUACUCGACGUCAAGUCCUAAUUAAGACAACUUCAUAACCGAGGAGUGGAGAUGCAUUCCCUGAUCUGAUCCAUUUAACUACCCUUUCAUGAAAGCCCAGGAACGAUUCCAAUCAAUCGAAGAAUGUGUCCCGCAACGAAGAAGCGCUAGCAUACCUAUCGACUCUUCGCGUUACUUUCGGCGGGCUUUCACUAUUUCUUUCACUAUUUCCAAAAAGAGAUGAAUAGACGGAGCUUCAAAAGUACCUUCCUUCCACUCAAAGAGGAAACCCUGGUUUCCUCGGUUUUGCAUACCCUUCUAUUAGCCUGCCAUUCCUUUUCCAAACCUCUACCCUGCGCUGCACUCCAGUGGUUAGAUCGACGAAACUCCUUUUUGCCCUUAAGGGUUCUUGCCCUCUUUUCUCUUGAGAUCACCCUCUUAGAAUACGAAACCAAGCUCCGUUUUCAAGGUUCAAGAAAGAGCCUGGAUAAGGUCCCUACUUACUGGACUUCUUCGGAAUCCAAACUCCUGACAGUCGGUAGGGUACCGAAAGCUGGGAUAAAUAAAAUGAAUUUAAGCAGAUAGAAAUCAAAAGAAUUGGAUAUAGGGCCACCACAAAGGAGUGUUCCAAGGAAAAGAAAGCGAAAUAGUAAGAGUCAUGGGCAAGAGCGACUGUGUGUACAUGCAUUAGGAAUCAAACUCAAAGACCUAUGCUAGGGAAUAGCUAAAACAAUGCCCCAGGCUACUUUCCGCCCUUACUGAGAAAUCUUAGACCUGUGAGCAAGCCAACAAGACCAACUUCUUAUUGAGGAGCCGUCGAUCUCUCGGUGAAUUUUCUACGCCUAUUCUGUGAGCUCUCUUACUAGGGACAGCAAAAAGGAUUCCUUGUUAAUAGUAAGCAAAAUAUACCAAUUUCAGAUUCAUCGAUUCAAAAGGAAGAUAUAGGUUAGGUUUAGUGCUUUCUUCCAUCGACCGGAGCUCUUGUUAUUUCUCACUUUUCUCCUAGGAAUUACUGCUUCCUCGGUAGCUAGGUAUGACAGAGCAACCGAAGCUUCUGUAGUGACCUGGCGUCUGCUUGGCUCUUCAAGUGUUGUUCGGGAGCCAGAGGUAAGUAGAUGAGCCGCAUUGAGUAUUUAGAGAUAGAUUUCAUCGCAUAUGCCCUACGAAAAGGUUCUUCCCCGGCGGAAAAGGUGUCUCCAUCUUCAACAGGAGAAAGAGAGGAGAAGAUGCCCUAUCAAGUUAUAGGAAGAAAUGCAUUUGUACAGCCGAGAAGUCUAUUUCAUAGGUAAUUUACCAUAAAACACUUGAUAGGCAUGGGUGGUUUACUUCAUACGUUAAUCUAUUACUUCAUGUGCUAGAUCGUACCCAAGGAAGGUAACUUAGCUGCGGAGCUAUAGGAAGGUAACUUAGCGCAGAUCACUCCUCUGAUUCUGGAAUUACUGUUUUUAUACUCUAACUUCACUUAUGCUUACUCUUAUGGCGCUAACGGAGUUUACAGCACUGCAGCUUCUCCUUAUGCAUCUCUGGAUACUGCUCUAACAGUUGACUUUCGAACAGCUUACACAGCUUCUUCUGAUUCUCUUGUGGUGCCUUAGGGUGCUUUAUAAGUAGGCUUUCAGCACCUUCGCUUUGCAAGCAAUUCUCUUGUUUGGACCACUUAGCGCGCAUUAUGUUGUAGGGGGCCUUGACUUUCUCUUUCUUCUUUUCUUUUUUCGAUCUCAACGCCUUCCCUUACUGCCCGGUCAACUCUACCACUCACUGCCCACAAGGGAAGAAGCCAGGGGUUGUUGCUUCAGAACAAGUAAGUACUGGUGAUGCAGAUCUUUCUCUUGAAACGAGAACUCCACUUUCAACAACGAACUCAGUUAGCGCAGAGAAUUCCUUUGAUUCAAGAAUUACCCACUUAGAUUCAAUACAAUAAUACUCCACUUGCUCUUUUGCCGGAGCUCUAUGACUCUUUCUUUAAGCAAAGUGAAAGCGAGUUAGCUUCCUAUUGAUCACUACGCUCGGCUCGAUGAACACAGGACUUAGGCAUAUGAGUGUCAUUCUUUAACAAGCAUCUGGGGAUCGGUGGUAUUAGCAUCAGGAUUAGAUGCACUAGCUCCACUCUACACCCGACCAGCUCCAUUCUCUCCCUAAGGCGUCUACUGACUAGCCACAUACCUAGCAACACCGGCAUCAGGCUUACUACCUUUGCUUUAAGUCUUGAACGCUUAUUUGUAGUGGUUGCAUUCUUACUAUCCAUAGCAUCAGGCUUAGCAAAGUGGGGCACAGUCCCAUAAGCUACACCACUGUUGAAGACUUGCUGGUACUGGGUUCAGUCCGAUCGAUCUAAGGUUGAUUCCUUGAGGCACUGUUUCGGUCUUAGCCCUAGUGGUUUGAUUCUUAGAUGCACCAGUAUCAGGCUUGCUAGACAGUGUGUCAGUCUGAGCCAUAUGGGUUUGGUUCUUAGGUGCAUUGGUCACAGUCUGAUUGGUGUGAGUUUNNNNNNNNNNNNNNNNNNNNNNNNNNNNNNNNNNNNNNNNNNNNNNNNNNNNNNNNNNNNNNNNNNNNNNNNNNNNNNNNNNNNNNNNNNNNNNNNNNNNNNNNNNNNNNNNNNNNNNNNNNNNNNNNNNNNNNNNNNNNNNNNNNNNNNNNNNNNNNNNNNNNNNNNNNNNNNNNNNNNNNNNNNNNNNNNNNNNNNNNNNNNNNNNNNNNNNNNNNNNNNNNNNNNNNNNNNNNNNNNNNNNNNNNNNNNNNNNNNNNNNNNNNNNNNNNNNNNNNNNNNNNNNNNNNNNNNNNNNNNNNNNNNNNNNNNNNNNNNNNNNNNNNNNNNNNNNNNNNNNNNNNNNNNNNNNNNNNNNNNNNNNNNNNNNNNNNNNNNNNNNNNNNNNNNNNNNNNNNNNNNNNNNNNNNNNNNNNNNNNNNNNNNNNNNNNNNNNNNNNNNNNNNNNNNNNNNNNNNNNNNNNNNNNNNNNNNNNNNNNNNNNNNNNNNNNNNNNNNNNNNNNNNNNNNNNNNNNNNNNNNNNNNNNNNNNNNNNNNNNNNNNNNNNNNNNNNNNNNNNNNNNNNNNNNNNNNNNNNNNNNNNNNNNNNNNNNNNNNNNNNNNNNNNNNNNNNNNNNNNNNNNNNNNNNNNNNNNNNNNNNNNNNNNNNNNNNNNNNNNNNNNNNNNNNNNNNNNNNNNNNNNNNNNNNNNNNNNNNNNNNNNNNNNNNNNNNNNNNNNNNNNNNNNNNNNNNNNNNNNNNNNNNNNNNNNNNNNNNNNNNNNNNNNNNNNNNNNNNNNNNNNNNNNNNNNNNNNNNNNNNNNNNNNNNNNNNNNNNNNNNNNNNNNNNNNNNNNNNNNNNNNNNNNNNNNNNNNNNNNNNNNNNNNNNNNNNNNNNNNNNNNNNNNNNNNNNNNNNNNNNNNNNNNNNNNNNNNNNNNNNNNNNNNNNNNNNNNNNNNNNNNNNNNNNNNNNNNNNNNNNNNNNNNNNNNNNNNNNNNNNNNNNNNNNNNNNNNNNNNNNNNNNNNNNNNNNNNNNNNNNNNNNNNNNNNNNNNNNNNNNNNNNNNNNNNNNNNNNNNNNNNNNNNNNNNNNNNNNNNNNNNNNNNNNNNNNNNNNNNNNNNNNNNNNNNNNNNNNNNNNNNNNNNNNNNNNNNNNNNNNNNNNNNNNNNNNNNNNNNNNNNNNNNNNNNNNNNNNNNNNNNNNNNNNNNNNNNNNNNNNNNNNNNNNNNNNNNNNNNNNNNNNNNNNNNNNNNNNNNNNNNNNNNNNNNNNNNNNNNNNNNNNNNNNNNNNNNNNNNNNNNNNNNNNNNNNNNNNNNNUGGUUGGAUUCUGAUCUUAGUACUGGAUGCGGGUUUCUGGUCAUAUGAGAUAUUCUAGGUAUACCUCGGAGUUCUGGUCAUAGGUCUAAUUAACUAGAUGCGGCUUUCUGGUCAUACAUAGGGAAUAGCUGGUUUCAGUCUGAUCUUAGGGAGCUCCGUUCUGUGACUCCUUUGUUUAAGCCUGAUAUUGAUUAGCUUCAUUCUAUCCCUAAGUCGUCUACUGACUAGCCACAUUCCUAGCAACACCAGUAGCAGCCUCGGAAGCACUUGGUUAAGUCUUAGAUACAUUGCUUUAAGCCUCGGAUUGGUCAGCUGCAUUCUAUCACUUAGCAGCAUCAGCUUGAGGAGCACUGGGCGAAGUCUAUCACUACCGCUACCAAGCCUAUACUACGUACCCACCCAUGAAGCCUUAGAUGCACUCGUCCCAUUCUCAUACUGCCUCGGUUCAGUCUUACACUCGCUAUAGCUGCGUUCUGAGUCUACCCGGUCUCAUUCUUAAGCACUUGCAUCGGUCUGCCCAGCACUGGUUUCAAUCUUGCCCUCGCCGGUUUGAUUCUGAGCCUACCCGGUAUCAGUCUUUGCUUCAGGUGUCGGAUAGCCUGUAACACCCUUAGCUCAUUCUAUCCAGCACUAACUCCAUUCUGAGUAGUAUCGGUGGAAUUCUCACCGCCCUGGUGCAGCCUGAUUGGAUCGAGUUGAAGUCUGAGUAGCCCUUGAUUGAGUCUUGCCAGCAGUGUUUCAAGCCUGAGUCGAGUGAGUUUGAUUCUUACAAGCACCGGUUUGAUCCUGAGUGACACCGGUUUGGUUCUGAGUGGUACUUGUUUGAGUCCCAUCGGCACCGGAGUAAGGCUUGCUGGCACUGGUUUGGUUCUUUGAUUCCCUGGGUGAAGUCUUUGAUGCACUAGGUUAAGCCUUGGAUUGCUUAGGGACAUUCUGAUCUAACCGCCUAGUGUUCAAUUCUGUAACUCCGACUUUCCUACUUGCCUACUUCUUAGGUUCAUUCUGACUUUCCACUAAACCUCUCCUCUUGAAACUGCCAAGACGACAAGAAACUAUGCCCUUCUGGAAUUGCUUCCCUUGCCCACCGAUACUGUUACUACUGAGGUGUAUUCUCACUUUCCUACUAACUCACCUCUGAGUUUAUUCUGUCACUUCUGAUCUUAGGAGCUAUAGUAUUGUGGGAAUGUAGCUGCUUUAAGGCUUCUACGGACUAGUUUCUUUCUUUGACUACUGAGGUUCAUUCUUACCUUUCCUAUUUGCCUACUUCCACUCAAGCUUGCUUCCUCGCCUGUUCCUACUAAAGAAUGGUGUUUACUUAUAGGCUAGGGACCCAACCCAUACAUAAAAGACAAAGAGAGCCAAUUACUAUAAGGGCAGUAGUAGUUCUCAUAUGACCAAUCUUCUGAUAGAAGUAAUCAAUUCUAUUCUGAUUUCUUGCACAAGAGUACUAUAAGUCAAUUAAUGCAACUAACCUAUUUCUGGCCCACCUCUCCUAUGGCUCAUCUAACUUCAUUCUUAAAACAAUAAGCAAGUAGGAUUCUUAAAACACAUAGCAAGUAGGCGCCAACUACUAACCAAGCAGUAACCACUAAACAAACAAGAAUGGGAAAGAACAAGCUACUACAGUUCAAAGAGCCAACAACUCUCUCAAUGCGGUCUCAAACUCAGACUAAGAGACUGGGGGAACAGCCCUGCCGCACAACAUUAUACGUUGUUUGGCCUCUUCAACUCACUACCUGUAACUAAGGGACCUGUCUUCCUACAACUACUGAUGAAACUACGAAACUACUACCAGAUGCGUAGAAGCAGAACUAGCACUACUGUAAGUAAGAAGGAGAGGCCAGUGCAGUAGCAAAAGAAUAAACUAAAGCAAGGGCCAGGGCAGGGGAAGAAGGAGAAUGCCCAGUUCAAGGUGGAGUUUGAGUUUCAUUCUUCUUAGUGGUGGUUCAAUUCUGAUCUCUAUAUGCAGAUUUCUGGUCAUAUCCAUACUUUAUCACUUACACUAGCCCUGGACUCUAAUCUACCUAUGGCUACUCAGUAUUCCACUAGCAACUAUCAACUACUCAUGAAUAGCUUCCCUAGCCUUGUAAUCGAAUGAAACAACUACCCGCAAAGUCAGUCAACAAAGUAAGUCAACUCCUUUCUUAUUGUAUGCCGAACCUACCUCCUCUCAGUCUCACUGCCACUGGUUUAAGUCUGCCUAGCUCGGGUUUCAGUCUGAGUGGUAUCGGUUUGAGUCCCACCUACCAGGUACAGUCUGCCCAGAGCACUUGUUAGAGACUUAGACUCCCUCGUUGUAUUCUGCCACUCCUUAGUUUGAUUCUAUGAUUGGUUAGCUCUAUUCUCAGUGUUAGUGCUUGGCCUUUGGCUACUUAGUUCUAUUCUGAAACUAGCUUCUGGGAAUCGGUGAGUUCAAUCUCUAAGUAGUCUUGCUCUAUCUACUGACUAGCUCCCGAACACAGGACUUAGUUGUAGGCUUUGAAGCUGGGGAAUAGAAGCAGUGCGUUGAAUCCCUAGUUUCAUCCGGUAUAUGUCAUUCUAUAUAAAGAGAGUCCAAAUUCUCCUAUGGACAAGUAACUACGUAAGUGUAGCGGCAGUGCUGUUUCACGUUUUCCCGUGUUUUUUCGUUACAAUCUGAUUUCCCCUAAUAGCGAGGUCCAAAAGAAUCUUAUCUUUGCGUUUUCCCGUGUUUUUUCGUAGCAGAUGCCAGAGCUCCUGCCGCGGAACGCGAACACAGGACUUGUUUAUAACUUGUAAUAUCUAUUAUUGCUGCUGCCGCGCAGCGGCUUGCGCCGUUGCUUGGCCCUUGGCCCCUCCUGAGGCACCAGAUUUAGAUUCUCUUUUCACGCGAACACAGGACUUGUAAUAACUCUGUUAUGACUAUUACUUGCUGCCGCACAACAUUAGUAGUUGUUUGGCCCCGGCUUUUUUGAUAGCAUUGGCAUUUCCCCUGCUAGCUAGGUCAAUGGAAAUGAUCUUUUCACGUUUUCCCGUCUUUUUUGAUAGCAAUUAGUACUUUGCCAGUACAACCGGGAUGAAACAAGUAGCAAACCAACCCUUUACUCUUUAUUGCCAACUAAGUACUUGACUUCUUUCUUUCCAACCAAGUACCCGGCACCCUCUUCUAAGCUUGUUUCGACCAUUCUAUUUCUUAUUCGCCCAGUAGUUUGUUGGUUCAGUGCCACUGUAGCUCCUUCCUUUUUGAAUUUAGGUUUCAGAUUGAAAGUAAGUUGUUGGCUACAGUCAAAGAGGUCAGCUACUAAUUCUAAAGUGACCCAGGCAAGCGUAUACUAGAUGUGGGGGAUCGGUAGGCUUGGGCAGUGGACUUACUUGUUUAAUGAAGUUACUAGGUUAAGAAAGGGGCAUAAAAGGAGCUAUUUCUGCACUUCUUAUGUGUUGAUGGCAAAUGACCUAUGAAAUAGACUUAUCGGCAGUAGAAGUUCAUUUCUUCCUAACAUCCUGAUGGUCGAAGAGAAGCAAAUCGAAGAGAAGCAAAUUAUAGUACCCGUCCGGAGUCGCUUGUUUUGUAGUUGCUGGGUUGGUAGUUAGAUUAUGCUCCUAUAACUUCAUUAAGAUUGGCUGUGGAAUCAGUUGUUUUCUUAUAUUCAAUUAGACUAUAUUUUCCCUACUGUUUGUCUACUUAGUCUGUAUAUGAGAAAGAGAACCCGUUUUUCGCCUUUGUUUAUCCAUUCUUACGGUGUUAAGUCGAGUCCAUUCCAUUCUUAUUGUCUUCCCCGACCCGACCUCAGUUAGAGAUUACUUUACUAGCAGCCUCGCCUCAACUUCCACUUAUGCUCUGUGAACUCAACUUAGUUAGUGCAGUGCUUCUGCCUAGCCUGUUACUCCUUUCUAUCAAUACUAUUAAUUAUAAUCAUAAGGAAGGAAGUGGUCUAGUUCUUCGGGUGUUCAUUCUUGUUAGCACUGCUUGGAGUCUGUCACUCCUUAGGGACAUUCCGAUCCUACCCGGUCUCAUUCUAAUACUCACUGGUUGCAUUCUUUACCUGCCGAGGUACAUUCUGAGUGGUACUUGUUUGAGACCUUAGCUACCUCCCCUCUCAUUCUCACUCGACCUAGCUACAUUCUGAGUGACACUGGUUUGGUUCUUUAACUCGGACCGGAUAGCCUGUGACUUCUUGGUUCAAGCCUUACAUACGCCAUUACUGCUUCAUUCUGAGCCUACUUAGCUUCAGUCUGUAACUACUUAGGUCAAUUCUUCUACUAGCUACUCUGAGUCUACAACUACUGAAUGAGGAGCUAGCCCGGCCGGAGUAGCUCUUUGAACUUAGCAGCCCCGAACACAGGACCACUGACUUAAGGCAACAAGCAACUACUAAUGUUGCACGUUAGCGAGUCCGGGGCCCAAUAGUUCCAUUCUGAAUCUACUGAGUUGGGUUCUUAAACUACUGGCUUUUAUUCUCAAACUACUUAGUUUCAUUCUUUCAUGACUUAGCCCGAGGUUAGAGUUUCUUCUUCCUUUUGGUCUGUAACUACUGAUUGGUAGGCACUUCUCAAUAAUACAUAGCGGUGUGGACUUCUGGUCAACUGAGUUAAGUAAGAGUGAAGGCUGGGAUUUACUGGGUUGAUUCUGAGUCUAUCCAUCAGUCAUCCUUAAUAAGAAGAGAUAGAAUUGUCCACUCAUUUUCCCUUCUAUGUCUGUACUGAGCAGGUACAUGAGAAAGAUGAGUUGUUUUCUGGCACUGAUAGCGGCCCCAAAGACAGGACUUGGUUACCAAAACCAUCCCUAUGACUUAGAGCGUAAGCACCAACACCCUCAACAAGACUGGAAGACUAAACAAGGUAUUCUACUCGUCCCCCCAAGAGUCUAGUUCACUUUCCUCGACUUCCACUUAUGAUCUUUUCACUCAGGCGCAUCCACUUGCUUGCCUCUCUCUACUCUGUAAACUCACCACUACCCUAAACAUAAAGGUUGCCUUAAGGAAGUGGGUAAGAAAGGACUAGAAGGGCAAAGCGUAUACUAACUCCCCGGAUUCUGUUUCCUAUGCUGCUGACUUUAUUGUCCCUUGAAAGCUGUCGAUUUCCCUUUCAUGCACUUGCUGACUACUUAACCUCUGAUUCAGUAAUUACUUCUUUCUAUAUGAGAUGAAACUAAUAGGGCAU
This 90232-nucleotide long non-coding RNA is filed under the name Musa acuminata (dwarf banana). Its description in RNAcentral is "long non-coding RNA (MACU_LNC008401)". The record is from RNAcentral. Lineage: Eukaryota; Viridiplantae; Streptophyta; Magnoliopsida; Zingiberales; Musaceae.